This 96795-nucleotide long non-coding RNA is filed under the name Ananas comosus (pineapple). RNAcentral describes it as "long non-coding RNA (ACOM_LNC006532)". The record is from RNAcentral. Lineage: Eukaryota; Viridiplantae; Streptophyta; Magnoliopsida; Poales; Bromeliaceae.
AAUUUUAAUCUGUAUUUAAUUUUAGAAUAAAUUAGAAUUUAAAAUUUGAAUUAUCGAUUCAAAAAUCAAUUUUAUAAUUUCUUAAGCUCAAAUUUAAAUUCUAAUAUCAGUUUGCAAUUUGAAUUUAGUUCUAAAUUUAAAAUUUGAAUUUGAACGUGAAUUUAAAUUGCAAAUUUAAAUUUUAAGUUUGAAUUGUGUGUUUAAAUUUUGAUUCAAAUUUCGAUUAUGAAUUUGGAAAGUAAAUUAAGAUCUUAAUUAAGCUUUAAAUUUUUUUAAUUUCAAUUUGAACAUAAUUCCCAUUCCGAUUCCUCUUACGAACUAAACAAAGAAGGAAUUUUGAUUAUUCCGUAAUUAUUGCAAUCAUCAUUAUUGCUUAUGGGAUGCAUUUUGAAGCUAUUAAUGUGUAAUAUUUGUGCAAUGUGUGUAUCCAUUUCUGGCAAUUACUGUAAACAAUGUUCCUCCAAUGCUAUCCAUACACUUGUGUCAAGCAAAUGAAAUUGCUCUUUAUAUACAUGCAAAUGUUCUGUUCACUUGUAUAUCUUUAGUGUGUGCUAAUGUUGGCAAGUUUUGGCAUAUUAUGUGUAGUGCUUAUUGCAAUCCUUUGAUGACAUAUUUAUUCUGCUGAGUUCUUAAUCUUUGUAUCCACAAUAUGCCAGCCAUGAGGAUCCUUGUAGUUUUUUCCCCUUGAGGAGUUAUAAUCAUUAUGCCUGUUAAUUUCUUCUCUGCAGAUAGUACAAAAACUUCUUAUUGCUGCAGUUGCAGAUGCUCAUGUGGGUGUCCGGAAGUCAAUAUUUGAGUCUCUUAAUGAGAAUCCUGCUUUCGAUGAAUUCUUGGCACAGGCCGAUAGUUUGACUUCAAUUUUUGUUGCCUUAAAUGAUGAGGUACUAUUUUGCGUCUGUACUAAGAUGUAUUAUAACUGGGUUAUAUUGAAAACUUGCGAAUUCCCAGGUUAACUGCUGGAUAAUUUGGAUGGACUCGAGCAACUACACUAAGAUUCUUUUUAUUUUUGUCGUUUAGUAGAAUAAAAAGGAUAAUUUUUCUCCCCUCGCCUUGUCUCAUUGUUCAUUUUACUCUACUUUUUAGGACAUUGAUGUCCGAGUAUUAGCAAUAUCGGUUACUGGGAGAUUAUCUGAAAAGAAUCCCGCAUAUGUGCUCCCAGCACUUCGUCGCCAUCUCAUACAACUGCUCACAUAUCUGGAUAGGAGGUGAGGGAAAUGACAUUAUUGUUUAUUUUAUAAUAUAGUUGUAUGCUAUAUCUUAAUCCUUCUUUUGAUGUUAAGUUCAGUUGUUAUAUAUAAAUAUAUUUUCCUCUCAUUUGCAGUAUGGAUAGCAAGUGUAGAGAAGAAAGUGCUAGACUAUUGGGCUGCUUGAUACGAAAUUGCGGACGAUUGAUACUUCCAUAUAUUGCCCCAAUUCAUAAGGUUUAGUUCUUUGCACAAUGUCUUUGUCCACUGGCUGUGGGGAUUGUGUUAGCUUAUUUUAUGGUUCUAUGUUUCAGACACUCGUUGCGAGACUAUGUGAUGGCACUGGAGUUAAUGCUAAUAAUGCUGUUGUUACUGGAGUUCUUUCUACUGUGGGGGAACUUGCCAAAGUGGUAGGCUAUACUGCUAUCUCUGGAUCAUGUUGCUCUAGAUUUUUUUUUUCAAAAAAUCUGCACAUCAUCUAAGGAUUCUAAGCAUUUGCAGAGAUUUAUAUUGAUUUUCUUACUUUUUUUGGUUAAAGUUGAUGGUUGCUUGUAUUUCUAUUUUGCUAUUGAAUCAAAGUUUCUUUGUUUCUUCAUUAUUGUGAGUUAUAGUUGUUUGAACCUCUUUAAACUGAGCUGCCAUCUUCAUUAUUCUCUAAGUUUACAUUGAUAAGCUGUCAUCUUAAUCUUUAAGUCUAGUAUGCUGACUGGUACUGUCAUCUUAAUCAUUCAGUCUACUCUGCUGACUGGCUAGAAAAAGUUGACUUUUUGCAUUCAACUGAGCAGCUUUUCAGUCAUUUUUGCAUGACGUAGCAUUUGUUGUCAUCAUCUUCUAAGCUUCUCUUGUGAUGUAAUUGCUGAUUGAUCAACAUGGAGAACUAUGUCUAUCUGACAUCUUAUAAUCAAAAUUUCAUUCUUUAUUUGCAUGAUAUAUAAUCUGGAUGAAAUUUUGAGCGAGUCUUUUCUUGUGCUGUCAAUCUCUUGUUGUAAGUUUUCUUUUAUUAAUUUCUCCUACCAGUGUUCAUUUCCUUGUUUUGGUUUCUUUAGACUAUGUCUCAUAACUAAUUUACCUAGUUGAGAAGGUGAAAAGAACCUUAAAAUUGAUUGUAUCUUUUAAAAUAUGAAACAGGGAGGCUUUGCAAUGAGACGUUAUCUUCCUGAGCUCAUGCCUUUGAUUGUUGAUGCUCUUCUGGAUGGAGCUGCUGCUAAUAAACGGGAAGUUGCGGUGGCAACUCUUGGUCAAGUUGUACAAAGCACAGGGUACACAACUUUUGACAUUGGCAUAUAUUUCAUAUGGUCUAAUUAACAUAUUUGCACUGAAGAUAUCAAGAAUCAGAGGGAAAAAAUGAAUGUAUUUUACCCGACAAGACAAUUCUUUAAAAUUAAGUAGAACACAAGAAAGAGUGUCACUGUUCAAUGUUUUCAACAAUUCUCUAUUUGCAAGCAGGUUAUAUCAGCAUUCAUUUUGGCAUUCAUAUUGUCCAUUUUUAAUUGAUUGCACUGUGAUUUAUAUUUGUCUUCAGCUAUGUUAUUUCUCCAUAUAACGAGUACCCCCUGUUGCUUGGCUUACUCUUGAAACUGUUGAAUGGUGAGUUGGCAUGGUCGACUAGAAGGGAAGUAUUGAAGGUACUUAGUUGUUUAUUGAUGUUAGUAUUAAGAGUCAUGCCAUUGUUUCCUAUUCAGGGCAUAAAUGUUCUUUUGCAGGUUUUAGGGAUUAUGGGUGCUUUAGACCCCCACAUUCAUAAGCGCAAUCAGCAUAGUUUACCUGGAUCACAUGGAGAGGUCACUAAUGCAGCGAGCGAGGUUGGUCAACAUAUUGUCUCUAUGGAAGAGUUACCUACUGAACUCUGGCCAUCAUUUACAGCGUCAGAGGACUACUAUUCUACGGUAAAAGUUUAUGUUGUAUUCAUUCAUUAUUUUUUGUUUUCUUCUUUAUGUUAAUUCCUGUAUUUACUCAUUAUCUUGUAUUCACUCAUAGGUUGCUAUUAAUUCUCUCAUGCGAAUUCUUCGAGACCCUUCGCUUUCAAGCUAUCAUCAGAAGGUGGUGGGUUCUCUUUUGUUCAUAUUUAAGGUAUGGUUCUGUAUUGAUGAAUCAUCCAUUGUAUUAUAUUUUCUUGACACUCAUUUCGCUCUCUAAUCAUUACUUUUAUUCCUUUUUUUUUGUGUUUCUAAACUAGUCAAUGGGCCUUGGCUGUGUUCCAUACUUGCCAAAGGUAAGAUGGUAGUCUGUAUUUUCAAUGUCGUUUUAGAAGAUGUUGUCUUACACUUCCUUGCACCAGUCCCUCCNCCCCCCUCCCCGCCCCUCCCAACUUUCGCUGCAGUAUGUUAUAAUAUAAGCGCUAAAUUCCUUAAAGAAAAGGGUUUAAUGAUUCGUGUCUGGUGUUUUCUUGGUUUGCUGAUGUAUAACUUGCAAUUUCUUGUGGAGUGAGGCAGAAAAAAGUUUUGAAGUCUGGAAGUUGUUUUAGCAGCAAGCUGCAAUUCAUUCAAUAAGUUCUGGCCGCAGAAUCUUGCUCAGAAAUUGUACACUGUUUUUUUGUUUAGGUUCUUCCUGAUCUUUUCAAUGCUGUUCGCAUGUGUGAAGAUGGUGGUUUGAAAGAGUUUAUAACUUGGAAGCUCGGGACGUUGGUAUCUAUUGUAAGACAGGUAUUUAUGGUCCUUUCACCUUUUCUUAAUCUUAUUCUGAAUUUCAUUCUUUGAGUGAGGCCCUAAUAUUGUGCUUGUACAUUCAUGAAGCACAUACGGAAAUAUUUACCAGAGUUGCUCAGAUUGAUCUCUGAUCUGUGGUCUUCAUCAUUCGGUUUGCCUGCAACAAGCCGACAAGUGCCAGGUUCACCUGUAAGUAUGAGUCUUAUAGCCCCUUUUUUGUAUUUAUGUUGGUUCGUGUACUUUUCGACAAGCUAAACACGUUCUAGCCUUAGAGCAACAUGCUCGCUUUUCUCAUAGGUUGGGUGGCAAACCUCUUUUUCCUAGAUUAUCCUGCUAUUCUUGGAAGAUAGUCUCAAUUUUUCACUUCUAUUGAAGGGAACUGUUAUAAUCAUAGGACAUGUAAUAGUUGUAAUGGUAAUUAAGGAUAAGUUACCACAGCAUUGUCCCAAAGGUCUGCUAGAUUGAUACUUCCUUGGUUAUCCUAGCGUUGUUUGACCAUAACAGAUUUCUGCUUUUGUAUUGUGAGUCUUCAAAGCUUUGCAAAAUUAUUUUUCACUUCACUGAACUUUGUAGAAGAUAAGGCUCCGUUGUUUCUACCAAUAUCUGCAAGUUGUUAAUGCUGAUCUGGGGUACUACUAUUCUUUUCUGGGUUCUUGAUAACAAUAUCUUUUCUUUUGCAGGUUCUUCACCUUGUGGAACAACUUUGCUUAGCCUUGAACGAUGAAUUCAGAUCAUACCUGCCGGACAUUCUUCCGUGUUGUAUACAAGUUCUUAAUGAUGCUGAACGCUGCAAUGACUAUAGUCAUGUUCAUGAUGUGUUGCAUACUCUUGAAAUAUUUGGUGGUAUGGGGCCUCGGGUUCUGCUAGCCCAUAGAGAUCUUUUGAUUUUUAACAUUUUCUCUUUUUAUGGUUUUCUGCUUGGUCAAAAGGCUCUGAUGUGAAUGAAGUUCUUGUAGGAACCCUGGAUGAGCAUAUGCAUUUAAUUAUUCCUGCACUCAUUCGAUUAUUCAAAGUGGAGGCUUCUAUCGAUAUAAGACGUCGUGCAAUUAUUACUCUAACUAGACUUAUCCCGCGGGUGCAGGUUGGUUGGUUUUCUGGGAUUAUCUCUCGCAUGUAGUUUGUUGUCUUUUGACCUGUAUAGAAUUGCUGAAUUUCUUUUGUUCCCUCCCUUAUAUUCUUACGAUGGUUCUCAUCCACUCCUUUUCCUCCCUUCAUGAAUUUAGGUCAGCAGUCAUGUUUCUGCUCUUGUGCAUCAUUUGAAAUUAGUCUUGGAUGGGUAAGACUUUAUUAACAGAACUUUCCUUUGGUUGUUCUUUUACAAGAAUGUAUAGUGCUUGACUUUAUUGUGUGAAUAGUUCUAAGCAGUUGGUGGCUUCCUUGUUGUUGGCUUCAAAAUUAGCGUAUGAGCUAUCGCAUGACCUGUAAUGACUUUGUGAAAAUGGAUAUUAGAGCAAUUAAAAAUGGUGGUAGAAUGCCUUUUAAUUUCAUCUCAUAAUGCAUUAGCAUUUUCCCUUUUUUCCCCCCUUAUCAGGAACAAUGAUGAGCUAAGGAAAGAUGCUGCAGAUGCUCUCUGUUGCCUUGCACAUGCUCUUGGGGAGGACUUCACAAUUUUCUUACCAUCUAUUCACAAACUUCUUGUGAAGCACCAUAUGCGGGUCUUUAUUUGGAUUCUCGUUUAUUACUUGAAGAAAUUCUCAAGUUUAUGCAGUUUCUUAGUGAUUUGUCUUCCUAUCUUUAUAACAGCAUAAAGGUUUGGAUGAGAUUGAAAGCCGUCUUCGAAACCGUGAGCCACUAAUCUCAGACAACUUACCUGUCCAAAAAUAUGCGCAAGACCCUCCUUCUGAAGUCAUUAGUGAUCCGCUCAAUGAUUUUGAUAGCGAGCCAUAUGAGGAAGGUGAUGAAGCACACAAGCAACUGAGAAGCCAUCAAGUAAUCUGCUGCUUCUUUCUAAAAUUUUUGUAGCAAAAACAUCUUUAAAAUGAAUGCAUGGAAGUGACUUUCUCGUCCUUGAGCAGAACUUGGUUGCUGCAAUGAAUGUCUUUUAGCUUGUAAUCCAAAAAAUCUGAUCACAAAUCGGCUAGUCUGAACUAUCUCUGCCAAGCAAUUUGAAUUAAUGAGCUAGAUCCUAUAAGUUGUUUGCUCGCUGUUUGUAGUUUCCGGGAAGAAAUGAUUUAACUAAACAUUAAGCUGUAUUUCAAGAAAUUUUAUUCUUUAUUUUGCUCUGUUCCUGUAAGUUUUGCACCUAUAAUUUAAAUUUUCAGCUAUUUGUCAACAAUGCUGGUUAGCUUUUCUUGCUGUCUUCUUUGCCAAUAUAUUUUCUACCUUAAGCCAACCAUUUAGUUUUCUUGUAAAUUUUGAGUUUUUGUUUAACUUUUCUAUUUUAGUCUUGUCUUUUUAUAUAUGUGGAACUAGGGAUGUCAACGGGUCGGAUUCGGGCCAGUUUUUAAAAACCCGAGCUUGAACCCAAUUAUUGAAACUGAAACCCAAAUCCAGACCUGAAACUGUCAAAUUUUGAUUCCAUGAAAAAACCGAACCCAACAAAAAACCAAAACCCGAAACAAAACUGAAAAUCCAAACCCGAGAGCAAUCUUUUCUCUUUAGUGAAAAUCCAUACCCGAACUUGAAUCCGUCGGGUGUUCGUUUUUCUAUACCUAUAGCUGAAACUAUAUCCAUUUAGCAUCUGUUAAACCUUGCCCUGUUUGGGUUCGGGUCUGGGUAAAAUCUCGGAUAUCCAUACCCAUUGAGAUAUCUAUGUAGAGCAUUAGGCAUAUUUACAGAACGCAUUUUGUCAGUGCCAUGUACCGAACUCUGUAUUUUUAUUUGAACUUCCUUCAAUUUGCUUUCGAAAGUCAACCAGAAUUUACAGGAGAAAGUUCUGACAUUUUUGUUGCUUUAUUGUAGGUUAAUGAUGUUCGAUUAAGAACUGCUGGUGAGGCUUCUCAGAGGAGUACGAAGGAAGAUUGGGCCGAGUGGAUGAGACACUUUAGUAUUGAACUUCUUAAAGAGUCACCAUCACCUGCUCUGCGGACUUGUGCAAGGUUGGCACAACUGCAGGUGCUGCAUAUUGUUGCAAUAGUCUUUAGAUUUUCAAAAGUUCAUUAAUCAUCGGCAUAUUUUUGAGUGGUAGAAUUUGACUUAUUCAUCAGCACUUGCAUGCGUCAAAUAAAAUCAUGAAAAUCUAUAUAAUUAGCCGUAUAUUUUUAGAACCAGUCAGGUUUUCUGUAUUCUUCGUUAUUAAGCUUUUAUUAUUAUGUUUUGAACGUUUUUUUACUAUAGUAAUGAAAACACUAUAUAUUUGAGUUUCUAAGAAGUUUCUAAGAAGUUUUACUAUAGAAAUGAAAACACUAUAAGUUUCUAAGAAGUAUUACUUCUACAGAAUGUCAUAUUUGAGUUUUAUUAGUCUAACUACUGAUUUUCUUUUCCAAGUUCAUCAAGAUUAAGCCGAGUGUCAAACAUUUGCAACCUGUCGAAUUUGUCCCAAUUGCUGAACUUGUGACUACCAUGCAGCUGAAUGAUCUUCUAAAAUGGGUUGUGCUUUUACGUGAUUCAUUCUUUUCACAAAAUGUAUACAGCCUUCUGUGGGGCGUGAAUUGUUUGCUGCUGGCUUUGCCAGCUGCUGGGCAGAAAUGAAUGAAGCAUCCCAAGAGCAAUUAGUCAGGAAUCUGAAGACAGCCUUCUCAUCUCAAAAUAUUCCUCCAGAAAUUCUGGCUACUCUACUAAACUUGGUAUUUUUUUUUUCUUUCUUCAAUUUUUUUUUCCUGUUUAUGUGAAUAUUUCAGUAGGUGUUCUCAUACUCUCUGCGGUUGCUAUGCUGACUAGGCGGAGUUUAUGGAACAUUAUGAAAAACCUCUUCCAAUAGAUACCCGACUGCUUGGUGCGCUUGCUGAGAAGGUGCCCCCCCGCUUUUUUUUUUCCUUUCACACAUUGUUGCGCUAUUACCAUAUACUGAUCACUUGAAGCAUUAUAGUAGUGCACCAUAAUUAUGUAACUUUGUUUCUUCAGUGUCGAGCAUUUGCAAAAGCUCUUCACUACAAGGAAAUGGAGUUUGAAGCUGCACGCUCUAAGAAGAUGGGUGCAAAUCCUGUUACUGCGGUGGAGUCCCUUAUUCAUAUAAAUAAUCAGUUACAUCAGCAUGAGGUCAGCUUCUUUGUCGAUGAUAUCUGCUACGUAAUUUCUUACUUGCUUAAGCACAUGAUCAGGCCCUGUUUGGAUGCAUGAAUAUCUUGUUCGGUAUAUCCCUUUAAUUUAUUCAAGAAAUUUGUACAUUUGAUUGAUAAGGAGUGUGAUCAAAUGUUUAGAACAAGAUACUAUAUUUGGCCUUCAAGUAUUUUUUUUGGAUAAGAUUAAGUCACCUUAUAGGUGAAAUAUGCUAUCCCAAAUCAUGGAUAGCAAGACCUUUGAAGGAACAGAUAUGAAACUCCGUAGAAUCAUACUAGAAAAUCCUUAUAUAGAAUAAGUUAUCCUUGGAUAGCUUAUUCCGACAUCCAAACAGGGCCUAAGUGUACAAAAGGAGGGUAACUCAAGCGACCCUCUUAUUUUGUCUAAUACAGCAAUAAAAGCAUAGGACCAGCUUAGAUGGGCUACUAUAGGAAUCAAGGAAGUACUAUUCCAAACAGCGCCUAGAACUGGCUUAUUCUCAUUUUAUUUCCAUUUAUGCUUACACUAAAAUUACGAUUUCUCAAUUCUCAUAAUAAUUAUUCCAGCAAUUAACAUAGUUGGCCUUAACAUUUUUUGGUCAAAUCUGCCUUUUAUGGAAUUUCUAAUGGAUUGCCAUACCAUUUGUUUGGUGCUUCUACAGGCUGCUGUUGGGAUUUUGACGUACUCACAGCAAAAUCUGGAUGUUCAACUAAAGGAAUCUUGGUAUGGUUUGCUCGAAGAUGAUUGUUAAUGAUCUUUGGGAUCAUAUCUAUAAUACAUAUAGCCGUUUCUCUCAAAUAUAAGAAGAUGACCAAAGAACUAACUGGAUAUGUUUACUUUACAUGUUCUUUCCUUUUUUUUUUGAAGGUAUGAAAAACUGCAGCGAUGGGAUGAAGCACUCAAGGCAUACACAAUAAAAGCUUAUCAAGCAUCUAGUCCACUUCAAAAUUUAGAUGCUACGCUAGGUUGGUGUUGAAUGGUUGCUAAAUAACAAUGUUUAGGCAUUUUAGGUUGCUAACAUAUUCUUUGCUACGUUUAGAGCCUCAUGCAUCGCAUUUUGUUGCAUUUGAAAAUUUUUAUUAUGUACUUAUAGUAAUGGAAUUGACUUAAUCAUCAGAUUAUAAGCUCAUUCCAUACUGGGCCAGACUGGAAUAGGGUUGUGCAUGUUCUUACUAUAAAUCUUAUGUUGUAUGGUAAUAACCUUUAAGAUAGUAGUAUGGGAAGUAACUCUACUACCAAAGGUAUUUAAUAAGCAGGUUUAGGACAAGCGGGUGAACUCCAAUUAUCUAGCAAUCAAGAAUCACUUUUUUGCCAUCAUGGAUCAUUUCAUUAUUAAAAUUUCUUUCACUUUGGAUUGGUUGUUUACACAAAUGAAAUGACAAAAGAAGUGGUUCAGCAUUGAAAUGAAGCUGGAUUGCUACGGCAGCUUCGUGACUAAAAUAUACUAGCGAUAAUUUUAAGAUGUUUUGUUCAUGACCAAUGGAAACCUCGUGUGCAUCAAUUAGGAAAGAGAAUAUUUACUCAAAGAAACCUCAAAAGUAUAUUUGAUGAUAUCUCUGACUAAUGACAUGAUGAGUUUUUUGAUGAAGCAAUAGCACAUAGUAAAGUCGGCAGUUAAAAACAGUUUUAUCUACAUGACUCACAUAAGUGGUUCAGAAGACUUUGUUCUUUGUCUAACCUCCCUUGUAAUGUUUUACCUAGAUUGAUUAUUUACCAUAUUGGACGAUUUAAUCCCUUUUGCUUUCCUAAUGGUUUUGUAAAUGUGUAUAUUUCCUAAAAAUUGUUAUGUUCGUAGUACAACAAGGUUUUCUGUAGCUAGUCAGAUUCCUAUAUUCUUUCAAUUAAUUAUGUCUUUAUUAUAGCCAGUCAAAUUACAUGGUUCAAUAAUGUGCUACCCACUUGUUAUGUGUUUAUUUCCAGGACGAAUGCGGUGCCUUGCCGCCUUAGCUCGUUGGGAAGAGCUUAGUGCUCUAUGCAGAGAGCAAUGGACUGCUGCCGAGCCAGCAGCUCGGUUGGAAAUGGCUCCUAUGGUUUGUGAUGCUGCAUAAAAUUUCUAGAUACUUAUUUAAUAUCAGAAAAUGCUAGGUGUACACCCCAGAAGGGGGUGUAUAUUUACACCCCUCUGUCCUAGAGUUCACAAAGCCCUUGGGGGUUUCAAUAUUUUUUUUAAAAAAGUUGACAAGACAAGAGGCUAAUAAUAGUCCUUGGAUGGAGGAGUGCAAGAUACACACUCCUUUUUUGGGUGUAUAGGUUGCAUUGCUCUUUAAUAUAACUUCAAUUUCUUAUCUAUUUCUUGCCGCUAUAUUAGGCUGCUAAUGCUGCAUGGAACAUGGGAGAGUGGGACCAGAUGGCUGAAUAUGUUUUACGUUUGGACGAUGGGGAUGAGAGCAAACUCCGUACAUUAGGUAAUACAACUACUAGUGGUGAUGGAAGCAGCAAUGGUGCUUUCUUUAGAGCUGUUCUUUUGGUUCGUCGUGAGAAGGUAUGGAUUAUAAACGUCUUAUGAACUACACCCUUUGCAAGGACUGCAUUUAAGGAUUUGUUGCUUUUCCAGUAUGAUGAAGCUCGUGAGUAUGUUGAGAGAGCGAGGAAGUGCUUGGCAACAGAACUCGCAGCAUUAGUAUGUCUUUUUCCUUCCCUUUUUGUUGCCUAUCAGAUACCAAUGUUUGUCUACAUAUUUUGUGUUUGCUAUGACUUUUUUGCUGUUUAUGCACCAAAUGUGAGACCCCAGAUAGUCCUAUAUAUAAGAUAUUAUAGGGCUAAAAUUCUUAAUCCGGCUUAGGCAUUUUGGGCGGUGGCUAGACCUAAAGAGGUUAAGAGAGUUAAGCGUGUUAGGACGAGAGUAGUCCUGGGAUGGGUGACCCCCUGGGGAGCCGGGGUGUUACACCAAAUGUUAAAACAAAGGUGUUUUAUACAACAUAAUAUGUUAUUGUUAAAUUAUGUGAAACAAUCAUCAUUGAAUGGACUUGAACUUAGGAUUUUCUGCUCUGAUACCAUUUUAAAUUAUUUGAAACAACCAUUGUUUUCCAAAAGGUUAAACUGCGAGAGAAUAGUAUUUUUAAUAUUUAUAUUCAACAUUUAUACUUGUAUCUCUCUUUUAAAUAAGGUUAUAGCCUUGGCUUUGUUUUAUUUGUUUUAAUUUUUCAUAAUGCUCCUAGGUAGAUGCAAUUUUUCUAGUGAAUUCUUUUUAAUUUUUCGUAAAAACAUUUGUCCUUUUAUAAUGCAGUAUGUUGUAUUUUUGUAUGCUUUCAGGAAAGUAACACAUAAAUCAGAAAAUAUCUAUUUUGGAAGGAUGAAAUAUUGAAGAAGUUGUAUAACGAAGGAAAUUAGGGAUUGAUAGAUGAAUAGAGGGGAUGUGGUGUUGUUUGAUAGCUGGAUAAUUACAACCUUUUCCUUGUUUAAUUUCUUUUAUUUUGUGCUAAAUGCUCUUACAAAGAUGCAUUUUGUCUUGCAAUGUGAGUAGAGCUUUUCUUAAUAUGAAAGAAUUAUUCACAAUUUAUUCUUGCUUUCUUGAUAAGAAUCAAGACAAAAAUAAUAUAUAAAAUUUGACAUGAGUAGAGCUUUUCUCAAUAUGAAAGAUUUAUUCACAAUUUAUUCUUGCUUUCUUGAUAAGAAUCAAGACAAAAAUAAUAUAUAAAAUUUGACACGAUAUAUGGGAUUUGUGGGGAUUCAUGAUCUCUGUUCUCAGUUGUCAUGAAAUAUGUUCGUAUGAAAAAAUGAUGUAAUCCUCAGGAAUCGCAUUCCUAAUAGCAUUUUGCAUUUUCUUUUUCUUUUUCUUUCUGACUAUUCUCAAAUAAACCAUGUUAAUAAAAUGUCACUGAUUUUUUCUUGAUCUAGAAUUUGUGGAGUUUCUAGCUUCGGUUUUAAGAGUUCUGUAUGUCUUAUGUCUCUUUUUAUCUGAUAAUUAUGCUUUCUUUUGCCUAGGAAGAAGGAUGGCCAUCCCUUUGCUGCAUAUACUUUUUGACAUGCACACUCCCCACCCUUUUUCUUUCUAUAUUCUUAACAUGCUUCACUUUACUUCCUGAUCAGGUUCUGGAGAGUUAUGAGCGUGCUUAUAGCAACAUGGUCCGGGUUCAACAGCUGUCUGAGUUAGAAGAGGUCUUUUGCAUGUUUAUUCCACUUCUUCACUCAUAUUUUCAGCGUGUUGCUGAGCAGAACCUGACAUAGGACCAAAUACAGGUGAUUGAUUACUGUACUCUUCCAGUUGGAAACCCUGUUGCAGAUUCUCGGAGGGAACUAAUCCGUAACAUGUGGAAUGAGCGAAUACAGGGAGCAAAACGAAAUGUUGAGGUAGGCAUACUUCAUGUGGCAAACCCAAUUUAUGUUGCUGUACGAAGUUUUCGAACGUGCUGAUUGGUUAUUGAGCUUGCCUCAUGACAUCGUGCAGCUCAUAAUUAGAGUAUUUGGACUUAAUGACUAAAAAAUAAAAAAUAAAAAAUUUCCCGACGCAUUAUCAAUUACCUAACUCUGAAACUUCUUUUUAUUAGGUUAGAUUGACUUUCUGAAUUCUAAUGCAUUUGCUAAUAGAAAAAUCUUUGAGUGUUUGACUGAAAUGCUACCGUUGCCAUGCUGUUAUGUGCUUUAUCGUAUAACUACUGAACUUUUCUAUGCUGUUUUGGGAGACUAAUUCAAUGCCUGUGGAUUUUGAUGCUUACUGUAUAGUCAUAAUUUUUUUUUUGGUAAUACAUGCCUGAUAUCCUUUUUCUUUUGAUUGAUGACACUUGUGAAAAAUAAGGUUUGGCAAGGCCUCCUUGCAGUAAGAGAGCUGGUUCUUCCCCCAAAUGAAGACAUAGAAACCUGGCUUAAAUUUGCUUCGCUUUGUCUACAAAGUGGCCGCACUAAUCAGGCCAGAUCUACCUUAAUUAAACUCCUACAGGUUUGCCACUGAUUACACAGAAAUUAAUGAUUAUUAUCCACAACUGUUCCUGGUGAGAGAGAAUUGAAGAAGAUUUGCAAUAAAUUGCGUGCAGCAUGACCCUGAAUCAUCUCCCGAACUUUUAUUAUCCCAUGGACAUCCUCAAGUCGUGCUUGCAUACCUGAAAUACCAGUGGUCUCUUGGGGAUGAACUAAAAAGGAAAGAAGCAUUCUCUAGGUUACAAGUAUGACCUUUGUCAUUUCUUGUGCAUUAAUUGGAGUAACAACUCAUUUUUAGGCGUUCUUUGUAGAAUUAUAUUUAAUUGUCUACUCUUGGUCUCUGCUUCCUUCAGGAUCUGUCCAUGCAGCUUGCUGCAAAUACAAAUAGCUAUGCAGGAUCACUAAUGAAUUCAUCUAAUUCUUUGAGUGGUGGCGUUCCACUUCUUGCCCGUGUUUAUCUGACACUUGGGACCUGGAAGAGAGCACUAUCACCUGGCUUGGAUGACGACUCCAUACAAGGUAAUUAUGGGCUGCAAUGGGUUUAGUUCAGUUGAGUAGACUUCUGGAUGGGACAAUCCAAAUCUGAUCUGAACAUGACUAAAGUUGCUUUUGGAAGCUUACCUGAAAUAUUUAGGUUGAUAACCCUAAAAGUAUGACAAAAAACUUCAGCCCACUUGUCCCGAAUUGACUCUUUUAGGGUCAGCCGGAAUCCCAUUGGAUCUUUUAAUUCAUUUUCCAAAAUAUACAUUGUGAUCCCAAAUAACCCAAUUUAUCCGAGCAGACCAAACUUGCCCCGAAAUUACCGGUAUCAUGACCUAAAUCAUUUCAUGGUUAAUCUAAACUGAACAUAGUCAGGUAACUUCUUGGAUUGAGGAAUAUUGACCUAAACACCACCCUAAUUUAAAAUGGGCAAUCCAAACCAGAACAAACUGGGUUUUCUUUAGUUGGGUUCUCAGGUUGAGUUGAAAAUUUCCCCUACACCACCCCNAAAGUAACGAGUAGUUUCCUCUCACUUCCUUUUUGUUUAAAAUUAUUGAUGAAUUAUUAUUGCUUUAAUUUCCAGAAAUCCUAAUGUCAUUCAAAAAUGCCACUCAUUGUGCUAAGGAUUGGGGAAAAGCAUGGCAUACUUGGGCUUUGUUUAACACUGCAGUCAUGUCUCACUAUACUAUGAGAGGUCGCUCUGAUAUUGCUGGGAAAUACGUUGUUGCGGCAGUUACUGGUUAUUUCUACUCAAUUGCUUGUGCAUCAACUACCAAAGGAGUUGAUGACAGUUUACAGGUAAAUCUGGUUUCUUGAAGUUCAAGUUUCUCACUCAUCUUUUGGUUAAUUUAUAUUUUCCAAUUUGUAGUGCAUGGUGUUUGAGCUUUCUUUCCUUUUUUCCCCUUAAUUCUCAGUUGAUUUUCAAUAACAGGUCAAAUAAUACUUCUCUUUUAUAUCUCUUACAAGAAGUUGCCUAUCAUUUCUCUUUUAUACUUCUCUUUUACAAGAAGUUGCCUAUCAUUUCUCUAAGACCUUUCUUUGAAAUUCCUUGUACCAUAAGACACAUGAUAGUACUGUUAACUACUGUUGUUACUUUUACAUAUUUGUUCAAAGUAUCUAUUUUAAUUUGUUCUUUUCCACCUAUAGAUUUCCCAUAUUUUACAUAUAUUUUCUAGUUCGAUGUGCUAUAUGAUUUUUCUCUUGUUUCUUUUGCACCAACUUAUUUCCUGGUUCAUUUCUUAAUGAAGCUCUUCAAAAUUUAUGCUUUUUUUUAAGGAUAUUCUUCGUCUCCUCACAUUGUGGUUCAACCAUGGGGCUACAUCCGAAGUACAAACAGCAUUGCAGAAAGGGUUUUUACAUGUAAAGAUUGAGAUGUGGUUGGUUGUAUUGCCCCAGAUAAUUGCAAGGAUUCAUUCAAACAAUAAAGUUGUAAGAGAAUUGAUACAAUCGUUAUUGGUACGAAUCGGAAGAGGGCAUCCACAGGUUUGUGUUUUAUUAUAUGCUUCUGACUUUCAAGGACUCUUUAUGAUCAAGGUUCAUGUAUAACUGGUAAGUUAGAGCAUUCAAAAUUGGCGCAUCUAGUGAAUAAGUGUCUCCACCAACACCAUAUUGGUGGAUAUGACUAAGCACUUACUACUUAUUUGACUUAAAAACUUUUUGGGAGGAAUUGUGAUCUGGUUGAAGUUCACUAGAUUAUUGCAUUUUCAUCCUCUUGCAAUAGGAUUGUUAGGUUGCUCACUCAUGAUCUUGUCACUCUGGAGUCUUCUAGCUAAGUUUGUGUUCUCUCAGUUUGCUAAGCCUUUCCUAUCUAUAUGGGCUACUAUAUAAAUGCUCCCAGUAAGAAGUGAGUAAAAUAUUACUCUAGAAAGUAGUGCCCAAGACCAUAAUAAAGGAGCAGCCUUCUGUUUAUACUUGACAUGGCUCUCUUAGACUUGUUGGGGGAAGGAGCUUAUAGUUUACACUUAUGCUAAGUUGCAAACAAGGAGCAACCUUCUGUUUCUUUUGUAGAAGUGAUUGUUACCUUUCUCAUAUAGGACAUAAUAGGUUUAGAGGUGUAGCUGCAUGUUUUCUGUUAAUGUUUUGAACAAUUUUAUGAAAAUUUGCUUUUUUACUUUGUCAGGCUCUUAUGUACCCUCUGCUGGUAGCAUGCAAGUCAAUAAGCGUUUUGCGUAGGCGUGCGGCGCAAGAUGUCGUUGAUAAAAUUCGCCAGCAUAGUGGAGUUCUUGUCGAUCAGGUCAACACUAAUGUUUUGGGAGGUUUGUAGAGAAACUCGUAUUUGUAACCUUCUUGACAUAGCAGUUUGCUAAUUUUGCCAGGCUCAGCUUGUAUCUAAGGAGUUGAUUAGGGUUGCAAUCUUGUGGCAUGAAAUGUGGCACGAGGCUUUAGAGGAAGCUAGCCGAUUGUAUUUCGGUGAGCAUAAAAUAGAUGGAAUGCUUGCGACGCUUGAACCUUUGCAUGCGAUGCUAGAGGAGGGGCCUGAGACAUUGAAAGAGACUAGUUUCAUUCAGGUACAUUGCUAGAACUUUCUAUCAUUUUUACUGUAUGUUGUUAAGUUGCUGCAUUACUUACUGUCAAGCGAUGUUAUGUGUUUGAAAAAGCAAUGAAAUAAUAAAUUUUCUUACCAUUCUUAUAACGUGCUUUUCUUGAAUAAUAAUCGAGCACAUGGAACUUAUGCCAUUGUGAUACAUCUCUAGAACGCAGUGCACUUUUGAUGCCAUUUUCCCUUUAAAAGACCCCGAAAUGAACAUAUUGGAUUCAGAACCUUCCGAAGUAGACAGUUUAACGUCUUUUUUAGCUAUGUGAUUUUCUGAACCUUUAUCAAUGAAUAUCUCAGACAUAUGGCCGUGAAUUACUGGAAGCUCGCGAAUGCUGCUUGAAAUAUAGGAGCACUGGAAAGGAUGCAGAGCUAACUCAGGUGCAUAAAAUUUAUUAUGCGACAUCAUUCGUGUCUUGGAAAAAUAGAACUUUCUUUGAACUCAUUCUAUUUGAAUUUUCUUUCUAGGCCUGGGAUUUGUAUUAUCAUGUUUUUAGAAGAAUAGACAAACAGCUGCCUAGUCUCACCACUCUAGACUUACAGGUAAGCACUACAUGUAAUUUUUCCACUAGCAAAUUAGGUUUCUCCCACCAUCCUGAUUAUUGAUCCGACUUCCCUAAUCUUCCUGGUUCUUAGACUGUUUCACCAGAGUUGCUCAAAUGUCGUAAUUUGGAGCUUGCUGUACCUGGAACUUAUUGUGCAGGUAAGUAGGUCAAGAGUUAUUUGAGUCAUAAUAUAUACUUAACUGAAAAAAAUUUAUCUCCUGUAAUUUAUAUCUACUGUUACAAGCGAAUACAUUUGUUUGGUCUUUAAGGAGGUGGCUUGCAGAUAUUUGCUAAAUUUUUCAGCAAUUUCUGUCUGCAUCUUUAUUCGCAGAUUGUAUUGAGCUGCAGAUUGUAGCUCAAUAUUAGCAGAUUACUCAUUGAUUGUAGAUGACUGUCAUUGAAUGUAGAUAACUAUCUAUUUUAUGUUUUAUUUUCAAUUUCUGUAGCUCUUCUUUUUUAGAAUUUACAUUUUUAAUGUUAUCAACUUCACUUGCUUAAACAACACUUCCAACAUGAUAUUUCAUGUGCUAUAAUAGUUAAGUAUCCACAAUAUGAUUAUGUAAUGAAGUACGUUCUUUCUAUAUUUUGAACACACUAUUUCAUAUUGCUUUAUAAUCAUAAAUAGAUUUAAGCUUAGCUGUAGUACAACUAUCUUUGUCAUUUCAGAUGCCCCGGUGGUGACCAUUGCAUCUUUUGCACCACAACUUAUUGUAAUCACAUCAAAACAGCGACCUAGAAAAUUAACAAUUCAUGGAAGUGAUGGGAAGGACUAUGCCUUUUUACUGAAAGGGCAUGAGGAUUUGCGGCAAGAUGAACGAGUCAUGCAGGUUUGUAUCAUUUUUUAAUGUUGAUAAUCCAUCUAUAUUAAAGGAGAUGACUGGUCUUUCAGCAUCUUGUUUUAUCGGAGACUUGGUAAUUUGAUACCAAGUCAAAUUCUUUCAGCUUGUUGUGCAUCAUAAACUAACACUUCGACCCCUUUUUCCUAGCUUUUUGGUUUGGUGAAUACUCUCUUAGAGAAUGCAAGGAAAACUGCAGAAAAGGAUCUCUCCAUCCAGCGCUAUGCGGUCAUUCCUUUGUCUCCUAACAGCGGCUUGAUUGAAUGGGUUCCGAAUUGCGACACCCUUCAUCAUCUAAUCCGGGAAUAUAGAGAUGCUAGAAAGGUCCAUCUCUUGCUCAUUUCUUAUCAAGUUUCCGCCAAGCUAUCUUACAUUUUUGUCCUUGCUUUCAUUUCAGAUGUUCUUAAAUCAAGAGCAUAGACUUAUGCUGGCAUUUGCACCCGACUAUGACCACUUGCCCCUCAUUGCAAAAGUGGAAGUGUUUGAGCAUGCUUUGCUGAAUACUGAGGGAGAUGACCUUGCAAAGGUACAUUAAUGUGGAAUUUUUGAACUGAAUUGGAAAUUAUGUGUAUACUGAUAGAUUUAAUUAAUGUUUCAAAAUUGUGUUAGGUUCUGUGGCUAAAGAGUCGGACCUCUGAAGUUUGGCUUGAACGUCGGACAAAUUAUACAAGAAGCCUAGCUGUAAUGAGUAUGGUAUGGAAUUUUUAUAUUUGUAGUUGGAUAUUUUUUUUUUUGGCAAUUACAGCAUUAUUUUAGGGGAGGGCACUUAACAAGACGGUUCUCAUUUUUCAGGUUGGCUAUCUUCUCGGAUUAGGCGACCGCCAUCCUAGUAAUCUUAUGCUGCAUCGUUUUAGGUAUAACACAAACAUUGCCUUUUGACUCUGGUAGUAGAGCAAAUAUGCUGUUAAUUUUUUUUUAGUUGGAAAUAAUAUUGCUUUUGUUUUCAGUGGAAAAAUAUUGCAUAUUGAUUUUGGAGACUGCUUUGAGGCUUCAAUGAAUCGAGAAAAGUUCCCUGAAAAAGUAAGUGGCCUGAGUCUGAUAUUUUGACCUAUUGCAGUUUAUUUGGCAUCCAUAGCCCAUGAAUCUAAUCCGAUAUGAAACAGGUACCUUUUCGGUUGACAAGAAUGCUUGUGAAAGCUAUGGAAGUUAGCGGUAUUGAAGGAAAUUUCAGAUCAACCUGCGAGAAUGUCAUGCAAGUUCUGCGGACAAAUAAGGACAGUGUCAUGGCCAUGAUGGAGGUAAAUUAGAGCAGGAUUUCGAUCCUUUGGUUUGUCCUAAUUAUAUAAGUAUGUUUAGGUUAGAGAGGCAUUCUCUGGAAGAGGCAUGAAAAUGUUUGGACACUCAAAUGUUUGUGUUUAAGCUUGCAAAUAAGUUGUUUAUCUUUUCCUGAUCUCAUAAUUUGAAUAUUUGAUAUGUUAAUAUCGAUGCAGCUUAACAUCUAUCUGAUAUAUGCUUCUCGUCAUUGAAGAUGAAACAUAGUGGGGAGAUUGGUUCUUAUGUACCUUUCUUUUUUACUACGCAGGCCUUUGUGCAUGACCCUCUCAUCAAUUGGCGUCUGUUCAAUUUCAAUGAAGUCCCUCAAAUGCACGUUCACCCAGUUGUCAAUAGUGAUGAAUCUGCACCUAACAGAGAACUCCAGCAACCUCUUCGUGGGGUCCGUGAAAGAGAACUUCUUCAGGUGGCUUACAAUAUUGCUUAGUUCUCGAAAUUCUGUUUAUUUUACUUUGAACCAACUUGCCAAUUUGGCCUGCAACAGGCUGUUAAUCAACUUGGUGAUGCUAAUGAGGUUCUGAACGAGCGCGCAAUUGUUGUUAUGGCUCGGAUGAGUAAUAAACUUACUGGCCGUGACUUCUCUUCUGGUUCAUCAAUUGCUGGUUCCGCCAACUCCAUCCAACAUGUGGCUGAUAACGGUAACUUAAUUUCCGGUGAUGCUCGUGAAGCCGAUCAUGGUUUGAGUGUCAAACUUCAAGUACAGAAGCUAAUAUCACAAGCAACUUCGCACGAGAAUUUGUGUCAAAACUACGUCGGGUAUGCCUUCAAACUUACUAGUGCACUAUUAAUAACCUUUUUAUUAUUGCAUUUAUGGUGCGCGAUGUGUAGCAACAUAAUAAAAGGAUAUCGUAUAGUUAAGUUCUAAAGAACAAAAUAAAGCGGCAGUUUAUUGGGCUGAUCUUUCUUGCUAAAUAACUGCCUGUUCCUGAGCAUGUAAACUUUAGAGAAGGAAAUAUUACCCAUUUCUAGUUUUACGGUAAUACACAAUUGGAAAAAUUGGCAUCACGAAUUUCUGAAGUCUACACAAAUUAAUUGUAAAAUGGAACAAAUUCAAAGGAAAUAAUCAACAAGAGUCUUUUUAAGAGAGUCAAAAAGAAUAUAUACGCCUUUGUCCGUGGGAGCUGAUUGAUUGUGAAGAGAUUAAACCAGAUCUUCCAAUCUUUAGGCCGUAGUGUACAUUGGAUCUAUUACAUUCUUAGAAUUCUCUUAUUUAUUUAUUUAUUUUUUCCUCAGGUGGUGUCCGUUUUGGUGACCUGCUGCGAUUUUGUAAAUAAUGUAGAUAGGUUGUAAAUAUCAAUUGCUUUUCCUCCUGUAGAAAUGUUGUAUUGUAGUAAUGCUUGAAAUUAUCCAGUAUAUCUGCAUAGCAGUACCCUAGUGUUAAAGGUGGUGGCGUAACUAUCUCCCACUUGUUUGCGAGAUCACCGGCAUUGCAGCUGGUAUCCUUCUUUCACUGGUAAAACCCUAACCAAAGAUGAUUUUUAAUAGUGGAAACUAUUUCUUGUGGCCAUAUAUUUUCUGAUAAAUAUCAAAAUAACUGCUAGAUGUUAUUCUUUUCAUAUCGUUAGGACGGUGUCGUAUAUUAUCCUUUUGUUGUUUGGAGAAAGUGAUGCAUUACCUUCAGUAUGGACAUUGGAGACGUUUUGUGGGUUGGAGGCACGUCGAAGGACAUAUUUGUUAAAAUAAACCUGUCAUAUAAUAUGGUGUUGGCGCGUCGUUGUGAGUACUUUUUACGACUCUUGAGGUAAAGAUGGUGUCUCUUUUUGCUACGUUUCCAGUUUGUAUCAGGUUACUUUUAAGAGGCAUCGAAAGCUCUAUGUAGUUGUUUAGUCAGUCUCUCUCGUGCUCUCUCUCCUCCCCCCAGAAUUAGUAGAACGCAGCCUCAAUGCAUGAACGCAUCCAUUAAUUUAGCAUCCAAACAUAAUCAUUCAGUCGGACAAUUUUAUGUAAAUCGACAUGCUCGCAUCUUACAGAAAGUAGACAUGGUAUCCUACGACACACCAUCAUUUUAUUGAUCUGGAAAGUAUCACGGCAACAACAACGGGGAACUCGACGACAACAACAGGAACUCGACAAGAUUGCGGGAUUAGCACCCUUCUAAAUUUCACUUCCUGGCGAUCUUGCUCUUCUCAAAUAUUCAAAAACAAGCACACUGAAAUACUACAAGUAAACAGCAAACACCUCGGAGCAGCACUCCGCCUUGGCUCCCGGCACGGUAUGCCUAAGCAUAUGCAUCUGGGUUUGCAAGCAAAAAUACUUCCACACCCUUCAUCAGCAUGAAGACUCCUCCCUUUAUCUUGCUUCUCUCCUCCUCGGUGAGAUCGGUCUCGUCUAGGGUUUCGUACUCCACAGCAACUUUCCCGAAGCUCUUGCCGUCAGCCUCCGGCACAAUCUUAACCUCAAAAGAGUAGGACUUCAGUCUAGUCCCGAUCAGCCCUCCGUCGAUCACCGAAUACUUGAAAAUGUGGUUCUCGUUGUCCAGCACUUCGAUGCGGUCAGUUACGUAGUCGAAAGCCUCGACGGCUGGUUAAUGUAAAGAUUGCAUAAGUUAGACAAGCUUAGUGCUUCUCCGGCCUAGUUUCUAAACAUUUUGAAGCUUUUGAACUACUGAAAACAAUGAAAGCCUACUAGAGCGUUUCAGUCAAAAAGCUUGUUAAUGCUUCUUUGGAUAAUUUUAUUCAAACAGCAUUUACAUAGAAGCUCCAGUAAGAUAACAACGGCUGAUUCACAAAUAUUCUUACCAUCGGUGAAGUUGAACUUCUUGACGGUGCCCACCCCACCGUUGCCUUCGAGAACCUCGACACUCUUGACAUAGUCCGGCGCAAUCUUCGGCAUCAAGUUGUGGGUAUCGAGGAUGCCGGCCUUCCACAGCCGGUCCACGGCGACAGGCGAUGAGAACUCAUCGGUGAAGGACCCAGAAACCAUUUUCGCUCGGAUGGAGUGGAGAACAAAAGGAUAAAUAUAGAGAGAAAGCAAUGGAGAGAGUAUGGAAGGAGUGACAGGAAAGAACCUAUGGAAUGACCAAAUUAAGGGAGGGCUCUCUACAUAUAGACUUUUAGUGAUGGAAAAAGGCCGGCUUCUAUGGGUCCACACUACUAUUUGCACCCGUUUGGUUCACGGUUUGUAUUAUUUUGAUAAUUUUUUAUAUUUUUUAUUGAAAAAUAUUUAAAUUAAUUACUAUUUAACUCAAGUGGGUCAUUAUUAAAGAUGUUAGUAAAAUAGUGAAAUCACUAUAGAUUCUGAAGUAAGAAAAAAUGCUAAAUUUUCAUAAAUUUUAGAAGAUAUAUUUAUUUUCAUGCUUAAUGAAAAUUCAUAAUAGUCUAUUAAUUAGAACAUGUUAGUUCUCUAACUUUAUAAGUUAAUAACAAAUUUGCUAUUUCAAAUAUAAAAUAUACAAUAUUUCUGAAUAACGAUAAAACUUGAACCAUAGGGCUCCUUUAAGUAAGUAAAGUGGAGUUUAGAGAGUAGUAAUCAAAUGAAGGGAUGCAUUAAUAUUCGUGAGAAGGUGAGUUUGGUGGUACCAUAGUGAUAUGUAUUUGGACUGUUUCUUACGUGGAAUUGAAGUAAAUAAAGCGUCACCAACCUAAAAUUUGGCACCGUUUGAGGAUUAAUUUAAAAUAUAUUAUUAUAAGAAGCAUCCCGUACUAUUUAGAUAGACAAAAUGUUUUAUCAUUUGAUCAUCAUGAUGUUUGACAUGUAGUGCAUGUUGUACCGGUGUAUAACCACCAAGUCUCACAGCUUGAGGUUUUUAAAUCCAAAGAUGAAUUGUUUAAUGUGAUCUACGCUAUUAAAAGAUCUGCAUCUUAAAAGAUCAUAACAUUUUAUGAUUUUUUUUUUUUCAUGUAACAAAGAUUUUACAACUAUUUAAUGACUAGUUAAUAAUUUUUUAUAAGUAAAACUAAUUUGAAGUUACAGAUCAUAUACGACGGUAAAUAAGAUUUAAAUUUCAGGACCUCUAGCUACAAAUUUCGGGGAACAUCGUCGUACAUCUCUCUCUUUCUCAGCGUAGUAGGUGGAUAUGAACACAAGAAAAUGAAGCCAAAUCUGGGCCAGCAAUGUGCACUGAUCUUUUCUUCUCGUUUGGUUAAUUUGUUAGUUGUAGAUGUAUAAUUAAUUAAAUCAAUCAUUUUGGAGCUAUUUGAGCAGGUAAAGCAUGCAUGUCUAAUAAGUAGGUGGGUGGUUUUCAUUUUUUUUUUCUGGGUAAAAAUGUAUAGAGGACCCUCCUAUAUAGCCCAUUUACAAGCAACCCCUCAAGUUUGUCUUUUUAUAAAAAAAAAAAGAAAAUUGGAGGGUUGGGGUGAUUUUAGGAGAUCGCUAAAAUAAUUUUAUUAAAAAAAGAUUAAGUAUAUGUAGUAUUGCAUGUGCUGCGAAAGUUAGAUUAUAAUAACCAACCAAAAUAGAAGAGUAAACUUUGCAUCAGGUACAGCAAAAAGAGAAAAACGAUAAGAAAGAAAAAAUAAGAAUAAAAUAAAUCCUUCCAAUUCUGCGAAUACUAUCGCUCAAACACUUGCACUAACUCCUAACAUUCAAACAAUCGUUUUUCGACCAUAGAGCACCUUCGCUUAAAUUUCGUUGAGCCUUCCUAACUUUUUGAGUAAUUUGAAUUGAUUUCAAAAGUUUUGUUGAAUUUAGUAACUUCAAUUAGCUAUUAGCCAUUAAUUAUUUUAAUUUUAUUGACUAAAAAAGAUUGAACUAUUAAGUUACAUAAAACUAUUGAUAAAAAAAAAAUUAAGAAAAUGUUAAUUUUUUUUAAAAAAAUUGCGAGAGCUUCUCACAAAUGAAUGAGGCCGGGUAAAGUAAUCCAAUAAUGAGAACUUUCCAUUUUCGGCAAAAAAACGAAAGAUACCAAAAAUAGACUUAUGAAAAGUCGGGCCGGGUCAAAAUAUACCUCAAUCUAAGCCCGGCCCAAUAAGCUCGAGGGAGAGAUACGGGCUAAAUCCAUAAGUGGGCCCAUACGGCCCAUUGGGGUGGAACCCAAUAAAUGGGCCUUAGUAGGCCCAUUUCUUCCCUCGCCCAUAUUGGGUCGGGCGUAGAUUGAGGUAUGUUUUGGCCCGACCCGACUUUUCGUAAGUCUAUUUUUGGCGCUUCCCCUUUUUUUGCCUGAAAAGGAAAGUUAUCACUUUUUAACCACUGAUAUACUACCUUUUCUUUUUCUUUUUCUUUUUCUUUUUCAAUUGGCAUUCCUAUACCUAAAAGUGAUUAAAAAUGGCCAAAUUUAAUAAAAUUGAUGAUUAUAUUCAAUAGAAUUUUUAAUUCAAUCCACGGAAAUCAAGAUAAAUAAAAAGUUAAGAGGGUUCAUUUCAUCAAAAGUUAUAUUGUUAUGACCUUAACUAAUCUAGCUCAAAUUACUUUAUUAAUCGUGCACAUGUACGUAAAUUUAAAUUUCCAAUUCACAUUAUAUGUGCGAGGACUCAAAAAUAUUAUACCAUAGCUUUAAGGAUUAAAAUACCGUGACACGAAAUCGUGCAAGAAACUUGUCGGUACAGUACGAUAUGAUGCGUGCCGAUCAAAAAAAUAUGUGUGCCGAUACGUAAUGAUAUGAAAUAUAAUUUUUUAGCAACAAAAUAUGACAGCUAUUUAUUAUUAUUUUUAUCAAAUAUUUUAAAUUUUGUUGAGAAAAUUAUUUACUAAUUUCAAGAAUAAAAAUUUUUGAAUUGGACCAUCGACCCGAGAACUGUAUUGCACCGAAAUCUUACUAGUAUGAUACGAUACAGUGAAUAAGGUUCGUACUGAUGGACACUUUAACCCUUACGUGGCUUUUUAUUUUUCAAUUUUCUUCUAAACUUUUUUUCUUCCUUCUCUUUCUUUUUUGGGUUUGAAACGUGCAAAUGCUUCCUUUGAGCUGUAAAGUGAAGGGCAUUUAUGUUUGCCUUUAGCAGUAGUCCAAAAGAAACACCAUUUUCUCUCUGUACACUUCUACUCACCUCCAGAAGCUUUAACCAAUUUUAAUCACCAAUGGCUUCUGCUAAAGACAAUUACAAUUCAAAAGUAACAUAAAUACUUCAUCACACAAUUGUCGAAACAAGGAGCUUCGGAAUAGACUAGAAAAAUGGAGAUAAUAAAGUUCUACAUAAACACUGCUAUGCCUCAGCAACAACUAUAAAAGUGACAGUAAAGCGUUCAAUAAACAAAAAGUGUAACCUUUGAAAAUUAAAAUAAGUUUUUGGACCUUGAAAAUAAAGUAAUUGAGAUAAACUUGCAAUAAAAAAAUUGAUAAUAUUUCCAAAUUAGAAAAAAAAAAAAAACAACACGUGGCUUCCCAUGUGACCCCUCCCUGUGUUGCCCAUAAUUGCUACUAUUCAAACUCAUAACCUUUUGUUUAGAGCUGUUUCCUAAUAUUGAACAAGGCAUUCCUGGGCAUCAACAGCAGUGUACAAACUUUACGAAACCCCCCUAAAAAAGAAGAAAAAACUUUUGGAACAUCUGUACAAAUCAAAGACCGUUGUGGCUCAUGGCGCGUAAUCGCACAAAUAUACAUGGAAAGUUGGUAUCUGCAUGCAAACUACUUGCUUAUUACGCGCAUAUCCUGCAAAGGGUAUCUAUGUAAACAUAUUUCUAUAUAAGCACAUCAGUUUUUAUCCUAAUUCUCUAGCAGAGAUACGCGCACAAACAAGUGAGAUUUUAGAAACAUGCAUGCAAAUUCCAACUUUGUGAGGGUAUCUGUACAAUUUUGCAUACUUGCAAGGAUAUUUAUGCAAAAAUCCUCAAUUCUUUCACUUUCAACUUUGCUUUUAAUGAUGAGGGAAAGUGCUUCCAAUUAUGGCAAGGAAAACGAGUGCUACAUAAUUUGGCGUGGACAUGUUAUCACAUAGAAUAGAACACAAGCAAGGAUGGAGAACCCAAUUCCCAACAGUUGUAGGAUCAGCCUUAACUGGUCCCCUACAGUAGCCUUAACUGGUUCUUUCAUUUUUCACUUAUUCUGUUCCUUCAACACAAAAAUAUCUCACCCAGAUCUCUUCAUAUGGCUUGUUUUGCACAAUCAAGAGUUGUUUGAUUGCGUGUAGUUUGAUUCCCAAGUAUCUGUUCUUCUUCGAAAAGCAAAAGCUAAAUGCUUGACAAAAAAAGAGUAAAGAACUGAAGUAAACUCUUUAAUCAUAAAAGUAGGAGCUCCUAUUUGUAGCUUUUGGUUUUACUGUAGUAGAAAGUUUUGAGAUUUCAGAUGUGAACCUUUUCAAUCGGCUUCAUUAAACGGCACAUAAGCCCUACCAUAGCAUGUAGUGCUAUUUGACAAAUUGUAUUUGAAUACAGUUAUCGGAAGCACCCUAUGUUAGAAUCGCCUCAACAUCUUAUCUCCGCAGCAAAAGCAAAAGCAAAAGCUCUAACCUUUUCCCAUAGCAUGCCUUUUCUGUUUGCGCGAAGCCUUACUAAAAAUGACUGCAGCUAGAGGCUAAGACGGAAUCAGGACCAAGCAGCCAUCUAAUGUUGUUCAAAGAAUUACUGAAAACUAUUUUAAUAUAAUGUUAUCAGCAGUUGUCCCUCGUCUCCAUAUGUUCUGUUUUUGGGAUCUAAAAGCUCAGUUUUCGGUUCUAGCUAGAGCCACUCUAAGAACUUCGAUAUGACAAACAUCUGGCUUCUGCCCCACGAGUAGAAAGGGUUUAAAACGAAUUUAAUUUCUAUCACUACGUAAGAACCAUUACUUUCCUUGGGCAAGAGGGAUUCUCAAAGUGUGGAUAUCUUCCUCCCCUCAAAGUGUCCUUACUACACUUUUUGACCCAGUCCUUAUGAUCAUGUUUGGUCGGCCGGGAUAUUCCAAUCACACCUCAAUCAUAGCUAAGCCGUGCCAAAAGCAAAAAUUCCUUAUGAAAAAAAAAAGAAAACCUAAUAAAAAUAGCCCCAUUUUGCCACCCACAACCUUUUGAGAUAUGAUAACGAGUCACCACACCACCUCCCUAUCAUCACUUUUCUUCACCUCUUUAUAUCCCUUCUCCCCCACAAAACGAUUCCCUAAUAAGUGCCCCACACCUUUUAGCCUCCAAAAUAUUCCAUGCCCCUCACAACUAGUACAAAUUAGUCUUUGCCUUCUCGAUCGAUUGUUCGUCCCUCGUUCCAUUCUCUUUGUUUCCUAAGUUCUCGCGUAAGUUCUCGAAGAACCAAUACAUAAGAAUAACACUACCCCACCAACCCAAAUUGUUCCGCAGAUUCCAUAGAACCGAAGUUUCAGUAAAUGGCUCAAGAACUAGAGGUAAGUGAGCGCAGGAAUACCCUGGUAUAGUAACAACAGUAUCAAUAGUAUCAUGAUAAACAAAUAUAACAGCAUAAUUAUCUUUCUUUUUCUUAUUUUGCUAACUUUUCUCUAAAUUUCUGAAUCCAUGCAGAGAGCUCGAGUCACCGAAUUGCACGUCCGCAUGGAUUGUAAUGGCUGCGUGCAGAAGAUCAAGAAGGCAUUGCAUAAUAUCGAAGGUAAACAAAAAUCAGAAGAAAGAAAAUCCAGAGUACCUUUAUUAUUACCUUCUGUUGAAGAAAGUUGCAGUUUCUUACUCUUUUUGGCAAAAAUUGUGACUUUUCAUUUCAGGUGUUUAUGAUGUCUACAUAGACUUUGCCCAGCAAAAGAUAACGGUGGUGGGGCGUGCCAAUCCCGAAGCAAUUGUCAAGGCCAUCAAGAAGACCAAAAAGAUUGCAACUGUCUGCUCCCACACCGAACUGCCCGACCCAGCUGCUGGCAAAUCGGAACAGCCACCACCAGAUGCAGCCAAGGAGCAAGCACCACCUGCCUCCGAACCACCAGCCGAAACCCCGCCAGCUUCGGACCCUCCAAAAGAACCCCCAAAAGAAGAACAGAAAGCCGAGCCAGAAGUGAAGCCCUCCCCGGAGGCCGAGGCUGCCACGCCAGCGGAGGUGAAGGAGGUCGGAGAGAUUCACAUGGUGCAUCAAUAUCCGCACGGGUACAGUGGCUUUCAACAUGAGCUCACCCCUCAUGUUUUUGUUCACAGCUACAACAGCUACAGGCCUUCAGCGUAUGCGUCAGAGUAUGGAUAUCUCCGGUCGCCUCCUAGGGACAUCAAAUACAAUGGAGGAAGUUACGGAGACGAACAUCGUCACUACGGCAAUGGAGAUGGGAGUCAGAUUACAUCGAUGUUCACUGAUGAAAACCCAAAUGCUUGCAGGAUAUCUUAGGAUUUCAGUAUCUUAUUCAAGCAUGUAGGUAGCUUAUUCAUGAUGAACUAUAUGGGAACAAACUCAUAGCUAAAGGCUUUAGACCUGUCCCCUUUACUUUUGGCUGUGUAAGAGUAGUUUAAAAUCUAUAGUUAGUGAAAAGAUGAUGUAUAGUGGUGUAAGGCUAAGGAUUAAGGAAUAAGUAAUGUGUGAGAAAGGAGAGAAGAGAAUAAGAUGCUUACCUUGUAGUGGGAGAUAAUUUUGAUGAGCAUCACCACUACUACUGUUUACUUUGUUAUCUAUCAUAAGAAGCUAAUAAAGUAAUAUUCUAACACAUUUUGCAGGUACAGUAUAUAAACAAUAUGUAUCAGUAAAACUACAUACCCAAGAACUCCUAAAAUUGGCAUUAAAACAAUAUGUAGCAAUAAAUACUAUAUUUGAUUUUCAAUAGGCAUUAAAACAAGUCAGUAGAACAGCUGAAAACAGAAGUAUCAACAAAAUUGAAAAUCUGAAACCCACAUAGGCUACAUCGUGUGCUAUUAAAAAUGUCACAAAAUGACUUGAUUACUGAAUCUUGAAUCUUGAUGCUCCCUAUUAGCAAUAGUUUAUGAGCAUGGUGAUGAUCACAUAAUCAACUUUAAUACAGCAAUUCAAAGGCAAAACCCAGAAGCAAAAUGAAAAGCACGGAAAUUUAAUUUGUUACACAAAAUGCACAGAGCAUAUUGUGUAUUGCAAUCAAGAACAUUAUGUUGGAAAUAAAGAAAUAAAGUUGCAUGGUAUUCCAAAUUUCCAACCAGACACCAUGCGGUCACAGUAUUAGUUAAUUAGAAUACCACAUGCAUCCUAAAUAUCAACUCUAUAAGCUAUGCUCUUAAAAAAGCAUCAAUGCAUCAUUAUUACAUCAGAGUGUUUGGGAUGUCAACUCAAUUUACUGACCACCAAUCGCAGGGAUAGGCACAGUAAGAUUUAAUUGUACCACAUGACCAAAUUCAAGCUAUUAGAUACAAAUAAAUAAAAUCAAUACAGCAAAGUUUCUAUCCGCAUUCUUUGCUAUACGGAAUUUCAAACCGAACUCUUUUAUUUACAGUCAAACAACAGAGAAUUGUAUGCACCUGAAAUAUACACUUCAUCAAUACAUAUCUGUCUGAUCUUAAGGCCCCUGUCCCUGAAUGACUAAUGAUACAAUUUAUCCUCUUGAUCAAGUAUGUUAAUUCGAAACUACGCCAAGAACCAGUCCACUGCACACUUCUGUCAGACAUGACACUCUUCAAAAGAAUGUCAAGUUAUCCCUUUCUUGUUCUUUCCCCCCACCCCCCUCUUCCCUCCUUUAUUUGUACCUCAAUCCUGAUCUACAUCUCUUUGAUGUCCCCAGACAUAGUCCUGACAAUAAUCCCAAUCCCUGUAAGAGAAGAGGUCAAAUACCAGCAGAGUUAUGUUAGAUAUAAAAGAGAAAACGUAAACAGAACAUGCUUCAGUAAUUGAAAGCUACACUUGGUAAUAGAAAGAAUGUCUCAAUGUUCUCAUAUUAAUAUCAAACAACAUCUGGUAGCUAGAUAACAGUAACAUGCAAUACAACAGUCACAUUUCACAGAUAAUGAAGCAAGAAAAAAUGUUCAGAAAUUCAUGAUUCAUCAACUAUUCAAAUAAGAAUGAAAACUGGAAAAUCUAAGAUUUGAAAGAAUAUGGCAGUAUCUCUACUAGUACCAUUAAGAACACCAAGGAAAGUAAAUCUGAACGUGUUACUAGAUUCUGAACUUGUUACUCAAUAGAUAUGACUUAGAAAUUGCACUUUCACCCAAAUUUGCAUUUGUUUGUCUGACCCAUCAUACUUCUCGCUGCACACUAUCAGUACAGAGAAACCUGGCAGAGUCACGAUAAGUCAAUGUAGGAAGCAAUUCAUUCUACCGACGGCUCUUGAAAAUAACAUGCCACGGCAGUAACUAGGGUUGAAUACAAAUUAAGUGCUGCAGCAAAGGAUAGCUUCCAGUGUGUUCAAGGGAUUAAAAGAAAUGAUCAAAGAAGGAAAAUAAUCUAAAACAGCUUUUAUAACAGAACAGCGACUAUUCCAGUAAAAUGGUAAUAGUAUUCUAUAAGAAUAUUUAGCAGGUCUCUUUAAAAUUCUGGUUAAUCACUAGAUCAGUGGCUACUUGAUAUUGUCUCACUUAAAUUUAUAAUUCAUUAACUGAUUGGUGUUUAAAUGCUUCCAACAAAACUAAACCCUAAUAUGACAAGAUAAGUUCAUGAAGCAUUAGCAAUUUAUCAAAUCAUCAUAAGCAUGCUGAUAAAUCCAAAAUGUAUACAAUAAACUUGUAAAAAAAAAAAAAAACAAGACUCAUGCGAACAACAUCAUCUAUUCCCAUUAAACCAUUUUUGCAACAAAUCACAAAAUACUUUACUAGAAAUGUAGUUUUUCCUUAACACAAAAUUCACCUUAAAAAUCAAACUAAUCCCGAAGCGGUUCACGUUUGCUCAAAUAAGCAAUAAACUCUGUAAAACAUAGCAUUUCAAUCAUCUACAGGGUUCCCACAAUUACCCUACUUCAUGAGAUUCAAUGUUUAUACAAUAAAGACAUGAGCAAUGCCUUUAAUUGCAACAAAGAUAACACAAUCCAGCUGAUAUUCCUCAACUAGCAAAAACUAUCCGGAUUCAUCAACUCAAGAUGUAAAAUUUCCAUCCAACGCACACAUAAGUACAUAACCAUACAAGAACUAGAGGAGAAACAAAAAAAGAACGACCUUUUCUCAACACGAGGAAUGUAGUCGCCACAGGAUCUAAUCCUCGUGAGCCAGAGAAAGCCCUAAGAUGCAAAAUUCAUACAAAGAUGGAUUCGGAGCAUGUCAUGAGGCACAUGAAGGAGGUGGGAUCGAGAUGGGCGAGCUCCAUGGGGUUGUCGACGAGGUUGACGGCAGCGAAGGUUGUAAAAGUAUGGCCUAAUAGAUCUUGAAUCGGAGGGUCUUCUCCACCAUGUUCUAGGGUUUCGUCGCGGAACGCUCUUCAUCGACGACGCCAGCCAGCUUCGCCAUGGUCGGCGCCCCCGGGAGCUCAGAAACCCUAACCCUAAUCCUCGUCCCGACUCUCACCGUCUCACAUCACAUGUUACCGCGAGCCCUUAACCAGGUGAUCGCCAUUAAGGAUCCAACACGUGCAACGCACGUGACUCCGAACACUCAAAGAACUACUCUAAUAAUCACAUGCACUUUGUGCACCACGUCAUUCAUAAACCGCCAAGCCAUCUUAAUCCUCACGGACCUCACGGCAUAAAGAGAAAUUAAUUUCAGACGACGUGGUGGACCAGGUGCAGGAUGAUUUCUAGAACCUCCCGGUCAACGGAGUCAAACUCUAAAAACCCUUCGUUCUCUCUCUCUCCCUCUCGACCCUUCGCACCGUCGACGAAGAAGAAAAUGGCGAUGAUGGUCGGCGCCGCGCCGCGCCGGCUUACGAGCCGAUCGAACCCGUUUCAGUUGGCCCGGCUCGUCGGCUCGGCCCUGAUCCGGUCGAUCUCGACCGGGUUCAGGGAGGAGUGGGACACCCUCGGCCCGGUUCAGGUUCCCGCCGACAAGUCCGUACACCCUCCCCACCACCCCCAGCGUUCCCCUUUUUUUUUUUACUAAAAAAUAAAAUUAACCUUAAUUUAUUUUUGGUAAAAAUGUAUUCACGUGAACUUUGAUUCAAUUUAAUUUUUUUAAAAUUUUUUACACCUAAACCUUUUGAUGCCACUUUGGUUACAAAAUUUAGUUAAACUACUGUAGUGAAAAUGUAAUUUUGCUUAAACUAAUGGCGCAUUCAAAUUCGGAAACAAAAGAGCUAUCAUAUGACGCAAUUCAAAUCAAUCAAAAAUUUAGGAACCCAAUUUGAAACUUUUUAAUAGUUCAGUAAAUUUUUGAAAAUAGGUUCAGUAAAUUAGAUGCUAUAAAAAUUGUUACAUAUAGGUUGUGGGGAGCUCAGACGCAGAGGUCGCUGCAGAAUUUUAACAUUGGCGGCGAGCGCGAGCGAAUGCCGGAGCAGAUCAUCCGAGCAUUCGGUGUACUUAAGAAAUGCGCCGCCAAGGUAUUUACUUUUUCUUUCUAUAGCACUUAUUAAUUACUUAAUUUUCUUUUUCGCUGCUCAUUAUUUUCCUUAUGUUAGUGUCCUUUUGAUUGUGUGUAGUUUGAUAUGAUUCUAUUCUUUAUGCAUCAUUAAUAUAAAAAACAAAUCUUUUGUUGAAUUACAAAUGUACCUCUCGCACUUUACCCCGUGUCUCUGUUAGCUUUGCAUUAAAAAAUUGUAUCAAUUUCGACGCUGCACUUUGGGACCAUUUCAAUUGAGCCGAAAAAUAGUUGUAUUUUUUGUUUAAGAUUCCGUUGACUGCGUCAAUUGUCUUCCCUGACUGUGUCACUAGUUCCACUUUAUUUUAUUUUAUUUUUUUGGUUUGUGAAGGUGAACAUGGAGUAUGGUCUGGAUCCGACGAUUGGGAAAGCAAUAAUGCAAGCAGCUCAAGAGGUUGCGGAUGGUAAAUUGGAUGAUCAUUUCCCGCUUGUCAUCUGGCAGACUGGUAGUGGGACGCAGAGCAACAUGAAUGCCAACGAGGUUUAAACUUAUUUUCUUUCUUCUUUGCAGUAGUCUCAAUACUAUCCGCUUUUUUCAGAACUCGUAUAAACACAUUUUCAAGAUCCUAUGACUUUUCGACUUAUGUGUAUUAAAAUAUUUGGAAAAGCACCAUAACUUUUUAGAAGGUUAUGAGCAAUAUUAUUCAAAUGAGAAUGUUGUUGAAAGAUUUGUACUUUUACGAGAAUUGGUCCAUCUGUUCCACCUCCUGAUGGAAGCUGCCUGCUGAUUCUUCAUCUUGUCAAUCCUUCUUUUCCUCAAGCAUGAUGAUGCCAUCUUCUUUAAUAUAUUAAAAUUUCUAAAACCAUUGAUUUUGGUUCGUAGUUCCUGUGUUUUCAAUGAUGGUCUCUCUUUUGUUCACAGGUGAUAGCAAAUAGAGCAGCUGAGAUUCUUGGGCAUAAGCGCGGUGAGAAGUUUGUGCAUCCAAAUGACCAUGUUAAUAGGUCGCAAUCUUCCAAUGAUACAUUUCCAACUGUAAGCCUUUGUUUAUCAGUACAUUAUCUUUCGAUUCUCUUUUACUUUUCUAAGGACUCUUUCGAAAUUAUGGGAGCCUUCAUGUAGAGUUUAAGAUAUAAGUUCAUUUAGCAUUUGGCCUUUGGAUCUUUGUACCGAAAAAAAAAUGUUUCUUUAUGCUUCUUUUUUUUUCUCAGAAAAUGUUUACUAGAUCAUGCAUUCUACUUAGAGUAACCUGAGUUCUCUAAUCAUGGUAUAUACUCUAGUUGAGUUCUUUUAUGGUUGAAAUAAGCCUUUAUUUAUGACUGGUGCAAAGCUUGGUUUAUUUCAGGUUAUGCACAUAGCUGCCGUUGGGGAAAUCAACUCCAGGUUUAUACCCAGCUUGAAACAGUUGCACAGUGCACUUCAUGCAAAGGUACACAAAUUCCACAUAACUGAUUUCUUUAGUCACCGAAAAAAUUGAUAAAGUAACAAGCAAAAAGAGUGGAGAUAAACAAAAUGCAUAAAAUAGAAUCAGGUUUAAGCUUUCUUUCACCUAAUUUUCUUCUUUUUUCCAAAUCAAGGAAAGAUCAGCAAUUUUUGUUGCAUUAACAUGCUUAUCUGGGGAUGAAAUAUGAUAAUUUACAUCUUUGCUAGUUGUCAUUCUCUUCCUUGAGACGUGUGAUUGAAGCUUAUUGUUUCUCAUUAACUUCUUCUAUUCCUUGACUUACUUCGAUUUGCAGACUAUUGAGUUCAAAGAUAUAAUUAAGAUUGGCCGUACUCAUACUCAGGAUGCUACUCCUUUGACGCUUGGUCAAGAAUUCAGUGGUUAUACAACACAAGUAUGAAUACCUUUUUUUUUUUCUUAACAUGAGGAGAGUUUGUCCAUCUGAUAUAUAAUGCUAUCUUGAAUAUUCAGCAAUGAUACUUCAUCAGCUCUUCGUGUGUAUGUAUUUUUUAGGUUAAAUAUGGCAUUGAUCGAAUAGUGGGCACUUUGCCUCGGAUGUAUCAGGUAGACUAGCUAAUAGAUAUUUUCAGUUGAUGAUUUCUCAUUUUUAAACUAUUUCUAAUUGACUUAUCCCGGUGUGCAGCUUGCACAAGGUGGAACUGCUGUGGGGACUGGGUUAAACACAAAAAAGGGGUAAUUUGUCUAACUUUAUAUGUCUUGCCUUUUUUAAUGCUGUAUAUCAUAUAGUCAUGCAAUCUGGUAGAACUUGCUAAAAUUUGCUUCCACAUAAAUGAUUUUCAUUGUGUGUAAUUAAUAUCCUAUUGCUUUUGCUUUAAAAUGCCUUCAUCUUUGCGUUCUUGUUAGGGACUAAACUGCAACAUCAGUCAAGCAAGCAUGUACAUAGAUUAUCAUUAUCCCUGGAACUUUUAUUCAACAUGUUCAAACAUAGUACUAUUUUGUCAUGUUACUUUAUUUUAGCUCGUAUGGGGCCCGCCUACUUGUAUGUCACACUAAAGCUUGGUUUAUAUUUGCCUACAUUUUUCAGAUUUGAUGUUAAAAUUGCCGCUGCAGUGGCCGAGGAAACAAAUCUACCUUUUGUCACAGCAGAAAACAAGUUUGAAGCAUUAGUUAGUAUUCACACUUGUGCUUGUUUGCUAGGAGAUGUUAUUAUGCUGUUGUCUAUUGGUUACUAUUUCUUCUGUCUCCUGCUGAUUUAUUCCAAGAAAUUUACUGCAGCAUAUUUUUGAGAUUUUUUUUAUUUUGGGGUAUGGAACUUCAAUUUUGUCUCUUAUCUACUAUACGCACUCUGUGCAUAUUUCUUAUUGUACCAGGCGGCACAUGAUGCUUUUGUUGAGACUAGUGGUGCCGUAAACACAAUUGCUGCUUCUCUUAUGAAGAUCGGGAACGACAUACGGCUACUAGGAAGGUAUUUACUUUUAUGGCCCAAAGUGUUACUUCCCAUAACUGAAUGUUGUAUAUAUGCAUGUACAUAUGUAUGAAUUUAUUUAUGUAUUAUAACCUGUAAUAUUUCCCUUCCUCAGUGGACCACGCUGUGGACUCGGCGAGCUUAUCUUACCUGAAAAUGAGCCAGGCAGCAGUAUUAUGCCUGUACAUGCCCUAUCCUAUAACUUAUGUUACAAAUAGUCUUCUGCGCUAAUUAAUGUAUUGGGAACCUUGUUGAGGUUCAUUGUGUUGUAGCAAAAAGCUUCAUUAUGUUUUGCCUUCUUUGUUUAGAUGCUUGCGACUCACUUAAUUCUACUAUGACUGACCCUUUUUUGUUAUAGGGAAAGGUCAAUCCCACUCAGUGUGAAGCUCUAACCAUGGUUUGUGCUCAGGUAUGCUGAACAACCUUUCUAAAUGUUUAAUGAUACGGUGUAGUUACUUACCGAUAACGAAAUUUCAAAUGUUUACCAACUCUUCAUUUCGUUAGUAUGUUUUUGGCUUGUCCGUCUCCCAUUUGCUUGAAAAUGGGAAAAGAAGCUUGUUGUCGUUCUCAGAGUUCAAUUGUAUUUUAACUUAAAAACUCCUUAUUUGGAUUGUCAGAGCAACAUUGUAUUUUGUUCUUGUCGCAGUUCUUUAACUGCUCAUGUUCUCUUCUUCUUUUUUUAAAUCAGAUUAUCAAAACUCUUUCUGUCUGAUCCUGGGAAAGCAUUUCUUUUUUCUUAUGACAGGUGAUGGGUAAUGAUGUUGCAAUCACAAUUGGAGGAUCAAACGGACAUUUUGAGCUCAAUGUGUAUAAGCCGCUAAUAGCUAGUGCUCUUCUUCGAGUAUGAUUUGUUGCACACUGAUGCACGUAUUGUAAUAGAAUUUACAGUUCUUUUCUAAAUUCAACAGAUUGAAUCCGGCAUACUGACCUUAGUUUUGCUGGCUUUUUUGUCAGUCUUUGAGGUUACUGGGCGAUGCCUCUUCAUCUUUCGAGAAGAACUGCGUCAGGGGGAUAAAAGCUAAUCAUCAAAGAAUCUCAAAAUUGCUGCACGAGGUAAACUUCUAUGCCAACAUAAACACUUCAACGUGCCCCAACAUUAUGUUUGGUAACCAAUUUAAUGCAUUCCUCGUGUCCUCGAUAUCUCCUGCAGUCUCUGAUGCUGGUCACAUCUUUAAAUCCUGUAAGUUUCUCGUAUACCGUGUUCGUUAUGUUCAAUAUAGUAGUAGCUAUCUUAGAUAACAACUGAUAUCUGAAUAUGCUUUGCAUCAUAUUCUUUGGUUCUUUUUUUCUUUUCUUUUUUUUGGGUUCAGAAAAUUGGUUAUGACAAGGCUGCAGCUGUAGCCAAGAAAGCUCACAAAGAAGGAACUACACUGAAGGUGAUUAUGAUAAUCCCUAAGCAUAAGUUUUGAGAUUAAUCGCAGUGCAUAAUAUGAACAUUUUGAUCACUCUAAUGUUCUAUUUAUGUUAUUUUAUACUUGUGUAAUAUUGAUUUAUAUUCCUUAAUGCUUGCACCUAUAUUUUCAUUCUCUGCCAUUCUGAUAAACCUUUUUCUGUUUAUCAGGAAGCUGCAUUAAGUCUUGGAGUUCUCACAGAAGAAGAAUUUAACGAACUUGUCGUACCGGAGAAGAUGAUCGGCCCUUCCGAUUAGUCGCAUAGUACUAAUUUUCCUCCUUACUUUGCCCCCAAAUAAUCUAGAGCAUCUCUUUUUUGCUCCUCUACACGAGUAUUAAUUCCUCUUUUUUCUUUUCUUUCAAAUAUCUGUGCCAUGCCACUUUUGAUGUUACACUUAAUAGUUUUGAGAGAUCUACAGGGUGAAUUUUUAUUAAUGUAAAAAUAAACUAAAUAAUUUUGUCACACUUAUUCUUUGUGCUUGAAUAAUUAAUUAUUUCCCAUUUAUGAAAGUGACCAAUGAGAUAUAUAUUAAGCUUGUUAUGUGAUAUGACACAAAACGUGGCAUGUCCAAAUGCAUAAAUAAUAAAUAAUAUUAAGUUCCCUAUUUGUGAGCAAUUAGAUAGAUCAAUGGAGAUUAUGGUAGGACAACUACCAAGCCUACUUUGGUUAAAUUAGGUUACCUUCUAAAUUAUAAGUUAUAAAUUCAAGUAAUUCAUUGGUCAGUUUAUUAGUUAAUUUUUUUUUAACCAAAUCUCUAAUUCACUGCUCACGGUGCUUUAUAGAUUCGAGUGCUUUGCAUGAUGAACGGUGGAUUAAAUCGUCUCAUUAGGAAGAGGAUCCACCGUUAAGAUUUUUUAUUUUAAUUUUUUCCCCUAUAUUUUCGAUCUCAAAUGGAGAAUUUUUUGGAUCUAAGGUUCUCCAUUGUGGUUAAAUUCUUCUUUUAUCUUCUAAUACCAUUUACCAAAGCCAUAACUAAUUCUAAAAUAGCAUUUCCUUUUAGAGAACAUAAUAAAAGAAAUUGUUGUUGGCAUGUAACAUGGCGGAGGUUGACCCUUCUCUUUCCAUCCAAAUUGUCCACAUCAUAAAUUUAAAUUAAUUUGUACUAUACACAAAUAUUUUCCAAACUUUAGAUGGAUUAGAAUUUAGUUUAGGUUAAUUUUUAGUUCACUUAAUAUCUCAUAAUGUUGACCAAAGUGUUAAAACUUUUGGAGGGAGGGGUGUAAAAUAUGUCUACUUUUUUUUUUCUUUUUUUGAGAGAUAGAUAGCACGCUACCUGCUUUAUUUAUUUCAUUUAGAAAUAAAUUUAGUUUGAAAUAUGAAUCAACGAGGAUUCGAAUUUGGGUCUCGGGUACCAAUCACCAAGCUUUUUGUUACUUGCUUCAGGGACGGUCGAUUAUAUGUCUACUUUUUGAGUGUAUAAAUAGAGUUACUCUACGAGAUAUUAGCUAAGUUGAGAAACUAGUUUAUUAAGUGGAAAAAUAAUUACUUAAUUACAACUCAUUGAAAGUUCACGAAAUAUUUAUACAUUUUAUCCUAACUAAUAGAAUUAUAGGAACCUAAAUGAGAGAGAGGAAAGAUUUGGUAGGGAAAAGGAUGGGGAAUGAAUAAAAACACAUUGCUUUAUGAGAAAAGGAGGUGUUAUCUAAAAGUUUUUUUUAAAAAGAGUGAAUAAUAUAGAAAAUUUUCUUGUUUGGGCAAAUGGUCCUUUUGUGUCGUGACAAUGUGUAUACAUACGGGCUGAGUGAUCCUAACACAAUUAGUAAAAAAUUUAAUGAUUAGCGGUCAAAAUUCUAAAUUCAAAUUAUAAUUGAUUCAUAUUUUCAGCUAAAUUUUUUUUAAACAAAAUGAAUAAAGCGAGUAACAUAUUAUCUAUCCUAUUAUCUAUCUUUUAGAAAAUAUAUAUAUAUAUAUAUAUAUAUACAUGUCUAAAUCUGCAAUAAAUGCUCUAUAUUAAUGAAUUUGCAAUAAGAAAAAUAUUUUGUCCACAUUUAAUUAUAUAAUAACGGAACAUUAUCUAAGCUAAGGAUUAUUAUUCUCCGUUUUAAAGCCAAAUGAUAAGGACAUGUGCACCUACGCAUGCUUAUCUUUUUCUCUCCAACUUGAUUUUCCAACCAUACGUUCCUGUUAUUUGCGGUGGGCCCCGCGAAACUAGUCAUAAUCCUCCUCCAACGGAGAUCCCCUUCACACGUGUGCCCCAACCAAUGGUUGUUCACUAAAUGGGGCUACGUUGGACGUGCACCACCGGUGUACAAUGUUGCAUGGACUUUGUCCACCACGUGAACUGUAGACCACGGUGUAAUGUGUAGGCACAAUAGACACUACUCAAAAUUCUCGGUUUUUUUUUUAAAAAAAUAACAGAUAGUUAUUAAAUAGAGUACAAAACGUAAUAAAAAAUUGUUUAAAAAUUAAAAUAUAUAUUAUUAAAAAAUAUCAUUAAUAUAGAUAUUGUGUUAAAUCACGUCUCUACUGUAUAAUAUAAAUUUUUGGUAUGAUUUGUGUUUCAGUAUUUAAACCUUAAUCCAAAUUAUUUAGCAAAUUAUAGAAUUUUAAUAUUUUUUAUAACUGAUUUUCCAAGAUGUGAGUUUUGGUCCACGCUGACGUGGUGGACCUUGUCCACGCAGUUUCUCCCGAGGAGGCGGGACGCAACAAGAGCCAUUGCGUUACGGCGUGGCAAAAGACCGUACAAAUUGUAACGGCGCCGCUCCUCUUGAUCCACCGUCCAAAAAGGUUCUGUUCAAUCUCUACCGUUCAAUGUUGGACAGGAGAGAUCAACGAAAGUCCACGUGGACGGUGGAUCAAACUCUCGGACGCGUCCGCAUAAUACAUCGUCCUGAUGGUAACCUUGUCUCCUUCGAGAGUACAUCACUGUAUAACUGUAUUCUCCCAGGAACGAUGCGUAUUCGUGUCGGUGCGACGCGUAUCAAUAUACGAAGCCUAAUUUACUAAAAACCCCUUGUGUUAUCUCAUAUUUACAGUAGUACUGUACUAAAAACAUGUACUUAUCCUUGGGUAAUUGAGUACACAAAAAAGUAGUUUUUCGCUAAUUUAUAGCGAGGAGGAAGUGCGAGGGAGAAGAGGAAGAUGCGGGGAAGCGAACUCGUUAAUGGCGAAAAAAAUUGGGGGCUUAAUUCGCCUUAAAUUAAUGUAGGGAUUCGGCUUCUAGGGUUUCGUUGCUCGGAUCCCCUUUUACGAUUAGGGUUUCGAUGGCGACGGCGACGAUGGUGACGGCGGCGGGGAUGGCGAUGCUGCUCUACUACGUGCUGAGCCGGAGAAUGGCGCCGAAGGAGGCGGAGGAGGAGCGGAUCGGUGGCGGCGGCGGAGAUCUCUCGAAGCCGGGGCGGGCGCGGCGGCGGCGGGUGGCGCGGAGACCGUCGCAGCCCCCCUCGACGUGGAGGGAGGCGGUGGCAACGCUUGCGGGAACGCUUAGGUUUACCUACUCGGAAACCCUAGGGAAGUGGCCGAUCGGGGAUUUGGCGUUCGGGAUUAAGUAUCUGAUGAGGCGACAAGUAAGAAGAAGGAUUUGGCUUCUUUGGAUCUACUAAUCUCAUUUAUACUUUUCAAUUUUUUGCGGUCCAAAUGCUCUUAUGUUUGGUAUUCUAUGGCUAAUUUCAUUGCUUGUGUUAGUUAUGAAUUAAAUUCGAGGCAAUCAGGUUUGCAGAAAUAGUUCGUUCGUAAAUUACUAGAAAGAUUAGAUUUUUAUAUGUUCUCAUAGUUCUAAGGCUUACUUUUCUGUAUAGUAUCAAAUUGAAACAGUUUCCUCAGAUGUGUCAAGAACAUCUCCUUUGUGUAUCUCUGAAUUUGGUGUGAACUUAUGACUUUUAGUGGGGAAUAUAGGUAGUGCUAUAUUCCUGAACUAAAUCCUCUAUUUUUAUUCAAUAUUUUUAUAUAAUAUUUUCAAGAGAAGAUUGAAAUAUUGAUGUUAGUUCUCCCUUCUAUUCAGUGGAAGCUCUGUCGCAAAUAUUUAUUCUUUCCAGUCAAAAUAUAUUAUUUGUGCAUGUUCAUAGUUGCUUAUUUUGGUUUAUUAGUUAUAGUGGAAGGAACUUGUAUUAAAAAAAAAAGAAAAGAAAAAUGCUAUUUAAUGUUGGGGUACGAGUAGUCAGUCUCCUUGCUUCUUUUCUACUUUCAUCAUGUCCUACUAACUGUCGACUUUUGUGUUAAAUUUUUUAUGGAAAAUUCUGUGGAAUGAUUCAUGUCGGACUUAUAAUUUUUGUACAAGGAAGCUUGUAGUCAAAUUUUAUAGAAUCAAUGGGGAUAUUACUGCACACUAACUUAUAAAACUGCUCUUUCAGGGCAAUGUGCAUGUUGCAAGUGUAUAUGCUGGAAAUAACUGUGUGCAACUACGAGGCCCAGAUAUAAUGGCUGAGUUGAUUUAUCUUCUGAAAUUAUUAAAUCUAUGCUUUCUCUUCUCAAAGAAGCCAUUCCUAGUGUUCUUGGAGACUGCUGGAUAUUCCCAGGAAGAUGUUCUUAUUCAUGAGCCUAAGGCGGGGGUGCGUAAGUAUUAUACUCUUGUUAGAUAUCCUAAUUCUACACAGUACAGUUGGCUAAAUGCAAUUGAAGGGUAAAAUAUAUGGAUUGUGCCCCACACAAUCCCGAUAUUGUGACUCCCGUUGUUGCGACUUUCUCUCUGAACUCGAACUCAUUAGCCCUUGAACUUUCUUAUCAAUUGGAAUACUCUUCCUGUCUUCUAAAGAAAUCCAACAACACAUGACUUUUCCCUAUGAAAUUACCUGUCUAACCUUGCUUCAGGUACGCGAAACAAGGAUUUCAUUGUUCAGAAGGGGUAAAAUGGUCAUUUUACAUAAAUUUUUUAACACUCAGUGAUGAGAUUGCAAAUUACGAAAAAUUUGAGGAACUGAAUUGCAAUAUCGCAAUAAUGGAGAGACUAUCCAUCAUAAUAACUGUCGUUAUUCUAGCUCUUUGAAACACAAAAAGUGAUUUCUUGAUGAGAUUCUAAUCUGCUUGUUCUACUCUUUGCAGCUUUUGAAGCCUGCUUUCACAAUUUUACGCGAUGAGAAUUCCAAGUGUUUUCUCCUUUUGGUUCGAGGCACCCACAGUAUCAAGGAUACACUGACUGCUGUGACUGGUGCUGUGGUUCCUUUCCACCAUUCACUUUUAGAUGAAAGUGGUGUUAGCAAAUUAGUAUUGGGGUAUGCGCAUUGUGGUAUGGUUGUUGCAGCCCGUUGGAUUGCAAAAUGUACUAUUCCAUGUCUCAGGAAUGCAGUUAGUCAAUUUCCAGACUACAAAAUCAAGGUAUGUUUUUUUUUUCUUUUUUCUUUUUUCUUUUUUCUUUUUUCUUUCUUCACCAACGGUUUUGGAUUCUAGAUUUUAUGGCGAUACUUUAUUUUAGUUCGACGACGAUUAAUUUAGCCAACCCCCAAUAGCUUUCUUUUCAUAAUUUUUUAAGUUGGCCAGCCUUUUAUUGUAUUUUUUUCCAACUGUAAUUGGUUAUCCUUCAUUAGUUUAGAAGCAUCUUUGCUAUUUUCUGUCUUGUCCAACAUGGUGGUUGAACUUGUUAUCUUCAGAUGAACAAUAAGGAGUGCUAAUAUGAAACUUUAUACAGUUUCUAUAUGAGCCUUCUCAACUUGGUUUCUGAUAUAACUACUUGAAAUUGCUUGAGGUAGGCUUGGAGCACAAAAAAUGGCAAUGCCUUCCGCUUUCUGUUACUUUUUUUAUAUGCUCACAUAACAAUAUCUGCAAUUAAUCAUUGAUCUUUUUCCUUCUCUGAUAAUUAGAUUGUUGGGCAUUCGUUGGGUGGUGGCACUGCUGCUCUCUUAACAUAUAUUCUGCGAGAACACAAAGAAUUCUUUUCAACCACUUGUGUUGCAUUUGCACCAGGCAUGUAUCUGAAAAUCUGUUAUGUUUAUACAGCUUGUAUCUUCGUGUUCUUGUUGCUGCUAUUGUAUAUUCCCGUAUACUAUCCAAUUUGAUCCACUUGAAAAAUUAGGGUUGAAAGCAGAGGGUCAUCAAGCUGCUCAUGCUUGCGCAAAUUGCCUGUGGCAUCACUAAAUUUUAUCACCUGCUUUUAAUUGACUAUUUGUAUCAUCAGAUGAUCUGAUGAUAAUCUUGUUGAGCAGAACUGACAAAUGAGAAAACAAAUUUUAUUAAUCCAUGCUUGUUUAUACGAGAUUAUCCAUUUAUAUGUUUCAUUUGUGCCCUAUAAAGGUCUUUGAUCUUUAAUCUAGUUAAGAUGUUCAGCUACUGUAAUUGUGUUUUGUUGCUUGUGUGUUCAAUGGAUAAUUUGCUAACAAAUUAUCUUCGUCAGCUGCUUGCAUGACGUGGGACUUGGCAGAAUCUGGCAAGCAUUUUAUCACCACCAUUAUCAAUGGCACUGAUCUUGUUCCUACAUUCUCCACUGCCUCAAUUGAUGAUCUCCGUUCUGAGGUACUUGUUCUCCAUCAACCAUGUUAUCAUCGUCUGUUCUUCUACAUGCACCUGUUAGAUUAAUGUGUUCUGUUUUGGUACAGUUUUCCAGACAACGUGGUUUACUGGAUUCCUUAAUUCAGAAUUCUAGAUAUAUAAUUGUAUUGCGUUACAACAAUCAAAUCGGUGACGCUUCCGACACCUUGGAAAUUGGUCUUUGCUUACACAUGUUUAUCCUUGCUUUAUAUUACCUUUUCAGGUGACGGCAUCUUCAUGGUUAAACGAUCUCAAGGAUCAAGUGCAACAAACACGUUUCCUAAAUGUCGUCUACCGUUCUGUUUCUAGUGCUCGAGAUAAGGUGGCAGGAGCUGGCACGCUGCUACGUCCCGUCUCCAGCAAAACUCAGGUAAGGGAACUAGCUGCAUUUUAAUCGAUAAACCAUGCAUUUACUAAAGAAAAUGGGUAGUUACACUAUUGGUCACUGAACUUUUCCUUGUGAAGUUUCACUUACGUCGAGUAGUGAACUUCUGUUUCAAUCGUGUUACUUUGUCAAACUUCAUGUAAUUUGCGGCAGAUAUUCAGAUAUCAAGCCAUCUUCAAGAGAUGAUAUGCCAAUGAUAUGGCAGUUCGUUUAGUGACUAAUGGUGUAAUAUACCCAUAGAGCAGAUUCCAUUAUUUGGGGAAAAAAAAAUCGAUGGAUUUGAGGUAGCGAACAAUUUUUCCUGAAACCUGAAACAAUUAGUUAUGUGCAAAAUUAGAUCCAGAUUGAUGGUUGUGAUAUUUUGUAGUGUCCUGCUUCUUGCCAGUUUGGAGGCGCUCAAACCAAUCCAACUUUAUCUGCUUUGUUUUCAGUUAAAAAAAAUGAAAGCUCAAAUAAUUCUUCUAAUUGUAUCCUUGAAUUCUUAACUUUGAUUUUGCUCAUUCAGGUUGUUAUGAGGCAGGCACAAAAUGUUGCACAGGCUGUCGUUAGGAGCCGAUCAACAUUCUCUUCGUGGUCAUGCAUCGGCGCUCGCCGCCGUUCUGUUGGCUCAGUUGCAAACUCUAAAGAGGAGACAACUACUGAAACCUUGACUCUGCUUCAGCACGGAACCACUGAGGAAUUGGUGGGUGAACUGCAGUUUGAUAUUUCUAGGGUUUCCGACCAUGAGGAAAUUGAUAUUUAUAGGGCUUCCGACCACGAGGAGACAGAGGAAGAAGCACUUCUACAAGAAAGCGUAGUCACUACUGUUUCCACCACCGAAGAAAUCACCGAAGGUGAACUGUGGUUGGAGUUGGAAAAAGAACUUAAACAGCAAGAAGAAGCUAAUUCCCAAGCUCGAGAAGAACAAGCUGCUGCUGCAAAAGAGCAUAUUGAAGAAGAAGCAGCCGCAGUUUUGAAAGCAGUCGACGAAAAGAAAUCCAUCUCCGCAGAUGCCCUAGAAGGGCAACAGUUAUAUCCUCCGGGUAGGAUUAUGCACAUGGUCGCUUUGCCACCGGCGGAUUCCGACCCUAAUGAAAACAUUGUGAUCAAUGAAUGCGACAUCGGUUUAUACGUAACACCGAGAGAGCUUUACAGUAAGAUCCGGCUCUCCAAAACUAUGAUUAACGAUCAUUAUAUGCCUAUGUAUAGGAAGAUGAUGGAACUGCUCAUUGACAAGCUCGCCGUUGAGGAUGAUGGUCGUAAGGAUAGUCAAAUGUGAAUGAUUCGAUAUAAUAUAUUUGCAGGUAAAAGCAACAUGUUGUUGUCCUAACUUCAAACUAACCAGCUUGAUGUAAUAUGUUCAGCUAAUUGAAUUGCAAAUUAAUGAUGAAAUGAAAUGCUAAAUAGUUGUCAAUUCUUGAAGAAGAGCUUAACACAUUAAGUGAUAUUUUCACUUUGAAAUAAACUGAUUUCAAAGAUAAAAUGAUAACUACUAUAAUCUUAUCAUUACCAAUAUUCUUUUCAUAAAGACAGAUAUUGAUAGCUAUAUGAAUGUAAUGAAAUAAAAUAGUUAAAAGAUGAUAAAAUUACAGCUAGUUGUUCUAUAAUUAGAUAAAAAGGUGUUCAAUUCCAAAAAAAGGGUCUUUUUAUUCUCACCACACUGAUGAACGCACAAUAGGCGAAAAUUUGCUACAGAGCCAUAAUUUUACUCUGCCUAAGUUAAUAAAUUUCAUUAACAUUAAAUUUAGGGCUUGUUUAGUUCAUCUAUUUUAAGUAUGGAAUGAGAAUCGGUUUUGAUCAAAUCCGAUUAAUUUUGUUUGGUUUGCAUGAAUCGAUUUUGGAUUUCUAUUCCGGAGUGGAAUGGGAAUGGCCCAUUAGUUUUCAACUUGAUUCCGGUCUUCUAGCCCGGAUUGAGAUUUCAUUUCGGAAGACCACUAAGCUCUCAAAGCCCAUAUGACCAUCUCACCCUCCUUCUCUUCAUCCAUUCUCAUCAAAAAAAAAAAAAAAAUAAUUUUAGUCUCAAAACCCUAUCCCUAACCCACAUCAAUAAAAAUUUUUAAAAAUAAAUUUAAUUUUUUUUUAAAAAAAACUUAUUAAAAAAUAAUAUUAUAUUUUCAUAAAUUUAAAUAAUAUAAAUUUAUAUUUGAGAAUAAAAUUAAUAUUAUAGUAUUCUAUAAUUUUUUAGUUUAUACAAACCAAACAAUAAAAUAUGAAUAACUCAUUCCGAAAUAACUCAUUCCAAUUUUCAAUCGACAGAUAAACCAAACGUCUUGAAAGAGUGAACCAUUCUAAUUCAUUUCCAUUUCAUUAUCCAUUCCAAUUUCAUGCUUGAAGCAAACAAGCUCUUAAUCAAAGAAGCCCUUAAUCAAAGGUGCUUUUUAAAGGCCUAACAUUUGGGCUUAGAAGUUAUGUGUAGUAGGCCCACCAAGAGGUGGAGCCUUCCAAAAAUUGGCGGGCGAGCCCAGCUCGAAGUAAGAGCCGGAGCUCGCUCGCACCCAAAACGGUGUGUUCGCGUUUUGUAGGGCGUCGGCACGACUCGCCGUCUCUAUACGAUCAUUGACGAGUCGCCUCUCACCCCCCAACAGGACGGGUUAAACCCGAAUCCUCCCCCCUCCUACUCACUUUAUACCGGACUCUCGUCGCCAAUGUUUCGUGAGUUCCGAUGUGGGACUAAUCGAUGGGCUAACGGUGUUGUCGCACGGAAUCGGAUACCCCUGAUUCAGACGGUCGAUUUCCAUGCAAAACCCCUCGAAACUGGGCGGUUCGGUUCCGAAAAACCCUAACUAGUAGUUCUCAACUGGAAUCGAGGGGAUUUACGAUUGCGUGCGUUUGUUUCUUGCGAAAUCCCCAACUUAGGAGGUGGAUUUCACGCAAAGGCUUCGAAAUUAGGGCCUGGGCUCGGAUAAACCCUAAUUCUCAGCUGGAAUUGGAGGGUUUUAGGACUACUCAGUCGGUUCUGGUUUACUUUUUACCCUUUUUUUGUUUUUGGAUGAAAGAUUCCUCUUCCUCGACGUCUCUUUCGAAUUGAUCUGGGAGUAAGAUUUUAGUUUGGUACAAAGAAGAAUGGGAUCGAAAAGUGAGAAUUUUGACCAGGCUUUCGAUGAGAGUGUUGGAUUAUUGGGGCCACAAGCGAUUUUAGAUAGAUCAAAGUAAGCUUUAUUUUAGCCAAAAAAAAAAAAGUGUUUUUGUUCGAUUGUUUUAGCUUAUUUAGUUCGUUUAUGGAUGAAAUAGUUCUAAACGUAAUAAAUUUUUAACUUGAUUUGGAUUUUAGAAUUGGGGAAAAUAUCAUAUUUGGUUAGUUUUAAGUAAUCGAUCUGUAACUUGUGUUUUAUUUUCUAUGUUACGAAUUCAAGUGCGGAUGGAAGCAAUGCGAUUAUAAUGGUCGGCAAGAGAAAGGGCAAAUUAAAAGGAAAAGGGGAGGUAUUUUAUUGAGUAUUUUUCUUAAUUUAUGGGCAGUUUGUAGAAAUAUUACAGAUUGGGUUGGAUAGUAGUUUUCCUUAAAGCUGUUGCAUAUCUAUGCCAGGUUUCUGAGAUUAGAAAGAAGAAGGAAGCUGCAACUUUGAGCAAAAGCAAGCAAAGGAAGUUAAAGAAGUUGGAGGUAUGUGCUUGGUUUUAUGUAAGCGCAUAAUUUCCUGUUUUCUGGAACAGCUUUGCUGCUACAAGAAGCAGUAGCAAGGUGUUGUUGAACAAAAUUUGGAGCUUUUGCUUACAGAAAGCUGAACUAACUUGUUUGCACCAAUUGGAACUCCUGCUUCUCUGCAUUGAGAAGCUGUUGGAGGAAUUUUGUUGAAAAAGUUAUUAGUUCUUCAAACAGCACUUGUGGAGAAGCUCCGGCGGAAAAGCAGAACACAGAAGUUUUUUUCUCUUUUUCCUUCAAAUUUUCUUUUUUCUUAUUGGUUGCUCAUAGCUUGUUCGCUUGUUUGUGCUUCGUGUGUCCAGGACGAGAAACAAAAGAAGUUGCUGGAAGCUAGAAGUAUUAAGCUUCUGGGGUAUGUGACCUCUUUAUUUUUCUUCCUUCUAUUCUAUUUCAUUGUAGUGUCGAAUAUUUGCAAAAUAACUUCUUCUUAGUGAAAUGAGCUCUCGGCUGCUCUUUCCUGCUGCAGGAAAUACAAGAUAUCUGAUGGUGCAUAUUCUUUUCUCCAUUCUUCAGGGACUAUUGGUCAAGUAUGCUACUUCCAUCAAGUAUUGAUUAACUGGGAUAGCAUCCAAUAAUUAGAAAUUUAUUUUAUUGUAUGAACGAUUAUGAUGUAGGCUGAGACUAUGAAGGAAAAACGUAGGCGAGUAGUUCAAUUUUCCAAGGCAGGCUUGGAAAUUCCUGAAGAAAUUCUACCUUUAGAGAAGGGCAGACGGAAAGUUUCUGAGGAGAUUGAAAUCAGUGAGAAAAUUGACUCUGUUCAAACCAACCUAGAAAGUGUUGGUCAUGGAGAGCAACAAGAUGACGAAAGUCAUAGCUUGUCUUUUAGAUCUAACAUAAAAGCAAUUAGUAAAAGCAAACCAGUUGCGGAUAUUGGAUCAAGUGUGUCACUGCCAACAGAAGAAACAAAUAGAGUCGUCAUUAUGGGGAUUCAAGAAAAGCAAAAAGUCUCUCCACCAAUUUGUAGUCAUGCUGCUAUAGCACAUGACAUUAGUUUGCAGGUGUGUUAUUGUUUAUGCAUCUCUUAGAAGCACCUGUUAUAUGUGCUUGUGUUGAGUCAAUCACUUAUCAUCCAUUGAUUAGUUAGUUUUUUUUCUCUCUGUGUGCAAUUUUGUUGUUAAUUAAUCUUUGCUGACUUCAUAUAUAUACUCUUCAAAUCAAUAAUGAUCCUUCUUUCAAGAUAUGCAUUAUGAAUAUAUAGUUUAAAUAACGUACUAUUGAUUUUUAGUUCAUGCACUGCAAAUAUUAUCAAUCUUUCACGAUCAACAAAUGUGGCUCUCAUUAGUGCUGCCCUAUUGGUUUGCUCAAGAUGAAAACAUUUUAUGCCAGCAUGAUAUAUACCCUUCUACCAGGACAGGUACUGGUAUGUGGCGCAGCGCUUGCUUUAAGUAUGUUUGUUUGAUGUGUUUUUUGACCAUUAUGAUUAUUAUACAUCUGUUUUUUUCUAGUGCCAUGUAAUAAUGUUGUAUCGAUACAUUUUCAGCUCAUUAGAUGACUCAUUAUUUUUCUUUCGUUCCCUUUGUUUUUUUAAUCUAUCUUUGUCCAGGACAAAGGGGUAGAAGGACCAAAACCAUGUAGCCAAACCGCAAAACUAUCUGGAGAUACUUCUCUCCAGGGGAAUUUUAACACCCCUAUUGUAGUGCAUGUAACAAGGCCAACUGAGGUUGAGGAGAAAAGGAAAGAUCUCCCAAUAAUUAUGAUGGAGCAGGAAAUAAUGGAAGCUAUCAACGAGCAUUCUAUUGUUAUUUUGUGUGGAGAGACAGGAUGUGGUAAAACGACACAGGUUCCUCAGGUGUGUUUCAUCUACUUGUUGUAACCGUAGCUUCAUAGGAGUGCUAUUGACUAACACUCUUCAAAAAAUCAUGAGUGGGUUUGUUGUUACAGACCUGGACAAGGAGUUACUGAUAAAAAAAAAGAAUAGUUUGUUUCCCUGGAGUGACAUUCUUUUCCCCACAAGCCUAGCUAUUGCUUUUCGGAGUAGAAAAGCUAUUCCGUAUGCCAAGCCAACUUGGUGUAAAAGUUUCUAUUUGUUAUUUAUUAUUUUUUAUUGUAAUUUGCCAUGUUGCAGUUCUUAUAUGAAGCUGGCUUUGGGUCAAGUAGUCGUUGUGACAGAAAAGGAAUAAUUGGUGUAACCCAACCGCGUCGUGUUGCUGUUCUUGCUACGGCUAAAAGAGUUUCCUUUGAGUUAGGUCUUGGUCUUGGAAAGGAGGUUGGUUUUCAAGUUCGGCACGACAAAAUGAUAGGAAAAAACUGUUCCAUUAAGUUUAUGACGGAUGGAAUUUUGCUUCGAGAAGUUCAGGUUCCUUGCUGAAAACUUUUGCUUACAUGUAUUUUGUAGAUGUGAAACUAUCUUUAAAUUGACUAGCAUUUUGCUUUCUAGAAAGGUCUCUCUGCACAUUGCAUAUAUCAGCAUAUUGUUGUCGCCUUUCGGAGUAAUGAUCAGCAUGUUUGUGUUUUUGCAUUAAAUUAAAAGUUUCUUCCGGAGAAAAAAAUCAAGCAUUUAGAAUAUUAAUCGUGAUUAAAAUGUUGUUACAGCUAAGUGAUGAUAGUAAUAGAUACAGAAAAAAUUAAAAAGAAUGUAAUCUUGGUUACGCAUCAUUUCAGGAUCGCAUAUUAGAACAUCGCAUAUAGAUGGUUCAUUCAUGCUCAUGUAGGUACAUAGCACACCUCGAUUUGGAAGAGAAAGUAACUAAUCUUUUAGAUAUUGGACUGCGAUUGUCAAACACAGUUGCUGUGAUGUUUUUUGUGUUGAACUCGUUCUGAAUUUAUACUAAUUAAUAUUUUAUUCAGGGUGCUAAUUAGUUGUCUAUUUUUUCAGAGUGAUUUCUUAUUAAAGCGCUAUUCCGUGAUCAUCUUGGAUGAGGCUCACGAAAGGAGCUUGAACACUGAUAUACUAAUUGGCAUGCUAUCACGAAUAAUAAAGCUUCGACAGGUUGGAAAAAUGUAGUUAAUUAUUUUUUUUAUUUCAGUUUUCUUAGGAAAGAAUUUUAUUGUUUAUUAACUAUUUUGAACACACAUGAUAGAAAUUAUAUGAGGACCAGCAGGAGAAGAUUAAAUCAGGAGGGAGGCUCAAUUCAGAAAAUAUGGUCAGUCAGUUAAAGCUCGUGCUAAUGAGUGCCACCUUGCGAGUUGAGGACUUCAUUUCUAAUAGGAGAUUAUUCAGUGAGGCCCCUCCCGUUCUAGAGGUCCCAGUAAGACAAUUUCCUGUCACUAUUCACUUUUCAAAAAGGACCCACGAAGAUUAUAUGUUACAAGCUUAUAAAAAGGUCAUGUCAAUCCACAAGAGGCUUCCACCUGGUGGAAUACUUAUGUUUGUCACAGGCCAGAGGGAAGUUGACUUCCUGUGUAAGAAGCUAAAAAGAGCAUCACGAAACUCUUACGAAAAGAAAUUCACAAGAAAGGGAGAGGAUCAGAUAAGUGCAAGCUCAGAACUGGACAUGAAGGAAAUCAGUGAAGCCUAUGAAAUAGGAAGCGAUUCACCUGAUAACCAGAAUAACAGAUUCAGUUCAUACGAUGAGGAUGAGAAUAAUUUGGAAAUUAAUUCCGAUUCUUCUGAUUUGGAAAUAGAGAGUGAGUUUGAAAUUAAUAGUGAGGAUGAAGAAGAUGAAGAGCCUAUUACUUGUGAAGGCCCACAAGAAGUCAGUUCGAUUUUGGAUUUUCUAAGAGACAAAGAGCGCAUAUCUUCACUCAAGGCUUCUUUUGAUGCCCUGGCUGGAAAUUCUAGGGUACAAAAUAGUGAAGAAAGCCCUAGCUCCCCCAUCACUGACAAUAUGAAAAAAUCUCAAGGAAUGAAGACUUCAUCUGCCGGUCCCCUCCAUGUCUUGCCACUUUACGCAAUGCUACCUGCUUCUGCUCAGCUUCGCGUAUUUGAGAAUGUGCCUGAAGGGGAAAGGCUUGUAGUUGUAGCCACAAAUGUUGCUGAGACUUCUUUAACUAUUCCUGGCAUAAAAUAUGUGGUUGAUACAGGAAAAGAAAAGGUCAAAAAGUACAAUUACAUCAAUGGGGUGGCGGCUUAUGAAGUACAGUGGAUAAGCAAAGCAUCAGCCUCCCAGCGGGCAGGACGAGCUGGAAGAACGGGGCCUGGGCACUGUUACCGUCUCUAUUCCUCUGCGGCCUAUAGUAAAGAUGAUUUAUUUCCAGAAUUUUCCAGUCCCGAGAUUUCCAAGAUUCCAGUAGAUGGUGUCGUCCUCCUCCUGAAGUUCAUGGGUAUUGAUAAGGUACUGGUUGUGAAAAAAAUUCUUACUCGUUUUCCUUUUUUUUUUUUCCCUUCACAUAUAAAGAUAUUUGAUGCAUGCACCUGCCAGUGAAGUCUAAAUUUUUUAAUAUGUCCUUCAAAAACUUUAAUUCUUAGAUGCAUACUGCCAUGUUUAUUGCAAGCCCUUUAAAGAACUUUGUUAUACAAAACCUAUUUCCUCCCAUGAGUUUGAGCAUGCUCGUAAGAACCUGCACAUUCAAGGGGUACAUAUGAAUAUUCAUCUUUUACAGGAGUAUACAUGUAAUUGAUCUUUUUGCAGCGAUAGGCAUAAAAUCACUCUUUCCCAUGUACGUAACUUAUAUAUUAAUAUUUAUUCAUAUCUUCUAGGUCGCCAACUUUCCUUUCCCGACACCUCCAGAGAAGGAAGCUUUGGUGGAAGCUGAACGUUGUUUAAAGGCCCUUGAGGCGCUUGAUAGCAAUGGCAGACUUACACCUAUGGGGAGGGCUAUGGCACAAUACCCGAUGAGUCCCCGCCAUUCCCGAAUGCUUCUCACAGUUAUUCAAAUCAUGAGAAAUAAGCAAAGCUACCCCAGAUCAAACUUCCUACUAGGGUUUGCAGUUGCUGCUGCAUCGGCUUUAAGCUUUUCUAGCCCUUUCCUUUUUCACUUUGGCGAGAACCACGAGACCAGGGAUGAAAUGGAUCAAGAAGAGAAAUCUGACCAAGUGAAGGACCCACAAGAGAAGGAGAGGCAGAAGAAGCUUAAAUCAAUGGCUAGAGAGGCUUAUGCGAGAUUUUCCAAUCCCAGCAGCGAUGCUUUAACUGUAGCUUAUGCUUUACAGUUAUUUGAACUCGCAGGAAACUCUUUAGAAUUUUGCAGGAAAAACUCACUUCAUUUCAAAACCAUGGAAGAGAUGUCAAAGUUGAGAAAACAGCUCCUUCAGCUGGUUUUUCAUCACAGCAAGCUUAAUGAGGGAUUCACUUGGAAUAAUGGAUCUAUUGAGGAUGUAGAGAACUCUUGGAGGAAUAAUUCCAACAUUUCCAAUAAAAACCCUUUACAAAUGUUUGAAGAGGAGAUUAUAGGGCAAGCCAUAUGUGCCGGUUGGGCUGACAGGGUUUCGAAGCGUGUUCGAGCAGUUCCGCGAUCAUCAGAAAAUGAUAAAAAAAUCCGGGCCAUUCGGUACCAAUCUUGUGCUCUGAAAGAUACUGUAUAUAUCCAUCGCUUCUCUUCUGUUUCUCAGUCUGCAUCGGAUUUUCUAGUUUAUUCUGAACUUCUAUACACAAAGAGGCCAUAUAUGCAUGGGGUAACCAUGGUAAAGCCCGAUUGGAUACUAAAGUAUGCGACUCCUCUUUGCACCUUUUCAGCACCACUAAAAGAUCCUAAGCCCUAUUACGAACCUCUAAGUGAUCAAGUGUUUUGUUGGGUAAAUCCCACUUUUGGCCAACAUAAUUGGCAACUUCCUUUACAUAGUAUUCCUAUCGAAAAUAGCAUACUACGGUUGAGUGUAUUCUCUUGUGCUUUGCUUGAAGGUGAUGUGCUGCCUUGUUUAAGAUCUGUUCAAAAGUUUCUCGCAGCACCACCAUCUAAUAUAUUGAGACCCGAGGCAUUGGGCCAAAGAAGAGUUGGCGAUCUUUUGAAUAGAAUGAAGGUUGGUUCGAGGAUUGUGGACAGCCGCGCAAUGUUAAGAGAGAUGUGGAGUGAAAGCCCUAAUUUUUUGUAUUUAGAGAUCCAGCAGUGGUUUCAGGAGAGGUUUCAUAAUCGGUUCAGAGAAGUGUGGGAACAUAUGCAUCGCGAGGUUCUUCUCGAGGGCCAUGAACUUUACCCGAAGAGGGCAAAAAAGGGGAGGAAAAGAGAAUAAUAUAAAGUCAAGAAUGCAUAAAACUAUGAUCAAUAUGGCUUCUGAUUUUUCACCACCUUUGCCGCCGUUUGAAGAGUUCAAUUCCUAUACAAGCUUUUCUAGAAAGAUGAAUCUCUAUAUUGAGGUUACCAGGUAUGGCGUGGACGAUAAAUUUUAUUGUAAUCAGAGUUUAGUAAUCCGUGACUAGUUCGAGAGUGAUAUGCCUUAUUAAUGGACAAAUAUAUCUCCACUAAAGGCAAAAUAUAACUCCUCUUAAUUCCAAUUUACCUGUUAUUUUAAUGGUCACAUUUGCUUGAACUCUUUUCGUUUGGCUCAUGCAAUAUCGUAUAUUAUGUUAAUUUAUGUUUCUUUUUUCAUCUUUAAUGCAGUUAUCAUGCAUGAUGGCACCGCAGGAAUUCGGAGUUGUGCUCCUUACCAACGUCUAGACCAAAUUCAUGAAACUGGAUUCGCGAAUUGUAUAGCAAGAGCUGGGAAAGCUUGGACCGCAACUGUUAAGGUUCACCUCUGCAAUUUGAUUCACGAAGCGGGAUGUGAUUGGAAAAUCGAUUAAUUUAAAUUUACCCUCGUAGAUUUUGAAGGGUGACACAAGAGUUCCUUAUUUAGCAUCCGUCAUUCUUGUUGCGCUUGUCCGGAAAAAGCUUCAGUUUUGUACUUAUUUAAGAGCAAAUAUAAGCGACCUACCUGGAUGCUGUAAUUAUAGUCAGAGAGAUGAGUGGAAUGCUAAUGUGCAGUUAGGAAGGAAAUUGAUUUCAUUUGGAGUUAAAAAAAAAAGUGCUUAUAAUUGCUUUUCGUUUCAUUACACUGUCACAAGUACGCCAGAAAUUCCCCAAUUCAUAUCCCAACUUACUAAGCAAUUGUUUAACAAUACAAUGCUGAUUAUCAGAUGCGCUUCAGCGCGAAUUUCUAGCAUCCGAAUCAGGCAAAUUAUUAAUUCAUCUGGCGAAAGGCCAAAAAUGAAAAAAAAAAGAAAUGCAGUUUCGAAGGAUGGUUUGUGUCAAUCCUCAUGCAUUUUCCUCUUUCCAAGCACCCUGCCUAUUACCCUCCAUAACGGCUCUUCAGCGAUUCGGGUGGCUCUUCCUCCAUGAUGCCUGAUCCAGCUGAGGCCAAGUACUGCCUAAUUGUUGUUUUCCGAUCGGCGACGUAGGUGUGAUCCAAGAAGUUGUCAUAAGCUGCUUUUCCGAGGUUUUUUGCUGCCAAAACACUGAAGAACUAAAUAGAAAUCGUUUCUGACAACAUUAUGCAGUAAAAUUGUAGUGCUUUACAUUUUCAGUACGAAAGGUUCGAACUGUACAGAAAACAGAAAAGAGAGAGAUUUACUAGCCAACACAUGAAAAAAAAAUGCAACAUAAAUAACAAAGAGAGGGAAUGGAUUGAAGCUGUGGUUAUAGUUAGAUUGAAGCAAGCUGUAGUUAUUACUAACCAAUGUCUGAGAUAUGUACGACAAGGUAAUAUAUCAUCUCGCCAUAUCUUAUGUAUGUUGUAUCGCCCAUAACGCUGGUAAUAUAUUUCCUUGCUACCUGGAGAAGCGGAUGUGUUAACAUAAUCUAAUUAGUUUUAAAGAAUAAAACUGAACAUGAAGUCAACAUGCAAGACGAAGGAAAGAAGUAUCUGAAAAAUUAUAUAACUAGACUGAAAGAGGAAAUUAUGCAGUUCCAGUUACUGUUAAACCAAGAUAUAUUCUAAAUAGUUGAAGAGAGAAAACCCCAUAUAGAUGCACAAACCAAUUUCGCGUUGAGUUCUAUGUGUCAAUCUAUAGAAUCAAUAUUGCAAGAGGUGGAUGCAUAUAGAUAGAGAUACCGACAACAUAAUUCUAUCCAUUUGAUCUGUAUUUUCAUAAUAUGGUGAUUUGUUAAAUUAUGGCAUCGAGUUGAUUGCUAGAUGAUUCCCUGCUUCCUCUCUCACAUUGCAUUCACUAUUUCUAUUUCGGGCUGUGAACAAACUACAAACUAUUCUUUUGAUUACAUUCCUGUGAAAUUCUAAAGCUCUAUAUAAUAACCCAAAACCAAAUACGAAUGUCUCUAUCCACUCUCUCUACUCAGAUCUCAAUAAGGUCGUAAAAGCACAAACAGAUACGGAUGAAUCAAAGUUCUAAAAUUCUAAAUAAGAGACAUUGAUUUCUUCACCUAAUGGUAACUCUUCCAACUGAUGUAAGUUCAUGAAUUACAGAAUCUCAUAACAUGCAAGGCGUGUUAAUUGGGAUAAAACUUUUACCUUGGCAUCGUAUUUGAAAAAACUCUUCGUCGCUGUAACGAGCACACACCACCUGAAUCAAAGGCACGAAGUUUGUCAUUAAAAUAACCAAAAUAUUGAAAAAGUUAGAUCAAAUCAUAGAAGAAAAAAAAAUUACACAAACUACAAAUCAGCACUUACAGCUGGAUUUGGAAAAGUAGUUCCAUCCAGUCCUUCAGGAACCACCUGAACUCAAUUACAAGGAAAAUAGCCAUACCGCAAAAAUCACGGAUAAACAAAAUUUUGAACUAGUGUGUAAAACAAAAUUACAAAGAAAUAAUACAAAAAUCAGAACGUAGAAAACAAAUGCAUGAAUGAUUCACUUACAGAUAGAAACCUGAACUCAUUCUCCCUCUCAAUAAACGCCGGAACCUAACACAAGCAAAACAUCAAACACCUGCAAGCGAAAACCCCAAAAUCUCGAUCGCAAGAACAACCGAUGUACCUCCUCUUUCCUGAUCUCAAACACGGUAACAAUAAGAAACUCCCCUUCGCAGGGCUCCACGCUCAAGCUCGACACUUCCUGAAACCUCUCCCAAUUCCCCGAUCAGAUCCAAACAAGAUAAACCCUAACCCAAAAGCUCCCAAAUCGGAAUCGAAUAGUUCCAAAUCUCACCCCGGUUUCCUCAUUGGCGAUCCUGCGCUCGAAGAAGAUCGGGGCCACGUGGGCGAAAACGCGGCGGAACCCGCGGAGCACUCCGAUCCUGAAGUUCUUGAGAUCGGGGAACGUGCUCCUCGCGCUCCUCUCUAGCAGUAGGAGAGAGGCGUUAAUGGAGAUCGGAGAGCUAGGGUUUCGUGCGAGAGAGAGAGAGGAGGAAGAAGAAGAAGAAGAAGAGGGGGCGGUGAGGUUACCGGAGAGGAGGGAGCCGAAGCCGCAUAUGGAUAUAUACCCUUCGGGGGUGACGAGCGAGUCGAAAUCGGAUGCGGUGUUGAGCUCGGUGAGGUUACCGCUCGGUGCGCCGGAGUGUUCCGUAGCCAUGCGGCGGAGCAGCGGAGGCGGUGAGGUUACCGGCAGUGACCGGAUCCCGUAGGAGUGAGCGAUGCUGGAGCGGAGUGGAAGGAAGAAGACACAGGGGAGGGGUCGAUGGGCGUCGGAUCUCGAUCGGACGGUCGGGGAUGACCCGGCGUAGGAUGCGAAGAGGUUUCUAGCGGCGUGCAUGGUUUGCAUAAAUAAAUGAUAACGGAGAGCCGGGCUUUUCUACGACCCAUUUUGUUUUGUUAAAAAAGCAAGUGUUAAAAAUUACACGUGGCAACUUCUCGUUGGCUGUGAAAUUUACGCUACGUCACUUUUGAUAUUUUUGUUCCGAGAAUUAAAUCAAAAAAGUUAUAUUAAAAAGCUCAUCGCAAGCAUUUAAAAAAAAAAAAAAAUGAUAGUCCCAAUGUGUACAUUGUUGUUUAUCUAUUGUAACCAUCUAAAAAUAUUGUUUUAUAAGAUAAAAUGAUUUGCUUAUUUAUAUAAUUAUAUUACUGGGAUAAAAUUAAGAGAUCAUUUCAUAAAAAUUAUUUAAACAUUAAUUUUUUCUUCAUUAGUUAGGAACUAGAGUAUUAUCUGUAUUAUUUGUAGAGUAACUAUUUUUAUUGCGUCGAGAAAAUUCUAUUCUUUUCCAGUAACAGAUGCAAAAUAAUAAAAGCAUCGUAUCCGAUAUUCGGAAUUGAUUGAUGUACACAAUUUUGUUCUCAAUAGAUUAUAGAUGAUGAAGUUGUAUGCUUUUUUUUAUAAAACUCUUAGCAUCAAUGAUUGCUAUAGUUUUUUUGUUUAAGUAAUAUUUAAAGUUACCGCGAGGGGUGGAUCAUGGAUGAGUUUAUAAUAGGAUUCAAAUAAAUUAUUUGUAUAUGUAUCCUAAUAAGAUUUGGGAGAAAAGGAACAAUCCUUUGCCCCACAAUUUAUAUGGAAAACGCAGAUUUUAUACCACUGUAGUAGAAUCUUAGAGUAAGAUUACAUAAAUAUAGUACAAACAAGGACAAUUAUUAUUAUAUAAAUAAAAAUAAUAAUACACAUUAUAAAUUUGCAUGCCAUAUAUAAUACGUAAAUAAUUGAGGACUUAGGUGCAAAUAUUCCAUUAAGAACCUGAAUACUUGGGCCAUUAAUGAGUUAACAACAUUUUUUUUUCUUUUUUUAGGUUUAAAUCAUUAUUAGUUCUUAAUAUUCUAGUAGUUAAAAUUAUAAAAUAUAACAAGUAAUAUAUUAUUAUAUAAUAACUUGUUUACUAAUUGGCCAAGUAAUUAAUCCUUUAAUUUAUUACAUAAAUGAAUAUUUAAUUAAAUAUUUAAGCAAUUAAUUUUUUUAUGUAUAAUUAACUAGCUAACUAAAUAAUUAAUUGUGUUACGUGCUCAUUCAUUAAAAAGUUUCCAUAUUAAUUAAAUAAUAACUAAUAUUUUGACUAAUAUAAUUUAAUACAUGAGCUAAGUGUAGCCAAUUAACUAAUUAAUGUGCUGCUAUAUUAUCCUGUACAAUAUUCAUAAUUAGUUAAUUAAUUAAGAUUUUAAAUUAUUAUUUUUUUAAUUUAUUUAAAAUUUCUAAUUACUUCUAUUCCCACAAAGCUAGUGUAGCCAUUCAAAUGCUAUUUGAUUUUUUUUAUUACUCAGAAAUUUUAAUUCUGGCACAAAAAUAAAAUUAAUCUAAAUUUUUUUAUUUAAAAUAUUUUGGAUGUAUUAAAAAAUUAAGAAUAUUUUUUUUUCUGAAUCAAAUAAUAUGGAAGGAGUUUAGGGAUCAAAGUGAAAAUUUUAAUCCUUUUGACGACACUAACCCAUGCUUUAUCUCUGAUGUGCUUUAAACUCGGAGCGAGGCGAAGCUUCUCGUUUCCGCGGCGGCGAAUCGAAAGACUCCAAAAAAGAUUUUAAUUUUAUUUUCUCGUCUCUUUUUCGCUCUCCUCCGAUUCUCUCUCUCUCUCUCUCUCUCUCUCUCUCUCUACCUACGUUACUACUCCGGAGGAGUCGGAUUCGGCCUCGUUCGCCUGCGAAUCGCUCGAUCACACCUCCAUCGAAGAGUACAUCUUUCGCUCUCUCGAUCUUUGCACUGCUUAAUUUUGCUGUUUGAUGCUCCUGAUUCUUUUUUUCUGUUUUUGAAUGAGCUUAGAUCUGGUGAAUGAAGGGAAUAUUGUGAAAUUUGGGGUUUUGUGGACUCUGGUGUGUUCUAGGGUUCUGGUGUAGUUGAUUUGGAGCCCCAUUUCUCGACUUCGUUAUGUGGAUGGGGGGAAGUCGAGAGAUUGGAGGUGUUUUUGAGCUAAAAAUUAGAGUUUUUUUUUUUCUUCUUCUUUCUGUGUUUUUGAAGUGAUCAGGUUCAAUUGGGAAAAGUAUUUUGUGCAGGAUUAUGUUGUUUGAGAUGAUUGCUAAGCUUUGGAUAGUGAAUUGUUGAGAUUUGGCUAGAUGCAUCGCUUGAUUAUUGGUUGUGUGAAAUGUAGAUCACAUACUUUGUAUUAUUUGGGGAGAACUAGAUAGAAGAAAUGCGAAAUAGUUGAUGUUAUUGAGGAUCCCUUGUGAUGGUGUGCUUUUUUCCCCCUAUUUAUAUUUACAUUUUUACUCUUGUUUUAUUAUGUAGAAUGUUUUCCUCUGAUAAAUCUUGCUGAAAAUGCUGCAGUAAUUCGUUAUAUGUGCUUCCUUAUGAUGAAACUAAUUGGAUUUCUACCUGGUUAUUUUCUUUCUCACUGUCACUCUUAACUAUCAGUUCAACUUAUCUAUGAGGCUUUUAGUAGUUUGUGACUUCCAUUUGAAGAAUAGUGCAUCCCUUUAUCGUGCUUAGCAUACUAUUCUUACAAGCAUCCUAUUAAAUUGCUUGUAGCGCUAUGCCCUCUUUGUAUCGAAAUUAGAAGCGAGAGGAGUAACCAAACUUCAUGUAGGUUGGUAUUGACAUUAAGUGUUUCUUCUUGCCAGGAAUGUAGAGAAAAAUUAUUGUUGCUGACAAUCACAAGAUGAUGGAGGGCUGUGAUUGUAUCGAGCCACAAUGGCCUCCAGAUGAGCUUCUAAUCAAAUACCAGUACAUAUCAGACUUCUUCAUAGCCCUCGCAUACUUCUCUAUUCCUCUAGAGCUCAUUUAUUUUGUAAAGAAGUCGUCCUUCUUCCCAUAUAGAUGGGUCCUUAUUCAGUUCGGAGCAUUUAUAGUUCUUUGUGGAGCAACCCAUAUGAUAAACUUGUGGACUUUCAACAUGCACUCGAAAACCCUGGCCAUAGUUAUGACCAUAGCGAAGAUCUCAACUGCUGUCGUGUCUUGUGCAACAGCUUUGAUGCUUGUUCACAUAAUUCCCGACUUAUUAAGUGUAAAAACAAGAGAACUGUUUCUGAAAAAUAAGGCUGAAGAGCUUGACAGGGAAAUGGGCCUUAUAAGGACUCAAGAAGAAACUGGAAGGCACGUAAGAAUGCUUACUCAUGAAAUCAGAAGCACAUUAGAUAGACAUACAAUUUUGAAGACUACCCUCGUGGAAUUAGGAAGGACGUUGGGUUUAGAGGAAUGUGCAUUAUGGAUGCCAUCGAGAAGUGGUUCGAGUCUUCAACUUUCUCAUACACUAAGGCACCAAAUACCUAUGGGGUUAACCGUGCCUAUCAAUCUCUCUGUUGUGAACCAGGUCUUUAGUAGUAAUCGUGCAAUAAUAAUACCAUAUACAUCUCCAUUGGCAAGGUUCCGACCCCAUUCGAGCAGAUAUGUCCCGCCCGAGGUAGUUGCAGUACGUGUCCCGCUUCUUCACCUUUCAAAUUUUCAGAUAAAUGAUUGGCCAGAGCUUUCGGCAAAGAGCUAUGCGGUUAUGGUUUUGAUGCUUCCAUCUGAUAGCGCGAGAACAUGGCAUCCACAUGAGUUGGAGCUUAUUGAGGUGGUUGCUGAUCAGGUUAUAAUCUCUCUAACCCUUACACAUUCUUAUCUUUUUCCUAUGUUUUGGACUGUCAUUGAACAGUUGAUUGGUAUGAAAUAGGUUAAAAUGUAUUGGGAACCCCCUCAACUAUAGGCCAUUGGGAAAGCUAUUCAAGUUAUUCUACAUUCCCCUUGUUGCAUUUUGACCUUUAUGUGAUCUACCAGUUUUGAGUGUCUUGUUUGUUUAUUCAGGUUGCAGUCGCGCUUUCCCAUGCGGCCAUCCUGGAAGAGUCCAUGCGGGCCCGCAAUUUGUUAAUGGACCAAAACAUUGCCCUUGAUUCAGCUCGAAGGGAAGCCGAAAUGGCUAUUCGUGCUCGGAAUGAUUUUCUAGCUGUCAUGAAUCAUGAAAUGCGGACCCCAAUGCAUGCAAUUAUAGCACUAUCCUCCCUUCUUCUGGAAACUGAACUAACUCCUGAACAGCGCCUAAUGGUGGAAACUGUCUUAAAAAGCAGCAACCUCUUAGCUGCACUCAUCAACGAUGUUUUAGAUCUUUCUAAGCUUGAAGAUGGAAGUUUUGAGUUAGAGAUUGGAGCUUUCAAUCUCCAUGCCGUGUUUAGAGAGGUUUGAGAUACUUUUCUUCAUCUUGUUGCCUAUUUUCAUACAAAUAUUCCACCUUUUUUUUUGGCUUUGUAUAAUAGCUUAUGUUGAUAUGUUCAUCUCUCGAUUCUAUUUCAUGGGAAAAUUUGUUGAUUUUUUUUUUGGUUAUUUUUAGGUCAUUAAUUUCAUAAAGCCAAUUGCAGCUGUGAAGAAACUAUCAGUAUCACUGAUGUUGACACCAGACUUGCCACUGUGUGCCAUUGGUGAUGAAAAGCGGCUCAUGCAAGCUAUUUUAAAUAUUUCUGGUAAUGCUGUUAAGUUUACAAAGGAAGGCCACAUUUCAAUUAUAGCGUCUGUUGCAAAGCCAGAAUAUUUAAGAGAGUUCAGAUCUCCAGAGUUCUAUCCAGUUGCAAGUGACAAACACUUCUAUUUGAAAGUUCAGGUACAAAUAAUGUGCUUCAGAAAAUCUAGCAACUUAAAAAUCUUUCACUUUUCCAUGAGUUGACAAGGUCAGAGCAAAAAUUUUGCUAGCUCUAACUAAUUCUAUCUGAUUUAAUAAGCAAUAUUUAUGUUUUUGAACGGCAAAAGAUUGUUUCUAAGAUCAAACAUUUACUUGUUCGUAUUGUUACUUUUAUUACUAGUUCUAAAGUGAUAUAGGAAUACUGAACCUUUGCUACUGCAGGUUAAGGAUACUGGCUGUGGAAUAAAUCCCCAGGAUAUACCCCAUAUCUUUACUAAAUUUGCACACUCCCAACAUGGAGGGAACCGAGGCUGCAGCGGCAGUGGUCUCGGGCUUGCCAUUUGUAAGAGGUAGGAUUAAAUAAUAGUAUACGUGUAUUCCCAUUUUCUCUUUGCAGUAGUCAAACUUGUUCUAAAUUGUCCAUAUAUAUGUCUCUCAAAAAUUUUGUAUUUGUCUGUAUACCCCUUAAAAGUGCAUAUUUAAGAUUGUCUUGUAAGUUAUAUAGUAUAUUAUCAUCUGAUCCACCGUUCAUGUUUGGUGUCUAAAUAUGUCCAAUUUGUCCUCAUUUUUCACCAAAAGCCCUUAAAAAAUUGAAAAUUGAUCAGUUGGUGGCAUACUUUGCAAACAUUUGGAAGGUAUGCAAACGAAGAUACGGCUAUAAUGGUCAUUUUACAAGUUUCUAUUAGAGUUUCUUACGUUCUGUGAGGCAAACGUGAGCUGAAGGUUUCAGAUAUGCACAUAAAUAUUUGCUUUUCUGAGGGAUCUAAAUUGCAAUCAACCAAUUGUUUAGUAGUUUUCCUCUGUUCAUUUUGAUACUAAUACUAAUGUAACUUCUCCAACCAGAUUCAUAAAUCUUAUGGAAGGUCACAUUUGGCUCGAAAGCGAGGGCAUGGGAAAGGGGUGUACAGCCACAUUCUUUGUGAAGCUUCAGACAUGCGAGGGCCCAAAUGGGCAUCAGCAGCAAAUCAUGCCUACAGCUUGGCCGAAUAGUGCCGACGAAGAGCUUUCCAGUCCGAAAGCCCUGUCUAAUGAGAAGCAGCUUGUUUAUUCAAAGCCCCGGUAUCAGAGGAGUAUAUAAGUGACACAGAAUAACUAAGCUUUUCCAGCAUCCAGAAGCAACCGCGAGAGAAACUAUUGGUUUCAAAGUGCUAAUGGCUUGUACUUGUGGCUUUGUAUGCUACAUUUUGUUGUACAAAUGUUGUAAAUGAAGUUGCGCAGGCCGUGUGUACUGCUGCAGUAUUCUGCUAAUAUGAAGCUCAAUAUGACUGUUUGGUUGCUUCAUUAAUCGCUGCAGACGCAUUAUGGUUUUAUCUAUUCAACUUCUUUUUGGAAAGUAAUGGCAUCAGGUUUUAUUGGUCCUUUCGUAAAAUGGUCCAGUUGUGUUCUUUUAGUUUCAUUUGCUUGUUUUUGGGAUUUUUUACUGAGGCUCGAAAAGUUCUUCCCAAAUUCCAAGAAAGAAAAUUGAUAUUGCACGCAGAACAGUACUUUCUUAGUACCCCUGAUAUAUAUAUAUAUUUUUUGAGAGAUAGGUAGCGCGCUAUCCGUUUCGUUUAUUUCAUUUAAAAAUAUACUUAGCUGGUAACGUGAAUCAACUAGGAUUCGAAAUUGGGUCUCGGGUAUCAAUCACCAAGUUUUUUGCGACUUGUUCUAGGGACGGUCGGUUAGUACCAACCACCAACUAGUACUCCUGAUAUGAUUUUUAGGUUGCUUCUAUGUAGCAUUCUUACAUACAACAGCUAAAAAGGGAAAGAAAAUGUGACUACAUGUAACAUCCUAAAUUUAUCUUCUAUCUAACUACAUUAAAGGAGGGUUUGGGGACCAAAGGGUGACACCUGUCCCCCCAAACACUCCUUUACUCUCUCUCUCUCUCUCUCUCUAUAUAUAUAUAUAUAUAAUUUUGAUAUCAAAAUUUAAAAUUUGGAUACUUUCAAAUUUUAAAUUUUUAAAUUUCAAAAUUUAUAUUUUAAAUUCUAAAUUUCAAAUUUAAAUUAUAAUAUUUAUUUUAAAAUUUUAAACUUCAAAAUUUAAAAUUUUAAAUCUCUAAACUCUAUUAAAUUAAUUAAUUAAUUUUAUUAAUAAUUCAUUAUAUAUGAUAUAAUUAAUUAAUUUUUUUAAUAAUGCGCAUAAUAAAUCGCGUAAUAAAAUCUAACCUGAUAAAUGCAAUUUAAAUCAUAUAAAAUAUCACUGUAUAAAAAAAAUACAAUAUUUAAAUUUCAGGAGUAAAAUUUUAGAAAUAUAGUGUAUUUUUGUGUAUAUAUAAUUAAUUUUAUUAAACAAUUUCUUUUACAAUUUUAUUUUCCUUCUAUUUCUUGAUUUUUUAGAUUUAUCUCAAAUUCUUUUCAUAUAAAUCUUUAUAAAAUAAAUUGUUAUAUAAAUUUACUUUGCGCAUAUACUAAUUUUAAUGACUUUUAUUUAAAUAUAUUUAACUAUUAAAUUAUUUUUUUAUAAUUUUUAUUUAAUUAAUAAUUAGAAUUAUAAAAAUAUUGACAAAGUAAAGUUUAUUAUAAAAAAAUUUUUAUAUCCGCAGCAUCGCGCGAGUAUUUCACUAGUAGUCCAAUAUCGCAUAGGCAGAUGAUUAAUAAUUGGAUUUAAAUUUUUUUAGAUUGGCUUGCUAGAUCUUGGGCUAGAAGGACUAGAAAAUGGAAUAUAAGGAUCAUGUACUCUAAUACCCAUAAUUAGGGGGUUAUGGACUGGAUUGUUACAAUAUAAGAGCAGUAAAUCUUUUUCUUUUUUAUCUUUUUUUUUUUUUUGUAUUUAGGAGCAAUAAUGCUCUUAAGCCUGAUGAAUAUAUAUUAGAUAAAUCUAACAACCAGAAUAUUUCAGCACCACAAAUAAUUUGCCUCCCUCCUAAAGUUGAUUGAAAAAAGAAGAUACAACUAAAUUUAAUAAAUGAAGAGAACAAAUCUGGAAACAUAUGAAUUAGAUGUCAUUAUUAUCUGUUUUACAUGUUGAAUGAGGAAAUCAACAUUCUAAGGAUGGGAAGGAGUCGAAAAAGAGACAUAUUGCUGAACAAUCAUCAACUGCUAUUCCCUUCCUUUUGCACUUCCAUGCGCGAAUCGCGCACUCCACCAGCCGUUUCGCCGACUUGCCUCUUUUCUUUGUCGAUGAAACAAUCCGCACAGCUUCUUGGUUCGAAAUCACAUCCCAAACCUGAGAAAAGAAAACAAAAAGGGUUAACAUAAAGUAAUAUGGUACUCUGAAUAACCAAAUUAAGUAAAGCUUAAGCUGUUAGGUAGUAGCAUCUUAAUCCUUCAUACUGCAUUUGAAUUUAGUUAGAGGUUCUUCAGUUUCGAUAGCAUGUAAAAUGACCAAUUUCUUCAAAAGCUUAAGCCAUACUAGAAUGGUUUUGUAAUACAUUAUGCUUAAUAUGUAGGGCUUCAUCAGAUCAUUUUGAUUGAGUAUAGUAAUGUUAGUAGAGGUAUGCUUUUUUUGUUUCUUAAAACUUAUUUUUUUACAUUCUCGACAUUUAAUUCUAGUUUUUUUCUAAGUGCAGAUCAAGUAAACAUAGCAAAUAAAGAAAGCAAAACGAACACCAAAUAAAGGUGUUAUCUAAGAAAAUAGUGCAUACCCCGUCCGUGGCGAGAAUGAUGAACUGAUCUCUACUAGUUAUUCUCCUCUGAGUCACUUCAGGCACAGAUAUGAGGCCAUAAUUCUUGAUGCAGUAAUCUCCGAAUGCUCUCGACAUCGCUAAUCCCGGUGCCUCCUCAUUUGGUAACCAAAUCCUAUGUACACCCGGUUCAUCAGUCAAACAAAAUAUGCGUCCGUUGCAGCGAGUUAUUCGUUCUGCUUCCUCUGUAUUUAAUUACCAAGUAGAUGUAUUAUGAAAAUUUCAAGCAAAACGAGGAUCUUGCAUAUCGAUAUACCUAUUCCUGCAUAAUCAUCUCUUCACAUACAUCACCCUAAACUUUGUACAUACACCCAAAAAAUAUUACACCCAAAAAAAUAAAAAUUCCCUUAUCUUAGUUGGAGGACCUGUAUGUACACUCAUAUUUCAUAAACAGAGAGAGAGAGAGAGAGGGAGAUGCAAAUGCAUAAUUUUAUAAGGGUAUAUUGAUGCGGACUUACGAGGUAAAUUCGGUUUAAAAUCAACGGUGAGUUGGAUGGGAACUAAACUUCCAUUGUCAGAAGUUGUAGCCAAGACCGCACGAGAAUCACCAACAUUCGCAAUUACCAUAAGAUCACCCUAAAAAAGAAGAAGAAGAAGAAGAAGAAGAAGAAGAAGAAGAAGAAGAAGCAAUGGUCAAAAACUAUCUUAAAAAACUGAAUCUUGUGAGAAUUGCAAUGGCCAACAUCACAAGUUUUUAAGUUGCAGCACUUAGAAAGAUAUGAGUUCAUUUAUGUAUAAGAUUAUCAAAAUAGUGAAUUUUGUAAUGUGAAUAGAAAAACUUUAUGCUUUUUUGGAAUAUUUACAGAUUAAAUUCCCUCAAGGAAAGGAGAAAAUGGCUUAUCGAUUUAGAAAAGCAAAGUCUUUCCCAGUUAAACCCUGCUGAUAGAAAUAGAAUGCUGUUACAUUUCUAUAAUAAGUAUCAAAAAGACUCAUAAUUUACUAACAGCCUAGAGUAUACCAGAGAGUGCUAGAAAUGCAGGAUCAAUUUAGGUAUCUAACUAAGACAUAGAAGCAAAAUCGGAUAAGUACUUGUUUGACAAUCGUCAAUGCGGUGGUGCCGCUGUGGAAGGCGUCGAGCCUGCGAUCAUGCUCGAGCUCCCCAUCGACCGUCGCAGAUGCCGCGAGAUACGACUGCUUCCAUAAGUCGAAAUGGCAGAGCUUUUUAUCAACUACUAGAGAAGCCAAGGCAAGUGCUUCUUGCCAAUUGCAAAGCAGAGACGGAGGAAGCGAUUUCCGGACCCUUUUCGCCACAUAGUGGCCCCAGGGGCCGUGACCGUCGAAAAUUCCGCAGAAGAUCAUGUCUUCUUGGCAUCCAAAUUCCUAUGAACCAAAAAGAACACACAAUUUUUCAAAAUUCAGUCGCAGUAAACAAUAAAACUAUAAAAAUAUAUACAUUUUUUUAUCUGUAACAACAACAGCUGAAGAACAAGUUUGGUUUAUAAUUUAGCUCUGCAUUGCCUAGAAGGUGCUAGAUUAUGGAUUGUUUUUAAACAAUAAAAGGAAAAAAAAAAAAAAAAAACCAAAGCUAUCAACAAGCACUACCCCAAUAUAACAUCAAAUUACUAACCCACAAACAUAAAUCCCGCAAAAUUCAUGAUAAAGAAGAAGACAUGGAACCAAGGAAAAUGGAAUUGGCUAGUUAAGUACCUCCCACACAAUAGAGCAAUCCUGGUUCGACCCCUUCUCCCCUCUCUGCGAAUACGCCGAAGCGAAACUCUUCGACCCCUCGCCCCGCACCGUCCCCGACGAUCUCAAUACCAUGUCGUUCCUCUUCGCCUCCCUCGCGAGCUCCUCCGCCGCCUCCCUCCCCCCUUCCUCCUUCCUCGUCCUCCCCUUCCCCGCGUACAAGGACUUGGCCAAUCCAUUCCACAGCGAAGAGAACUGCCGCAUUCGUGCCCUAGAUUUUAGAAUCCCACCACGAUCCAAAUCCUCAAAUGAACCCAAAUUAACUACCAACUCCUCAAUUCGCCUCUCGUUCCAUGAUCUGGGUGGUGGAAAAGAAGCGACUUUGGAUCGAAAGAAGCGAUUUGAAGAGGUUGUAGGGGAUUGGAUUGAGGAGAUGCUGUGGAUAAUUCAUGGGAGAGCUUCAAAAGAGCUUCUUUUGUUGUGUGCUAGGGAUGCUCCAUUUAUACUUGCACUCCAAUUUCAAUGGCUCCGUUCUCUGGUUUGGGGCCUUAUUCUCACCUGCGGUGACUAAACCGCGUUAUACAAACGUAGGUAGGACGGUGACUAGGGACGUCCGCAGUUCGAAUUCGGAGCGAAUUUUUUAAAAUCGAACACGAACUUGACUCCAAACUGAAAAUUUGAAUAUGAAUCUGAAGAAUUUGACGGAUUUUAAAAUGUAUAUCCAAAUUCAAAUCUGAAUCCGAACCCAAAACUAUUAUUUUUUUUUAAUAUUUCAAAAUAUAUUAUAUUAAAUUUAAAUUUUUAAAAUAUAAAUGUAAAUAUAAUAUCAAAUUUUUAUAUACAUAUUAUAUAUAAUGUAAAAUAAAUUCGGAUUCAAAUAGCGUUCAGAUCGCGUAUAGUCAAAAUUUAUAUUCGAAUCUAUAUUUGUCAAAUUUUUAUUUUUAAUAUUCAUAGUUAAAAUUAUAUUUAUUUAGCGUCGAAUAAAUCCGCUCAAUUCGAAUUUGGAUUCAAAUAAAAUUUUAAAAAUUCGUGCCCAUGGGCAUCCCUGGCGGUGACUGGAUCCGGUGGCUUUAAAUUACCGUUAUGACCCGAGACGAGGCGGGAGCAGGGAGCCAGGGAGGGGCAUUUUGGGAAAAAGGGGAAUUGAAUUGUCGUGCGCGUUGUUCGUGAGGUGGUACAUAAUUCAGGUGGGCCCCGCUCGGGGUCUCAUCAACGAUGGGAUCGUGUGAGGUAGAGAACGAGUGGGGCCCACCUCUCCUCUGACCUUACCAUUACACGUGUCGGAUGUUGGUAGGGUCAUGUGGUCAGCUCGUCAUGGCAUUUUGUGUAACACGUGUCAAAAAUCGGUGGGCCGAGAUAUUCUAGGAAGUCCCUUUGGUAGUUAGAGAUAAUAUAUUUUUUUAUACUAAUUUUUUGGUUUGUUAUUUUCAGAUGAUAUAUUUUAAUUUAAUUAAUAGUUUUUAUAUUGAUGUGUUUAUUAUCCUCCCUGAGAACCUAACUAGCUAAUUUUUUAUUGUAUUCUUGGGUGUUUGAAGUGGUUCGAGAACUUUGAUUAUUGCGUUAAUUAAUCAUCAAUAGAGUGUGAUUCAAUUUAUGUCGCAAUUAGAGUUUCUUCUUUUUCUUUAUUUUUCAUCGCAAAAUGGAUAUUAAUAAUAUGAAAAAACAUAAUUUUUUAAGGGCCGAUAGCCUCAAUUCUAAAACUUAUUCAUAUUCUUGGUGAAUGAAGCGGAUAAUAUAUCGACUUUUUUUUUUAAAAAAAAUAACAAAACAAAAUCACAAAUUUUACAAAUAAAACAUUUUAAAUGAACAAACAAAUAAAUUAAAUGGAUUUAAAAAGUUUCUUUUGUCAUGGGAUAGUAUAAAAUAGAAGUCAAACAAAAGCCAUUUCGGAGUUAAGUGGGUGUGAAGCAUGCAUGUGGAUAAUGUAAAUCUACUCUACAGUUGCGUAUAGAAAUUUCUCAAGCAGUAUGAUGUGUGAACCUUACCAAUUUUGUGUCAAUAUACAGCUUAUGAAUAUAAGUUUUUAUAUAUCUUCUUUUGACUAGCAUGUCCAAUUAACCAAUAAGUAUAAUAAACAAAAAAAUCUCCUGCAUGAAAACACCAAGAUCUGUGCUGGACGGAUUAUUAUAAAAUUUAUUUAUAAGCAUGCAUUAUCCGACAUUUUUUAUAAGUUGGAUAUAUAACUACAGCUUGUUCGCAUUAAAACAUGAUCUCUCCCUAUACUAUAAUUUGGUGAGCUUCGAAAUAUCUUUUUGCUAAACUCAAUGAAAGAAAAAGAUACCGACCGUCCCUAGAGCAAGUGGUAAAGGACUUGGUGGUUGGUACCGAGACCCAAGUUCAAAUCCUAAUUGAUUCAUAUUUCUAGCUAAAUUUAUUUCUAAAUGAAAUAAAUGAAACGAAUAGUGUGCUACCUAUCUCUCAAAAAAAGAAAAAAAAAAUCCUUAUGCACAGUAUAUUUGCUUUAUGAAACAGUACAUUUUUUUCCUCCAAAAAUAAAACACUUUUUCAACAAAAAAAAAAAGGAAAAAAAAAGUAAAUUGCUCUUCCUAACCUUUUCUUGAAUCUUUAUGCUCUUAUUGAAAAUUUUAACAAAAUACCCCAUCUUUUUUUUUUAAAUUCCCUCUCAUGUUACAACAUUAGCCUACUUGUUUAUGUUUAUGUUAUUUUGAGUUGAAACCUUAAAUUUCCUUUUCUAUGUACAGGAGACUUUGUACAAGGGAACUGCACUCCAGCUAUUCAAUUUAGGUCCAAAAUGGCAACAAGGUAAUAAGUGAGCCAAAAUAGUAAAAUAUAAAAUUAAGUAGAUUUUGUCCAAAUACAUAUAUAAUGCCUUUUCUCUAGCCAUACAUAUAUAUAUAUAUAUAUAUAAUGUCCUGGUCACAUAUUUGACAAAAUGGGUCACCAAUUUUUCAACAUACAAAGAAAAAAAAAUAAGUAAAUAAAUGUAACUACAAAGACCACCAACACCAAAAACAAGAAAAACUCAUGGCUAAGAAAGAAUGGCCGGUUUCUAACACCCUGCAAAGCUGAACCACCACCCAAUGGGAAAUAAUUCCAAUUAAAGACGUGGUUGAUGAGUGACCCACAAAGAUCUCUCAUUCUCAAUUUGACCCAUCACAACAAGUUUGUGUGUGAAUAUAAGGUUGCAUUUGUGUGGGGCCACAAUGUAUGAGUCCCCCCAAAUGGUAUAAUGCUCCACUGGUAUACUAAAGUUGAACUUAGUGGGAUUCCACCAUCACACAAUAUCCAUCCACUAAGAAAAGCUUAAUUCAAUCAAGGUUUUGCUUUCUGAUGCCAUUAUCUUAUGUUUAAAAAUAAGAGAGAGAGAGAGAGAGAUUAUUGCUCGGGCGACAAUCACCAUGUCAUUCAUACACCGCAGCCGUUAGAAGCGUAAAGUUUUAUUUGCUGGUAUUUGGUGGAAGAGAAAAGAAUAUAAAAUUUCAAAAACAUCAUAUCUAGUGAUAUAUGAUGACUUUUUAAGGGCUGAAGUGAGACGAUGACUUGUGGGUCGAAAUAGAGAGAGAUUGUUCCAAGGAGUUGGGCCAUCGCGCCACGGGGGAAACGCAACCAAACACUGUCACUUAGGAUACUAGUUCAUCAACCAUAUUUUUCUUUGGCAAUUUCUUAUGCUGGAAAUCACUGUAGUCCCUAAUUGGAAUCAAAUGUGGAUACACUGUAACUAUAGUCCAUGGAUGACAUAGUGGUCCAGGUCCAGGUUCAUGCAAUAAGGGUGGCGGGGGCCUGGGGGGGGUUCAGAGUUAUUUGCAAAGCAAACAACAAGAGGCAACAGGAAUGAAGAGGUAAGUGAAUUGGAUGUGGCACAAUUCAGAGGACAGAGUCUCACAUGGCUGACAUGUCAAAGAGAAAGGGACAAAGAGAUGACUAAGGCUUACCUUAAAGGGAGGCAAGGUGUGAGGAUGGUGAUGCAGCUUCAAUCAGUUGCUUGAUGAGGAAUCCUAAAAAGUGAUUAAGACAGACAGAUCAAAGAGCAAAUGUCAGCAUUACAAGAUAUAAACGAAAAUACGAAACAAUAAUUAACAUUUUGCUUAAGGAAAAUGACAGCCUAAGCAAUCAAUAAUUUGGAUGGUCUUAAACCAUCCAAGAUGCCGUGAGCCACAAUCUCAUGCUUACGGUCGUCAUCCGUGAAAGAGAUAGCCGCAUAAGUAUGAUGUUAGUGUUAGUAGCAAACAAAUGUUUAUAAUAAAAAGUUUGAAAUUUUUGCAGUGAUGGAAAGCUGAAAUAAGCUUUUAGGACCCAAAUUUAAAAGUUUUGAACCAUUUGGUUCCUUUUAGCCUAGAAGCUUUUGAACUACAGGGCUUCUUCAAACAACUUUACUCCAGCAAUGCAUCAGCAAUCAAACAAGUUAAGUCUCAUUUGUUACCCGUGCAUAGUAUUUGAUCCCCAUCAUGUACAUGGACAGAGGUGUAAAAAGAUGAUAUAUGAAUGGUUUCUUAACAAAUCAAUCUUUUGGCGUAAGAAGCAAGAUUCAUCAACUACUAAACAAAAAGAUCACUUUUGUUAGCUGUGCACAUUAGUCAACAAAAUACUGAAAAUGUCAUAAUUAAGGAAGAUAGCUGUUCAAAUCAGAGCAUGAAUCAAAGUACUAAUUGUGACCGAGUGAAAAGCCUAGCCUAACUGGUGAUGGCAAAUACCGCUUUCACAUUAAUUGAUACCACUAACUUGUGAUGGCAAAUUGAUACCACUAACUUGUGAUGGCAAACACCGCAUUCACAUUAAUUGAUACCACUAAAUGAUACCACCAAUUCAAAACAGGACAUCAAGUUCUUGUUGAAUUCGAGAAUUCAGCUUCGAAUUGUCGACGGAGUUGUAGAGAUUGGUAGUAGAGAUUGAGGUCGAUCCCGUCUACAUUCCUCCCCACCCGUGCUUGCAAGAUUGCCUGAAACAGAACCAAACAAAGGAAAGCAUAAGAGGCUCUCUAAUGUUUAAUAAAUUGCAAGAUGAGUCCCUGGCCUUUUAAAAAUUUUCAAUUUGGCCCUCAACAACUUGAUUUUUGUAAUUGUCCUUAACUCAACACUGUUGCAAUCGUAGUCCCUCAGUGAAUUGUUCAAAAUUGACAAAAAUGUUCACAAUACAUGGUACAAAACCACCAUCUAACCAGUAUCCAUUCUAACCCACAAAACAAGUAGCCCAACAAGUUGUUAUACGGCAAUUAGGUGGUCAUCGCUGUCCUUUUGGACAGAGAAAUUCAAAAGGACUGGGAUUUUAACGGGAUAUCAAGACUAGGGACCCAUUUGCAAAAGUGAGAAGGUACCUAAAGACUAAACUGAAACCUCACUUAAAUGUAGAAAGGUAUUUUGAAGACCUAAGCAAAACUUCGCUUCAAAGUAGAGGACUUUAGGCACGUGCAAAACCCCAAGCGUGCGCAAAAUUAGAAAAGAUAGAUAGAAAGGUAAAUUGAUCGGUGAGGUUGUACAUCAUCAUCUGAUUGAAUGAGGAGUUCACCAAUGAACUGGUAGAUGGAGCCAAUUCGGAAAACAACGUCCCUCAAGUGUCGGGUAUCAAUCUUGAGGCUCGCGCCGCUGUCGGAAAUAACAGCAACGGCAGUCUCCACACUAUACUCCUGAAGCCUGAUAAUCACAAGUAAACAACUUAACCUAUUUCAGAUGAUAUAAAAUCGUCGUCAGUUUUGACAGAAUGGUCUAAUAUCACCCAAAAAUUGUUACAUAAACCACUUAACCUACUUCAGUUAUGAAGUACCAGCAUGGUCCACAUUAUAAUAGAUAAACAUAUCAAGUAUAGUACGAAAAGAAUAGUUUCUUAAAAAGUAAUGACACAUAGAUUUACCAAAUAUGUAAAUAUGAUUCAUACUUUCAAGUUUCAGCUAAGAGUAGAUAAUGAUAAUAAAUUUAUAUGUGGUGUCUUAAAAGAUCAAAAUUCCUAACUGGAAUCCUCAAGGCCUCCAGAUUUUGUCUCUCCGAUGCGAUACAAAAAGGAAAAUUUGACACAAACUAUAUCAAUCAUAAAAGUAACUUACUUUCCGGUAACUCGAAGAGAUGCACCUUGCUUAAACAUAGGAGAGGAAGGCUCUAACUCUUGCAAAGUGACAAGCGUGCCCGGUUUUAUAGCAGACGAGGCCAUCAAAUCACCAAGCUUAUAAUGUUCGCCAACAGAAUACGAAAGACCUAAUCACAAAUGGCCAAAUCAAUUAUGGACAUAUCAACACAUUUAAAUAUAGAAUCUAAAAAUACCACAGAAUUAAUGCUAUAAAGCAGAGCAUAACGUUCAACAGCAACAUAAUAUAUCAACUGAUAUUGAACUUAUCUGAAUUGAUGCAUCUGAAUACCGAACAUCGGUUAACAUUUGCGCACCGGUUGAACGAAUAAUCUAUUAAGUUUCGAUGCAUGAAAUCGAAAUAAUAAAUAUCCGAAGCUUAUUUAGAGAGUUACAACAAAGUGCGAACAUAACUACUGUUUAACAAGAAUAAGAAGCAUUAACUCAACACAUUAUUGAGCACCACUAACAUGAUUAACACUCUGUUUGGAAUCAAACCUGCAUAGAGUUCAACUGCAUUCAACUAGAAACGAGGAUCUCUUCUUGGAAUGAGUAGAGAAAUCAUUCGAUGCUUCGGAAUCGAUGGAAAUUUCAUCAAUUUUAAUAGUUCCAAAAAAUGGACUUUUUAAUUCCUCAGUAUCAUAACACAAAUAAGGAUUCAAUUCGACAUCGACAAAUAAAUCGGCAAAAUUAAACUCUAAAAUGGAGACUUUUCCCCAGAAGCAUAUUGCCGAACACUUGGUGGGCGAAAGGUAGAGAGGGGGAAGAGACCGUGCGAAUCGCAGAUUGUUGAAGUGGGACGGGGCCGGGCUUCUUAAUGGGCCUUAGAAGAGAGAGAGAGAGAGAGGGGAGAGGCUCGGCCCAAGACGGAGAGCCACGUGGCGGUGGGGCGGUGAGCGAGGGGAGAGGAGGCCGACGACGACCGGGAAAUAUAAAUACACCGGGAACGAGACUGAAAGACCAGGUCGCUCCACGUGCAAUUCCGGACUUUUUUCGGAAAUAACUCUGUGAAAUUUUGUAUUUGCCAAACUAAUCCUGUGAAAUUUUUAUUUGUGAAACUAACUCUCCUCUCGCCACGUGGGCGCGACGUCAGAGAUUCCUAAAAAAGACGGUGAAUCGUUCACCGUCUUUGAUAUUUAUUAUGAAGGCGGUGAAUGGUUCACCGUCUUCAUAAGACGGUGAACCAUUUACCGUCUUUAGUACAAAUUUCUACUCUGCGCAAAUUUUUUCAAGUCCAUAAUAUGAUGUCCUUGAUAAGACGGUGAAUCGUUCCCCGUCUUCUCGAGGGCACAGAAACAGCGGACUUGAGAGGGCGGAAAGGGGAAAGGGCGGAAAGGAAAAUUUUGCACUAAAGGCGGUGAAUAGUUCACCGUCUUCUAAAGGCAGUGAACCAUUCACCGCUUUUAUAACAAAAAUUACAAAGAGAGUGAAUGAUUCACCGUCUUUUUGAGAAAUUCCUGACGUGGCGCCCACGUGGCGAAAGGAAGGUUAGUUUUACAAAUAAAAAUUUUACAGGGUCAGUCUGGCAAAUACGAAAUUUUACAGGGUUAUUUUCGAAAAAAAUCCUGCAAUUCCCGUGACCUGAUGGAUACGGAGAAUAUUAGUAUGUUAUGAUGAUUUAGCCUAAACAGGUUUGAAUUAAAAAGAGGUUUAAGUUGCUUAAUCCGAUUAUUCAAAUUGCUUCGUCCGCAACAACCAGUUUGAUGUUAAAUUCAAAUUAUUUAUUUGUAAACAAACAAAUAUAUAAAUAUUUGUAUAAUUAUAUGCAAAGUGCUGAAACAAGUUUGCAUACCCUUAUUGGAGUGACCCUGGUGAAUUGGUUACAAAGAAGCUGGUGUAGAGUGACCCUCGCCAUUUUCAACAAAGAAAACUCAAAAUCCAUAAUCACUUGUCCCUCAAAAAAAAAAAAAACACUUAAAUAGGGAAAAACUCUCUCAGUAACAUGGAACCCAAGUUACCAUACUAUACUAUCUAACAUUAUCAGACGUAUACUAUAGAACAUAAGAUUCAGGAAUAAAAUGAUGCACCAGCUAAUGACAUUCUUACAGAAAAAAUGAAUUAAUUUCCAUUAUGGCCUAAUUUUGACAAGCAAAUAAGCUGUAUUUGCUAUAUCUGCUUUGUUACGCUUCUCAUUCCUGCAAGGCCUAAUACUUUUCUUUUCUGUUUCUCUGCCAUACUCGAAUCGAAGGUGUGUGUGUAUAUAUACAAGUUGAAUGACCCCUGCAAUAUAAACAAUUUAGAAUAAAAAAUAUACAUAUACAGUUCAAAGAAUCGAGUAAACAAAGAUUGUCGUGCCAAUGGGCGCAGCAGGCACGUUGGUUCGUGCUCUCCAACCGUCUUGCAUGCUGAUGAGUGGUGCAUGAAAGGAACUCUGUACAGGGGGCGUGUGGCGUGCGCCGACUUUGAUGCAUGCCGAUGGUUUGCUGAUACAUGGAGAGGGAUUCUGUACAAUGGUUAUGCCGACUGUGCUGUGUUGAUGGCUAGUGGUACAUGAAUGGGUGAUCCAUAAAGGUGGGCAGUCGAUCGUAUCGUGCCAAAUUGUCAACAAGGCACAAGCCACAGCAUGUACACUGCCGAUAGCAAAUCGAGAUGGGGGGCAUAGGAAUGCCCACAAGGCUACACCUAAUAAAAAACUUGAGGAGCCACGUAGAACUCGCUUUCGAUGAUUAACGGUCUCAAAUCCUCCUGGCACAUGAAGUCCAAAGGAAAGGAAACAACAUGGCCCUUAAUUGAAUUUAGUUUCUCCAUGACAACAUCUGUAAGUGUGUUAUCCUCGAUCUGAUUAGAUUGGAUCUUCUCAGGAGCAAUCCCUAAGUCGAUGGUCGUGUGGCCGACUUUUUCUUUCAAAAGGGCAGCACUUUGUCGAAAGGCAUGUCUGCAUAUUUCCAACAUUUUUAAGAAGAUUAUUUCUUACAUAAAAGUACAACGCAAGUUGAAAAUUAAAAUUCGAGAUAAUAUGGUACCUGGAAUGGGUAAGAUCAUUGGGUACACAGGAAAAUACUUCCUGAUAGAUUGCGGUAUUCAUCUGUCCAAAGAAUAGAGGUAAUAAAAUAUUUUAGAAACAAACAAAAGAAAAAAAAAAUUGAACACGAAACUAAGACGGUAGCAUAGAUGUUUCCAUAAUAUUCUAUGCCAAAUUAACAAUAAAAGCACAAUAGUCAGUCUUCAAGUGCAAAUAGGAAUCAUCAUGAAAAUAAGAAACAACGGCUAAGAAAAUAUGUCGAAAUAAUCAAUUAAUUCCAACUGAAUCACUAAAAUUGACUAAGAAACUGAUAACACAGAUAUACAAAUGGGCACUUUCUAAAAUGGUAAUGCUAGAUGGUGAAAUAUAGACGCACAAGUAAACAGUGAAGCAGGCCAGAAACCAAACACAGAAAAAAAGAAACAACGGCUAGUGUUCACAUUCCUCUCACCUUAGCCGCAGUCAUCCAAAUGUCCUUGUACGUUGCAUCUUGAAUAGGAUCGAUGAUCCGAUUAAUCUGCAAUUGUAAAAGAAAUUAUCAACUAAGCGAAAGAAUUAUCUAAACCAUUGGAGCUCAACUCAUUUUCUUAUCAAGAAUGGAACAACAAACAGCGCUGACAUCUCUUCUGUUCUUGAACAAGAAAAAAGGGACAAAUAAUAUUCUAACAUCCAUGCAAAAAAGGCAUUAAUACUUUUCUCAUGUUUACAUUUAAAAAACAAAUAAGUGCAAAGUGAUAAAUAGUUUAGGGAGGAACAAGAUCAAAUUCUUUAGCACUCAAUUUCAGGACCGGUGUGCAAAAGAAACAACAUGAAUACUGGAUAAGACAUGAUAUUCAAUGCAAAUACCAUAACGUUGUCAUUCACUACUUGAAAAGCACUUUUUACUUGAAUCUAUCAGAUGAAUUUGAAUACGAACCUCUCCUGGUUGAAGACCUAAGUGCUCAGACCACAGAGAAAGCCGAAGGGUAAGAGAAAACCUUCCAGCUUUCCAAGGCUUUCCAUUCAUAUGCGAGGAGACAAACUCUUUGUCCUCAAUAACUACACCAAUCUGAGCAAGAAAUAACAAAUAAAAAAGAUGAAAUUGUUCGAGCACCAAAACAUACAUCACAUGGUUAUAUGAGGUACAUGUUUAAUUGUCAACCAACUUUUUGUUACGAAUGCUAUAUUCUAUAUACAAGAACAUACCUCAGAGUCCCUUGAUCCAAGCAAGCUUCUGUCAUUUAUAUUUGCUGAUCCCAUCAAUGUUAUACGAUCAUCAAUUAUCAUCAACUUGCUGUGAACAUAUACCUGAAGACAUAAUAGUCGGUUAAAAAAAUGAUGACUGAAUGAUUUAUUAUCUAAAAACAUUGUUAUUUUCCAUAUCAAGCGAGUCCAUAAGUCACCAAUUUGGAAAUCAGAAAAGAGAGGCUAGCUCAAGUUUUCUUCUUAGUUAGUGGGGUUUGAGAAGGCAAAGGAUGAUCAAGGACAAAAACAUAACACCUCCUCUAGAUAAUUUUAUCAACCUUUUAAGUGGCAACUGCUAAUGAAUGAUAGCUUGUCUAAUAGCUCGUGGAUCCACGUGUAGUCCAAUAUUGAAGAGUGAGAAUAUUUACAUAUAUAUCUUUGAAUACUUAUUUAUGUACAUAUAUAACCAUGCAAAAUGUGGAAUCUUCAUAUUUGACCUGCAACAACAAAUCUGCCAUCCUCAUUAGUAAACUUUUUCUAAAAAAAGCCAACAAAUCCCUGUAUUGGAUGAAUACCGACUUCGAAAAAAGUAAGUUUCUAAAGAUCACACUUUCAGGGGUAUGUAGAAAAUAAAGCCAAUUUAAACUUUGACAAUAACUAAUAGAAUUAUAGAACAGACAAGGCAAGUUAUGACCAUAAGUGAAUGAGUAGACAAGGCAAGUUUUUUAUUCUUUCAUAAGAAAUCAAUUUAUGUUUCUCUUCUUCGAAGUCAACAGGAAGAUUGAAGGAUAAAUAAUAACUCAACAGAGAAGGGACUUCACCUGAUUGGUAACCAAAGGACCUCCAUCACAAAGUCUACCAUAUGUUCUGAGUCCAUAAAAGGAUAUAUAAUCAUGCGCUCUAGGGCCCACUCUCUCAUAAAGAUUCUGCAUUAUAGAAUUCGGCCCCCUAGAAAUGGUUCGGUAUUGCCAGUGCAUUAUUGCCCUCACAGAUGCAGCACCGCCAUCAUCAAUACCUCCCUGUAUUAAAAAAAAUGUCAAGAGCUGAGAUUUAGAAAAAGUAGUAAUUAUCAUGGACACCUCAAAAACAUUACAUUAUGCGCGUACCCCUCAAAAAGUUUAAAAAUAUCAUAUAUGCCCUAAAAUGAUAAGAUUAUUCUCCAUUUUUAGAGGACAUUUGUGAAUAUAACAAAUAAAAAGUGAAUUUUCAGGACCACUAACCAUAAUUUCAAGAGCAUACUUGAGUAUUUUUUAUAUAUAUAAGGGCAUUUAUUAUUCUUCUUUUGGAGGGCAUAUAUGAAACUCCGUGUAUUUGGGGGUUAUUGUAGUUUUGCUCAUAAACAAAGUACUACACUGUAUAAGGAAUGAAACCUGAAAUCCAGGUAAAAGGGGUAUCACUAUUAUGAUCCUGAAGCACUUCUUUUCUUUUUCUGCUCGCAAAAUGCGCUUGUGUAGUGCUUCUAAAACACGGUUUUUUAUUGUAUCAUCCCCUGAAAGACCCGAUAUGAAAAAUUGAUUCUGGAAAUAAGACAGUGAGAAAAGAGAUAGUCAGCUAAUUUAUAGCGUCAGAUAUUUAUGAACCCCAUUUCUAUAUGAUAAAAAAUACUUUUUGUUAUUUCUACACAAUUAAUUCACACAGCAGGAGAGAGAGAGAGAGAGAGGCUGGCUAGCAUACUGCACAUUUGAUAAUAAAGAGAUCGAUUGAUUUUUCUUGUCUCAAUAUCUUAACAAGUAAGAAAAGAUGGCAAAAAUUCUGAGCCAGUACGACUGACCUAGUCUACAUCAAAGCAGGUGAAUAACUAUAUUAACUGCAAUUAUAAGCAAUUGCAUGUCAGUAGAAGCAAAUACGCCGAAACUUGCAAUGUCCAACAAAAUGCCUAAUGCGAACAAUACCUAUAAUUUAUAUAUUUGCUACUACACAAUCUUGUAUCAUUAACAAUUAUGGAAGUGUCUAGUGUAAAUCAACUUUAGACUCGCAUUAAAACUUUUUCCCACUCCAGAUCACUCUAACAAAUUUAUUUGUACUAAAAAUCAUAUACAACUUUUGCCAGUGGAGGAAGUAUAAAAAAUUAAUAGUACGAGCGUUUGGAUGAUUUUUGUUCAAUAAAAACUAAAUUGGAUUGAUAGUCCAUUAUCCAUACAGUGAAAAAAGUAAAGUGAUACCUUCAUAUAUCAACAUUUGUGGAAAAGAUGCAUCAAUAAAAAGGAUUCUCACCUCAAUAUAUACAAAAUACUCUGAUCUCUCGAUCAAGGAUGUAUAGGCAUUGUGAAUGCUCUGUUCAGUUUGACUAGUUCCAGCUGACCAUUGACCAACACUCCUAAUGACCUACAAUAGAGGUGAAUCAGCAUAGAUACUAUUUUCAAUGUAAAUACAAUGCUGAAAAGUAAUCACCUGGCAUUAGAUGUCCCAUAGUCACCAAUAGUCAGAAAGAACUAUACUAUAUAUUAUAGUCAAUUCUAAAUCUCUCAUGGGGAAAAACAAACAAAUUGUUGUACUACCAUAAUGGAAAGGGAUUAAAAAUAAAAAAAAAGGUUACAUAUUGGCCCUUAAGUUUUCGAUUUCACCCAGAGAGUUUCAACAAUAACAAUUUGGUCCUUGAAUUUUAUGCUCUGCAAUAUGUAAGUCCUUUAGUCUAUUAUCAAAGGUCUCACAUAAACAUCAUUAUCAGACUUUUCUUAUCUUAAAACUCUUUGAAUAAAAUUGAAACUGAGAUCAAACAUCAGGGACAAUUGAAAUCAAAGUCAAAUUUCAGGAUUAAAAUAGAAUCUCAAAAGAUUAAAUGAAGACAAAACUUAAGACCAAAUUGUUAUGGCAAAACCUAUAAGAACGAAUUUGAAACCCACGCCAAACUUCAGGGACUAAAAUUGUACCUUAACUCAAAAAAGAGUACACUAACCUGACAAUGACAUGGUGUCCUUGGACCAACUUGUCCAAUUUCGUCAAUAGAGAUACGACUGCUUCGCUGUUGUGCCUCCCACCAGUCCUUAUUUGCUUUCUGCAUACUUGGUUUUGAGGUCACAUCAAAAAGUGCUUCCCUCGAAAGCUGUGGCAAACCAGGAUCAUCCACAAAAGCUUUUAACUGCAAAGCAGGAGCUGAGUGCUCAACUUUUACUUUUCGAAAAGAUAAAGGCUCUACAUUUCCUCUGGCCAGUUUCAUUUUAUCUGGCUCUUGAGGCAAUAGCAACGGAAUGUCUUGGCACAAAGAGCGGGAGCAAAAGGAAUUGAAUUUUUUGAUAUCUUUCUCGUCAACAACAGUUUGUUGCUCUUUUUGUCCAUUCAUUUCUUCACUUCUACCCAUGUAGUGCGGAAUAACCAUGUGCUGAUGAGGCAUCAAUAAAGGAAUUGCUUGUUGGUUUAGGGCUUUAAUUCUCUGACCAAUGAUAAAAAGUCAAAAGAUUUUUACAAGGCUCUAGAUGCAAAUGAAAAAAAAAACAAAACAAAACAAAAUCUAGAGAAAUAAGAGUACGAAACGUAAAUUAACCUUUGCAUAAUUCCAGCGCUGAACAAAAUGCCUUGCUGCAUCACAACAAGGCGGUCCCCACAAAGCGCAGUGGACGUCAUGCCAGGGCAUGCGAGGAUAUUUUGCACGAUCCAGCUCAUCUUUCAUCGUAUCUUCCCAAGAAUUUGGCUCGGAUUCCCUGACAUCAUGAAGGUCAAACUAAGAUCAAUUAUAUAAUUUUUCAAAAUUGAAAUUCAGAACAAUUUUGGAUGAUUUCAAUUUAUUGAAAUUACCUAGGGUUGUAGUAAUCCUUUCCGGGCCAAAUCAGGGGAGGUAAGUCCCCGACUUUGUGUUCCGGGUUGUCAUAACGACCAAAACACAAAUCAAGUCCUCCAAUAAAGCAUACUUGGUUAUCAACAAUCACAAUCUUUUCAUGGUGGGACCUUCAUUUAGCCCGAAAUAAAAAAAUCCAUCAUAACUAAAUCAAAACUUAUAGGGCAUAGGAAUCAAGAAGAGAAUAUAAACUCAGUAGAAUUUCUGUCAUACCAUAGAUAUACGCCUGUUGAGAAAUGAUCUGGAUAACGAAGGACUUUCACAUUGUCAUGAAUGCCAAGUAGCCUACUCUUACUGUAUGCACUGUUAAUUUUCAACGCGAUGGCAACCUCCUUGUAAAGAAGGACGUAAAUCUGCACAAAAUGAGACAGAUCACAAUUGCAAACUAAAGAGCAAUAAACCGAUCAUCUAAUUGGCCCUGAAUCUGUGGAAGUAUUUUUGCUGUUAUGACAACUUCCUAGAUUUAAAAGAUUCGUAAAGCAAAGAAAAAAAGCGAGAACAAUGAACAGAGAAGACAAACACAAUGAUUUAUGUGAUUCAGCCAUUAGCCUAAAUCCACAGGAUGAGAGGAGCAAAAAUAUUGUUAUCGAAGAUAUAUAAGGCGGCCAACAUUGUCUUUCUCUAGAAAACACUAAUCCUAAUACACCCAAAUCUCAAAGCUCACAAACGGUGAUCAUUAGGGAAAAAAGAACAACCCUAACAUCCAGAAAUAUAUUCAGGUUACUAAUCUAACUAAUCCGUAUAAAAAUACGAACAACUGAAGAAGUGCUUCUCCCUGCACUCCACUAACCUCCAGAAAUUUCCAGAUUGUAUCUACCCCAAAAAUAAGCUGUACUGGUUAAUAAUCAUAUUAGCUCCAAGAAUUCAAGAAAAAUAUAACACUUGCAUUCCUUAUGGAUGAAAGUGAUUAAUAAUGGGAGCAGUUCUAUGAAGAUUCUGGAGAAUGUGGGUCUUUGCAAAACUUACCACAAUAUAUCGUUGCAUAGUUACCAAAAAAAUCCUGGAAAUUAGCAGACUUGUGGCAGCAAGGACUCGGAAGAAAUAAAUCAAAGAUCAACCUAAUAAGUAACUAUAUAAUACAAUAACUGCAGAAAACAAUGAGCAGGAAGUACCUGUACACCCUGCUUAGCUCUUGCCUCCAACAGAGCAUCAAGCCUAGAGGAGCUGUGCGCAUCAAAAGGGCGUCGGAGAUACAAUUCCGGGCAUAACCACCAACCAGUGAUGAAUAUCUGUUUUCAACAUUUAACCAUCUUAGACUUCUGUGGCUUGAUUAAAUGUAAAUUGCACCUGAGGUUCCCCAACCUUCUAGGUGGUUUUAGUUGGACUCCUACCUUUAAAUUGUUAGUCAGGUCCAUAGUCUUUGCAUAUUACUCAUUUAAGUUCAAUUGAGAUGCAACAUAACAAUCAUGUGACGACCCACCAAAGUCGCUUGCAUGGAAACUACAUGAAUUUGCAUAAUACUUCUGGCCAAUUCAGUGGAGGAAUUAAACAGCAAGGGUAUGAUUAAAAUGAACUGCAAAGGUUACGGACCUAAUUGUAGCAACUGAAAAUUUUGAAUACAUGCUCAUGUAGUAGCCAUAUGAGACAUCCAAAAGCCUACAUGGCAAAAAAAGAACAAUUACAUGGUUGUUUACGUCCAAUUUGAUCAAGAUUUAAUAAAGAGCCUCAGGUUCCAAUGUAAUGUAAAAGUCAAGGACCUAAUUAUAGCAACUGAAAUGUUGGAACAAAAAUGAAACAAUGCUAAAAGGUUGAGGAGAUUUCUGGCGAUUUACUCUUUUAAGAUUAAACUAAGUUAAACAAGAUUUUGCACAGAGAAAAAAGACCUCAGAUUUGGCUUCCUCAAUUGCAGAAGCAAUUGCUUCAAAUGCAGCUUCCCCGUCAAUGAACCACUGAACCAUACUUCCAUCUUCGGUCAAACCACGAGGUGGUGCAAAAGAGCUGAAACGGUGAGGGUAACACCAGCCCUCUGGACGCCGUAAGGCUGCAUCAUUUAUUGCAGUGACCCAAUCUUUAACUUUGUCGUUGCAUGUCGACCUUAAUUUUAUUGUCCGGCUCCCACAAGUUACCUUCAUGAUGAAUAAUGGUAACAGAUUGAUUUAUAAAAUGUAUGCGAAGUUGUGGGACUGUCCAAGAUUGCAACUUAGUUCCUGAACUUUUCACUUAAACACUUUAGUUUCUGAGUUUUUCUAUAUAUUGCCAUUUCAUCCCGAACCGUAUAAAAAGAAAAUCUAUGAAAUCCUGUAAAAUGACAAUUUUACCACUUCUGUAAAACAACCUUCUUGUUUCAGUUUAUACAAAGUAGGGUUAAAAAGGUAAUUUCAUAGGAAAAAGUCACGUGUUCUCAGAUUUCCCCACCCGCGAAGGCGCAAUAAAAUCACAAUAUAUGAGAAACAUCAGGGACCAAAAUGUCUAAGAUGUUCAGGAACUACGUCGCAGUAUUCAAGUUACACAAGGAUAUCCAUACAUCUCACCCUUUAUUUUCCAACAAGAUCAUGAUCAUUACAAUCAAAAGAAUAAAAUUUACUAACUUUUCAUAAGAAAACCAGAAAGGCCCAUUGUGUUAUCUAGACUACAAGUUUACAAUGAAAUUGAAAACAAGGUGUUCAGGACUAAAAUGUCUAAGUAAGAUGUUCAGGAACUAGGUCGCAGUAUUCAAAUUACACAAGGAUAUCCAUACAUCUUACCCUUUAUUUUCCAACGAGAUCAUGAUCAUUACAAUCAAAAGAAUAAAAUCUACUAACUUUUCAUAGGAAAACCAUAAAGGCCCAUUGUGCUAUCUAGACUACAAGUUUACAAUGAAAUUGAAAACAAGAAGAACAAAGGAAUAUAAAUAUAUGGUAAGCUAUGUCACUAUGUGCUUAGGACUUAGGAGAGGAAAGAGAUUUUAAGAAGUACCUGGAACCCAUAGCGCAGAGGAUUGCGUUGCUUGAUUUCUUUUGCUAGGAGAGUACGAGUUUCCUCCUUUCCAUUUGAUGGUGGCAGUGCAUCAAAAACAAUUAUAUCUAAAAGCUUGGUAUCGUAAGGAUCAUGCAGUAAAGCCAAGAACCCCGGCUUCAAUACAGCCCAAACCUGUUAAAAGAGUAGGCAAUUAACCCAUCAUUUUAAUCAGAGUAGCAUCAAAACUGAGGACAACAUAAUUAGAGUAUCCAGUGUUACUUGCAACACUAAGAUGUGCUUGCAUAAAGUAAACCAUUUUGCAAUUCAUUAAAAUUAAGCAAUCAUAUAUAUAAAUGUGUGUAUUCAUGUGUAACAAAAAAAAGAAAGAAAAAUCACAGUUCGAUUGAUACAGCUGAGUAAGCAGCAUUCAUGUUAUUCUGGAUUCUUACGACUGUCAAAAAUUUUACCUUACGACUGUCAAAAAUUUUACCUUUCGCCAGCUGCUGUGGCAACAGCUAAACCAACCACAUGAGCAACAUCUUUCAUCAUCAUCAUCAUCAUCAUCAUCAUCAUGGCGAAUAUUUCGCAAAUGCCUCACUGUAACAUAAUCUUCUUUUAGCUUAGGUCCAUACUCCGGUAAAAAGGAUAGCCGUGAGACCUCCAAGAACUUGCAGACCUGCAGCUUACAAAGGUCCAUUAAUAAGAAGGACAUAAGAAACUGUGUGACAUGUUCUAAUGGAUUUCUCAUAAUGCUUAUAAAGAAAAAAUACAGGCUUUUUUCAUCUAUAUCCUUGCAAAAUCCUUUAUUUUAUAUGUACAUCCUCUCUAAAAUUUAAGUUUCCACUAAUAACCAUUGAAAGUGGAGUUCUUACAAAACACCCUUAUCUCAAGCCAAGAAUUAACAAAUUCAUGGGGGAAAGUAGGUUUGGCAUUAGAGAAGGUUUUCUAAAGAGGGGCUUUUUUUCUAAAUACAAUGCAUAUUUGUAGAAAGUUAAAUUUAUAAAGGGCAUAUAUCAUCAUUCAUAUUUUGCAGAGACAUAUAUGGAUACAUCUCAAGAUACUUUAUUUUGAAGAGAAGCUACUCUUACCUCCCGAGAGUUUACAAUAUCCAAGUUCCCCAGAAAGUGAUCUAAAUAGCCUUGCAUAGCAUUCCUUGCCCUGUCAGAAACUGAUUGCUGCCUUGCGAGUGCUUGCUUGAUGACAGGCAAUGCAGCACUAGAAGGAACAUUUCUGCAGCAAAAAGUGAAAUACUCGAUUUAGAGAAGAGAACAAAUCUCUGAUGGAAAUUGCAUUGUGGUAAAGAGAAUUUCACUGGACAUUUAUAUGAUCGGAAUCAGCAUUUCUAACAUUGGAAUAUAAGAGUGAAACAAGCAAAGGGAAAAAAAAAAACAAUGUCUCGAUUUUAAAAGUUGAUCAAAAAGACGGAAAGAGGGAAAGUUAUAUUUAUGAUUCCCACUACAAGAUUUAAUUUAUCAUAUACAUGACAAAUUCAGUGGAAUUGGAUUCUUCGACUACCUUUUAUAGUGAACAAGAAAACUGGCAACAUAACUCUCUAGUCAAACAAAGCAAAAUUUGUAUUGUUCAAGACUAUUAUGAGCAAAAUGGAAUUUAUCUAUAUACGAGCAACAACUUGUCAAAAUUUGAUCCACAUGUUGUAUAUAUAUAUCAGCCAUUAUUUCAUUCCUCCGAAAUUGGAAAAGUGUUCUACAUACUAUGAUCUGUUCUAUUUGACGACCUACCAUUUAGAAAACCGAUCACAAUCAUGAAUAUACCAAUUGCAAGCUUGAACAGUAUUUACCUCUUUCUAACAGAGUUUUCAUCCUGUUGCAAAAUAACAGGCUCCACGUUCGCCUCGUCAUCAUCAUGAACUACCGCUGUAUGCUCACCAAGCCCAAGAUUUUGAAGCCAUUCUUUCACCUUUGAUGCAUGAUAAAGGAAAAACAUUCACUCAUACAAUAACUCUUAACUCUCUGAGACAUUAAUUAAGCAGACGCUUUGCUACAUGAACAGCACAAAUAAUGCCUAUUCAAAUAGCAGUGGCAAAAACAAUAUGAACAAAGAGAAUGAAAGGAAAACUUUGAUGUAUCUAAAACUACUACACAUGUGGCACAAAAGGAAGGUGCUUUUAACAACUAAAAAUGGUGCUUCAGAAUGAUUAGGAAAGAACAAGAAAACAGGACAAAAAUAUAGUAAAAAGACACAAAAUUUUUGAGAAAUCUAUAUCAGAAACUACAAGUUUUCAUUAACCUAAAAAAGAGUGUGACAUGAGAUAACUCGGUUGCAAUUUGAAAGUACUUGCGCAGAGAAAUAUGAAUGAAGGAAAGACUUUGUUUGGUUGGUAACCAACAGGAGGAUAUCUCAGAUAGUUCCCAUUAUUCUACCAUUCAUAGCAAAUUAAAAAUAAAAAAAGAAAAAAAAGAAAUGAAGCUUAUUGAGAGUUGUUUGAGGAUUAUCCUGAGAUAACCCAGGAACUACUAGUCUAACAACUCCAACCAACCCCAAGAGCUGCGCUAUUCCUUACUUUACAUUCAUCAAUAUAUAUAUAUAUAUAUAUAUAUAUAUAUAGAACCAGGCUGGUAUACUAUCGGUAGCCGGGUCUCCGUGCUACCAAGUUGUUUCCGAUGAUGCGGCUUUCAAAUCAACGAUCAGCUCUGUUAGACUUGAUCUACAUUAUUGAAAACAUUUGGAAACUAAAUUUUAUAAUUUUUCGACAUUAUUUGGCUAGUGAUCAAAAGGUCUCAAAAAUGACAAAUUUAAUGGUCGAUGUGAUGCGUUUGUGAAUUUAACAGUGUAAAACAAUCCAAAUCAGAUUAAAUUUUUAUAGAAAAUUCUUUUUACUAUUUAGAGUAAGAUCAGUACCUCUGAUUUUAAAUUCAAGUCUUUUAUCAUCAUUUUUUAUGAGAUUUUUAUUUUCAGCCGUUCAUUUUUAGACUACUCGUUUGAUAGAUAAAUGAUGUCGAAAAAUUAUAAAAUUUAGUUUUCAAAUACUUUCAAUAGUGUAGAUUAAGUCUAACGGAACCGAUCGUUGAUUUGGAAGCCGCAUCAUCGAGAAAAACUUGGUAGCACGGAGGCUUCCGUACUACCGAUAGUAUACCAGCUGAACUAUAUAUAUAUAUAUAUAUCCUUCUAAACAUUUGAGUGAAUCCUAUAAUAAAGAACCAAGCUGAAAAUGACUUUUCAGGAUUCAAGCCGUAGAAUUGCACUAUUCCUCACUUUAUCUUCAUCAAUAUAGAUAUCCCUCUAUUAAAUUAUAUGAAACAACCGUUAUUUUCUAAAAGCUUAAGCUAUUAGAGAACAGUGUUUAAAUAUUUUUAUAUUAUAUUUAAUACUUCCUCUCACGUUUGGGCUCGAGACUUUUUGUAGGCUCAUGACGUGGAUUUGAAUUAAAUAGGAGGAAAUUAAUAAUGAUAGGAGUCUGGCGCGACUCGAACUCAGGACCUCCUGCUCUGAUAUUAUGUUGAAUUAUAUUCUCUAAAAACUUAAGCUAUUAGAGAAUGGUAUUUAAAUAUUUUUAUAUUAUAUUUAUCACCCUCCAAUCACUGUAGUGAAAAACCAAACUAAAAAUUACUUUUCUCGAGACUGUCCCAAAACACUAUUAUAACCACAGUUACCACAGGAUAAAGGAAAAAGUUAUUGCCACAAAAUGCUACCCAAAUUAAUAUCCUUCUUCAUUGCUGAACUAGCAGAAACGGUUGAGAGGAACCUAGAAAACUUAAUCUAUAAAGAUGACUACUAAUGCAGUAGAAAAUUGUACAAAAGAUGAUGCUCUAAAAAGGGUGAUAAGAAUGAACUAAGAGCUUAUCAAAAUGACACGUAAACAAACCUGCUCUUGCUUCUCAUGAAAUUCCUCGAGAAGUGCACGUUUCUUCAAUUGAAAAUGUAGAUAGAACACUUGUGAAGCUUUCUUCACUAAACACCACUUAAACUGACAAAAGACAUGGAGAGGUUAUUCCAGAUAUCACAUGACCAGGCUAAGGUAUAAACAUCAUACUGUGGCUGCAUUUAUACACAUAUCUACAAACAUAACCCAAUUGUAUGUUCCAACAAAUGGCGGCAGAAAGAAGGGGCAGAAGAAAGAUAUUUCAGAACAAUCUGAUAAAAAUAAGAUGAACAAAAAAUUUAGUUGUAAACUAAAGCAGUGGCUUUCAGUGAGCAGAUGACAUUAUGAUAUCCUGCAAAGGAUUUAAGUAUAUAUUCUUUUUCAAAUCAAUAGCUAUACUUUCUACAUUGUCAACAUUACGGUAUCCUCGCAUUGAAGAAUGAUCCAAGUACUUCAAGAAAUAACUAGCAGCAGCAUCGGAACUCUGAGCAAUUUUUUUUAAAAAAAAAAAUACAUAGAUUGUAAAGGAAAACAUCACAACUUCUAAUAUUACAUGCAAAAUAAUAUAUCAAAAUAAUCAACUCAUUAUCUGCAAAAUAACAACCAUCCGAAACAGGAAAACAGUUGGUAAUGCAAACACAGCAUAUUUUCGAUUGCCCGUCAAAUUCAACUCUUCAAGACAACUAGAUAUCUUUCUACAUUGAACAUUCUUGAGAUCCUCUCGCUAUCAAACCCAACAAAAUCUCCCUAAAGAACAUUUGCUUUCAGUUACAAACUAUUAGAAGUUAACAAACCGGAACACAUACAUAUCAACGCAUUCAUGACACAUGCAAGAAGCACAAAAUUCGCUAACGAAAUCCCGUUCUUGAAUAUAAAAGUUACGUCCCUAAUUCCAAUUCCCCGCUUCCAAAUCACCCCCGAAAUUGAAACUUCCCACCAAAUUAGAAAACCUAGAUCACAAAACCCCAAUUUCCGAGCAACAAAAUCGAAGUAAAGAAUAAGAAUGCGGUCGGGAAAAAAAGAAAGAGCGCACCACCUGCUUGUACUCGAACUCGAUGGUGUAGGAGAGGAGCAUGGGCGUGAUAUCGCUCGCCUCGGGCCGCGACACCGCGACAAUGGUGGCCUUCGGAAGCUCGUCGAAGAUCCUCUCCGCCGCCGCCGCCGCAGCCGCCGCCGCCGCGGGUGGCGGCGGCUCCGACGGCAUCUUAACGUAGCAGUGGCCCCCCUCUACGGGGGGUCGAUCGGAGAACAUGAACGAACGCCGAGGCUUCCGUGUUUGCGGCGGAUUCGAGCGCGAUUCCGAGCGAAAAAGGAUCGGAUCUCGGAGAGAAGCGCUAGGGUUCCACACGCUCUUCGUGCUCCUACGAAUGGCGUCUCUUGGUAAGAGGAAUGGGAAUAAGAAAGAGGAGGAUGCGAAUCUUCGAAGGCAUGUGGAUUGGUGGAGGUGGGGAGAGGGGUUUGUAUAUAUACAACGAGGGGAGGGAGAGGGAGACCGUUGGAGGCGGAGAGAAGGGCCGUCUUAAAUUAGAUCUUCAUUAGUUCAUUAUUACUUGUUAAUUAAUUAAUGCUUUGGUGAUUAAUGCCUUGUUGAAUUACUAUAAUGCCCUUGUGAAAAUAUUUGGUUGGUGGGGCCUUGGGUUACGAAUCUAAAGUCCCCACUCCCCAGUUGCACUUGCUUUGCUUCCACUUUCAAAUUUAGAAAUUAGUGAGAAAUUAUAAGUUAAUGUAUAAAUAAAAAAAAAUGCCACUAAAAUAUGGAAGUUAAUUAAACUUCCGCACCCUCAAAAGUAAUAUCUUUAUUUUGGAACUUCUAUUUUUUACAAAGUAUAAAUAUUUCAAACAAAUUCAAAAAAAUUUAUUUUGUAUUUCAAAAGUUUCAGAUAUUGUUUUAUUGUUGGUGAUAUGAAAUUUUCUAAAUCCUAAAAGCUCAAACUGAAUGUAUAUUUUGUUGUAAUUGUAAUAUAUCGAUUGUAAACAAAAGUUACUUUCAUUAAAAACAUUUCAUAUAAAGUACUAUAUUAUAUAAUAUGCAAUUAAAUCUUGCAAUUGCUUAGGUAUUUGAAAUAAUAUUAGUGUUUUUUCAAAUCUAGUUCUAAUUGAAUAAAACAAUAAACGCACUCUGAAUUUGAAUAUCUAUCAUUUUGAAAAUCGCAGAAAUUUUUUCUUACAAAGAGUGGGGUGGGGAGUGUGUUCAUGUAGGCUCAAACAUUGGCCCUUUAAUCAGGGACCAUUUGGAUGAUCAAAAUGGGCAUGGGCAUAAUAGUCAUUUGAUGAAUCAUUGAGUUCGCUUGUCACUUAUUCCAACUGAAACGGAGUAGCAAGUGAUGUGACAGCUUAGUUUGGAUAAUAAACAUACGCCGUAUACGAAUAUCCCAUUCAGGUGCUAGCGUCCAUCCUAUGAUACCCAUUUGCUCUUUUUUAUUCGGGUAAAAUUUCAAUCUCCUCUUCUGUUACUUAAGCGCGUUUUUAUUGUAUUAUUAUUCAACAGCUCACAAAUCAUUUUUUUUUAAUAAUCAGAGGAUAGUUAACUAUAAAUUUUGAACUGCAUAAUAAUAAAGUAAAUAAGGCUUAGUUUGGUAUUGAGAUCUAUCCGACGCUAUUAGAUAGAAUAGAGUUGAAAAAAAAGUAUAUAGAGAUAUGCUUUUGCGUUCUCCGGUGGGACCGCAGAAAAUAUAUCGUAACUGACUUAUCGUGAUAUACGGAGCACAAUAUUACAUACAGAAACAAACAUGGUAUUUUUUCAACAUACUUUCUCACCGCAAUCUCUCCGCAAUUUCAAACUAAGCCUAAAUUGCAUGACGGUUAAGUCGAAUUUUAAACUACGGAAUGACAAUGUAAAAUUAAGCUAAAUUAUGAACAAAAAUUAAAAUUUAUUUUUUUAUUUUUUCUUUUUGUUAAAAAAAUAAUGCUACUGAUGUACUAAAAAAUAAUAUAAACCUUAUAUUAUUUUAUCAAAUGUCGCAUAUGAGGUUCCAAGUUCGAAUCCUAGGUGAUUCAUUUUUCUAGCUAAAUUUAUUUAUAAAUAAAAUAAAUGAAACAGAUAGCGUGUUAUUUAUCUCUCAAAAAAAAAUGUCGCAUAUGAGGAUCUUGCCUUGUCAAAUUGUUUUUUUAGCAAGUUACCGCUUACGUGAAAGAUUCCACAAGUUAGCUCCAUCUAAAAAUUAGAAUUAUGAGGUCAUAAUUCGAACCCAGUUUUGGGUGAAAUGGGACUUUAAGGACCGUGGCGAAGCAUUUUCCAUUGUGACUUUUAGUCCCCAAGUGGCAUCAAACGUAACUUGUCUUUAUGUUAUUAAAGUCUAUUAUUAAUUCAGAUGAUAUUCUCACUCCGUACUUUUUCAACUAGAUAUCAUUUGAAUAUGAAUAUACUAAAUGCGAUUUAGUUGUUUAGAAUACGAAUAUAUUUUACUGGGUCAAAUUAGAGUACAAUUUAAUGAUCCUAGACCGUCGAAAAAUAAAGAUAUAAAAAAUUCAACCGGAUCUCAUCAUUUUAUAUUUGUUAAGUGUCCGAUUGCCUAGGAUCUAGUCAGCUAAGAUCCAUUUAAUAAUAAAAAGUAUAUAGUACUGUUUGAUCGAAAGGAGUUAACAAAAGCAUAUAGUAAAAUUUAUAUUACAACUGAAAUUACUGUAAUUUACACAAAUAAAUAAAUACAAUUUUACAGUACUUUCUAAUUAUCAAUAACACACUCUUCUCACGGUCCUUUAACUGACCCAAAAAUGAAUGAGAUCAUAAAAUUAAUGAGUUUAUCAUAAAAACCUACUUUAGGAUUGAUAUCAAAUGGAUAGUACUUGAGUUUAAGUUAGACCCGAAUAGCCUCAUUGUACGACCUGACCAAACCCAAGCCCAAGCCUAACAAUAUGUUGGGCCGGGCUUUGAUGGUCAUUUUAAGUCCCAUAAUUAAGGGGACGAAGCUUUUCAAAGGAAGUCUCAGGAAACUUGCCCCGGCCCAUUACAAUUCGGCCCAUGAAGCCCUUGGAGCCGAACCCUAACCCUCCAUAGCCAUCCUAUAAAAUGCUGUUUCCGCCGCAUGGCGCAAACCCUUCGUCUCCGUAGCACCGCCAUUAGCGAGGAGGCGGGCGAUCGCCAUGGUUUCUCUCAAGCUCCAGAAGCGGCUCGCCGCGAGCGUGCUCAGCUGCGGGAAGGGGAAGGUGUGGCUCGAUCCCAAUGAGGUCAACGAGAUCUCCAUGGCCAAUUCCAGUAAGCUUCAUCUCUCUCUCCCCUUCUUCAUGAUCCGAGUGUUUCGGAAUCUAGGGCUAGGGUUAGGGUUUCCUAAAUUCGAGUUCUCACGUGAUUUCGCGCUUGCUUUUGGUGGGUCUUAUUUUUGCAGCUUCUUAAACAGUGAAAUGGAUGUAGAGAUGAAUUGUUACGCUUGUAGACACUGUGCAUGGAUUAAAUUGGGGGAUUCGAUACUGUUGAUUUGUAGAAACGAAAAUUAAAGAGUAAUUUUUGGAACUUAAUAUUCACCGAUGUUAAGAAUGACAAAAAAAAGUGAUAAUUACUAAUACUAGAUAUAGUAAAGAAACUUUUAGAUGUUGAUUGGAAAUGGUUCUAAUACUUUUAGCGGAGUUAAUCUUUCUUACAUGGAGCAGAACUUUUACUUGUAUUAGAACAUCGACACGACCGAAUGAGGAAGCAUAAGUUUGGUGUUAUUUUCCAAUUCUAUUGCAUAUUUAUAGUUGAUGUAUAGAAUUACAUAUUCACAAUGUUAAAUCGACAACUCUGGAGAACUUGUUGGUGGAAUCCGGCAACCAUAUUCACAAGAGUGUUAUGGUGUUGAAAUCUAUUAGAUAUUUACCAACGUUCUUUUCAUCCGCCAGCUGUUUUGAUCUUAAUUUCCUUGAUAUGUAUCUGUACGUUUUUAAGUCAUAACAUCUGAAAUCUUUGAUGAAAAUGUUCAAUUUGACCAUUUUUCACUGCAAUAGCAAGUUUUAAAUCAUAAAAUUCGUAAGCUUUGUUGAAAUUUUCAAUUCAACCGAGUUCUAAUGCAAUAGGAGAUAUUUGGUGAGUCAUUCUAUUCGUAAGCAUAAUUGUCUGUUUGUAUUGAGUGUAUUAAGAAUGUCAUCCAGGUUUCUUUCUUGAUUUGCAUGUAGCAUGCGGUAAAACUCUCUAGAAUGUGUCGAACAUGUUCUUCGAUCACUUUAAACAAUUUUGCCUUGUUGGUUCUGGUUAAUGUUUACUUUUGAUCCUUAACCUAAGAGCUGAUCUUCUUGUAGUUCCGUUAAUGCUUACCUAGUGAUGUUAUAUAUCUGCGGACACUGCCCCUUAAUGAAUAUUUAAAAUUGCUAAUCUGAUAAAUAUCUGUUUUAUUUGAAUUGCAGGGCAGAACAUAAGAAAGUUGGUGAAGGAUGGCUUCAUUAUCAAGAAGCCCAUGAAGAUCCAUUCACGAUCUCGUGCGCGCAGAGAACAUGAAGCCAAGAAGAAGGGGCGGCAUUCUGGAUAUGGUAUAUUCAUGACCUGAGUAGGAAGCACGAUUACUCGUAAUUCAUUCAUGGACUGGAACUUCCGCAGAAUUGGUGUGAUGUUGGUAAAGCGGUUUGGAAAAGCACUUACAGUUGCUUCUUUGAUAUCCUUUCCAACAGUUUCCCAUUGCAGCAAGCCAGAGGCUUCAAAUUGUAGCUUCUGUUUUUGGGGUUUUUGCAACAGGAGAAGUGUUUGUUAACAUUUCUAUAACUAUUUUGGAGUUGACAAGCUAUUCCAGAAGCCAGUUGGUAUUGUAUUGCCUAUUUAACUUCGUCUAUAAUUGGUUGUUCAGGUAAAAGAAGGGGUACGAGGGAAGCUAGGCUCCCUACUAAAAUCCUUUGGAUGCGGAGAAUGAGAGUUCUCAGACGCUUGUUGCGCAAGUACCGAGAAUCAAAGAAGAUAGACAAGCACAUGUACCACGACACCUAUAUGAAGGUGAAGGGUAAUGUGUUCAAGAAUAAGCGGGUGCUUAUGGAGCACAUCCACAAGUCCAAGGCCGAGAAGAUGAGAGAGAAGACACUAUCCGACCAGUUUGAAGCCAAGCGAGCCAAGAGCAAGGCCAGCAGAGAGAGAAAGAUCGCUCGCAGGGAGGAACGGUUAGCUCAGGUAUAUUGUAGUGUCGAUUUUUGAAUUUACUUAAAUGCUAGGAUUGCUCUAACAGUGAUUCAUGUAAAACUAUUUGGAAAUGUGUGGGAUGGCUUACAACCUUAUUCUGCUAAAUAGGGUCCAGGAGAACGAGCAGCGGCCCCUACUCAAGCAACAGAGUAAUAUCCUUUUCUGUGCAACCUUUUUUUUUAAAGCAUGUUUUGUUUUAAUCAAGGGGUUUGAUUUGGAAUGUCGUGUUCUAUUGUAGGGCUUCUAAGAAGGGGAAGAAGUGAACCUAGAAGAAUGCAGUAAAGACGCACAGAUGAGGUGCAAGGUAGCUUGGCGAAUGCUUUUUGGGUUCUAAAGUCAGAGGAGCUGAGUGUCUUUUUCUUUUUGUGAUAUUUUUGUUUAAUCUUUAUUGCUGAGGUGGUGCCUUUGAGAUAUAAUGACCUCUUAAGUAAGACUUAUCAUCGCAAUAUCUUUCGGGAGUUUUUCCUUGUGUCGGCAGUCGACAUCAUACAUUUGCUGUUAGUGUGUAAUGGUCUCAUAGUUAUUUAAGUGUCAACCACUGUAAAUGCGCUAUGGUUUCCUCGCCUCAUGUACACACUAUUAGAAAAAUCUGUUCUCCUUCAACAUGUUUAAUUCUGUUGAUGCUGCUUCAUUUAAUUCCUGCAAGUGGAUUAAAUUUAUUCAAUUGCUUCAUGGGAAUUGCUUCAUGGGGAGAAAUAGACGUUCUAAAUUAGAGAAUCCGGCUGAGCAUUGGUACGAUCAAAUUUGCUCUGGCGGGGAGUCGCAGUUCAUAUUUUAUGCCCUAAAUUGUCUUGUGCUCCGUCCUUUAUUAUGGUUUUCUGGUCGAACAGAUAACUUUUGUUAUAACUACUAAUGUGGUUUAUUUUUACGAAUGCGGAAUGCUAUAACUGGCACAUUUUUGUUAUCUUGAUUAGACAAAUCUUAAUACAGAAAAGAUUGUAUAACAGGACAAAGGUGGCAGGCCAUCUAUGAUGAUCCGCAUUGUAGUGCUCUUAUUUCAAAAAUCAGAAACAAAAAGAGGCAAAAAGAGGCGGUGUGGGUGUAGCCUUCUAUCAGUGUGAUAUGUGGUUUUCUUUUAUAAUCUGAACUUGUGAAGAAUUUGAACCCCGAGGCACGAUUCAGAUGGCCCAACGAACAGGCCCUUGAGGAAAAUUAGAAUAAUAACUACAAAAAUUAGAAUAAUAACUACAGAACACACACCUAGAUGGCAAAACAAAAAGCAGAAAGUGUAGAUUAUAUUUGGUUUCCUCAAAAAAAAAAUCGAUAUUUGGUUUCCUCAAAAAAAAAAUCGAGAAAAAUAAUAUUUUUUUGGCAAAACAAAAAGCAGAAAGUGUAGAUUAUAUUUGGUUUCCUCAAAAAAAAAAAAAAAUCGAGAAAAAUAAUAUUUUUUAAAAAAAAUUUAUUUGUGCAGUUAAAAUAUUAUUUUGUUAUAUUAAAUAUUAAAUUAAAUGUAAAAUUCUGCACUAGCGUGUUGUUGUCCUUUUCUUUUUAUUUUUUAUUUAAAUGAUAUGUCUGUGUCCGGCUGUCCGCUAUUAUAACGAUCGACGGAUUUUGAAUGGCCCCUCACUCACGGGCCCAACCCGAAAUCCUACGUAAGCAAUAUGGCAGUAUCGCAACAUCACCGUAACAAUCAACAAACUGAAGAAGAAAAAAAUGGAAAAAGAAAAGAGCGAAAAUGGGGGAAAGGUGUAACCCUUUCUUUCUUUCCACAAGGAAAAGAGAACGAUAUCACAGGAAAAAAAAAAGAAAAAAAAAAAGAAGAGAACACGAGAGAGGCGAUGAGUAGGGGUUCCUUGGGAGUGCGCGAAGAGCGGAGCUUAGAAGGAGGGUUCAGGUGACGAGGUAGAUGGGCAUGGGCGGCGGAGCGGGAGCGGCGGCGGCGGCGGGGCGUCGGUCGAGGAGGUUGAGAUCGCGGAGGCUGAGGUAGGGGAUGCCCGCCCCCGCCGCCCCCACCUCCGCCGCCGCCAGCGGCCCCGAGGUGGGGCGAAUCGCGCGGCACCCCACCUCCCCCGCCGCCGCCGACGAACCGUCGGCAACGUAGAGCGGCCCCGACACCGCCCCCUGGUGAGGGUACCGCGGGCGGUCGUAGCCCCCGGCCUCCGCCGCCGCCGCCUCGAGAUCGGCGGUGUUGGAUUUGGGGCGCUUCCAGAGGAGGAGGAGGGCGGAGCCGGCGCUUCGCCACCAGUGGCUGCGGCGGUGGCGCUGCUGCUGCUGCUGCUGCUUCUGCUUCUUCUCCUUGGAUAUGGGCUUCUUGAGCUUCAGGUGCAGCGAGUCCAGCGCCGAACCACGCGCCUCCCCGCGCCGCACGUGCCUCCGCGCCUCCUCCAGCACCUUCUUUUAUUUAUUAUUAUUAUUAUUUUGGUAGUAUGGUGAGACCGUGAGACAAUGGGCGACGUAGGUAGGGGGACACUACCUUUUGGUGAACCAAAAAGCAAGUGUUGUGAGGCUUCUUUCUGGUGUGGUAUUUGUAUAAAAGGGCUAUUUGCUGAAAUGCCACCGAGGGAGGAAAGGAAAGAAAGAGUAAGGGAUUGGUUGGGAGUUGGGACCGUCUAUGGUAGAGGCAAAGAUGACCGUUGGGGAGCUUGUCCUCUUUUGUUUUCGGGUGGGCCCCAAUCCCUUUUCGAGACACAACUUAUUGGGUGGACAUUGUCUAGUAGACCGCGGAGGCCUAUAAAUAGCUUCUCUUCUGUGAGAACUGAGAAGCACCAUGACCUAAAGUUUACACACUCAAAAAAUUUGUUAAGAAGUCUAUUUUAUUAUUAAUUUUUUUAAACCAGCUGUAGGUUACAAUGCAUACACCUUUCCAAGUCCGAUUUUCUACGAAAUAAAAAAUAUAUAACUAACCAACUGAUCUAAGCAAUGACACUAUAUAUAAAAGUAUAAAUAGAAUCAGAUUUGAUGACUUAGAUUCUCGGAAAUUCAAAAGAGCUUUUGUUAACUCUACUACUCGAAAGUGACAGCGGCAACUAUGGUGAAGCUUUUGUGAAAGCAAUAUGAUAUUUUUCGUAGGACUGAUGGAGACCAUAGAAACUAUGCUCCCCUCCUAUUUUUGUAGGACUGAUCGAUCACCGGAGCAAAUUUCCUUUAACUUUUCUUCCUGUUUUUAAGAUGUUAGAGCGUGUUUGGUUCGCUUCUUUUUCAUCCUAGAAUCGGAAUUGGAAUGAGUGAAUCCGUUUGCGAGUGUUUGGUACGCGGGAGUCCCAUUUCCAUUCCGAUUCCCGAUUGGAAUGGGAAUUUUCCAAUCACCUCGUUUUUCAAUCCAGCCUAAGAGGCCGGAUUGAAAGUUGAAUCCGGACGGAAUGGAUAUUUAUUCGGAUUAAAUUUAUUUUUUUCAAAUUUUUUAAUUAAAAUAUGAGUUAAAAUUUAAAAAUUAAAUAUAUUAUUUUAAAUUUUAAUUUAAACUUAAAUUAAAAAUUAAAAUUUAAUCAAAUAUUUUGAAUCUAACUUAUAAUUUGAAUUUAAAUUAAAUUUUAAUUUAUAUAAAAUUUUAUUCAAAUUUUAUUUCAAACUUAAAUUAAUUUAUGGAUUCAAAUUAAAAUUUAAAUUGUAAUUUUAAGUUUGAAUUUGAAUAGAUCAAAAUUUAGUUUCAUAUUUUGAAUUAUCCACUCAACUUCAAAGUUUAAUUUUUUUUAAAAAAACAUAGAUUUAAAAUUUUGACAUUAUUUCAAAAUUUUGAUGUAAUUUUUUAAUAUUUAAUAUUUAAUUUGAAUUUAAAUUAAUAUAUUAUAAAGAUAAUGUUAAUAUAGUAAUUUGAUUACGUUUUUUAUAUCCACCCGAACCAAACACCGACAAUGGAAAUGAUUUAUUCCGAUUCCGAUUCAGGUGAUGAACCAAACAGAAUUAGAUAAUGAGUCAUUCCGAUUCCGAUUCCAGCUUAUUUUGAUUCCGAUUCCGAUUUCGAUUCCGACUCCGACUUCGAACCAAACACGCCCUUAGGGUGGACCAGGGCCACACAGUUCAUUCACUGUUAGAGAUCCAACAAAAUCUGCAGCAAAUUCGGGUUUUAUUUCGUCCCGUUAACGCCGUCCGAUCUGAUAUCUUGUUUGGACCAAGUGCAAAUCUAAAAUAGCUCUUAAAAACUGUCACGCCCACGAAUUAAUCUUGACCAGGAACCAGAUCUGACCCGCUAUUGGCGUGGCCUAAUAUUUGAUCAUCAUCAAGAACCAAUUUUUUAUACUAAUCUUAAUAUUUUUUAAAAAAAUACAAAAUUUUAAAAAUUUAUCUAAAUUUUACAAGAAUAAAAAAUUAUAUAUAUAUCUAUAGAGUCCGGCUGGGAUACUAUCGAGAGCACCAAGGAUUUGGUCCUAUCGAAUUUUCCAUCGUUAGAUUUAACUCCCUAUUUAUUUUUUAUCCGUUAGACUAUACUAUUCAACCAACCACUCACUAAACCCUAGGGGGCCCAUAUCAUCCUAACCAUCCAUUUCUCAAUCUAAGGGUUAAAAAAUCAAUAGUACCAAUAGUUUGGUGCUAUUGAUAGUAUUCCAAACUAUAUAUAUAUAUAUAUAUAUAUAU